UCUAAGGUUUCUCCUGCUGAUGCUGCCUAUGGUGAAGCUGGUAAUUAUCUUCCUUUUUCUUUUUCCUUUCUUUAUCAGCCGUACGUUUAGGCUCAUGAACCCUAGCUAGCAUGAAGAGAUAAUGAUAUUAAUUUAAGUGAAUGAAAAUGAGUGGGUUGAUUUGGAUGCAGCAAAUGUAUUUGGAAAGCCAAAAACAGACACAGACUUCAUGCCAUACAGUGGGGAUGGAUUCAAGCUCUCGAUACCAUCGAAAUGGAACCCAAGCAAAGAGGUGGAGUUCCCAGGUCAAGUGCUGAGGUACGAGGACAACUUCGACACCACCAGCAAUUUGAGCGUCAUGAUCACUCCCACGGACAAGAAGUCCAUCACCGACUACGGUUCCCCUGAGGAGUUCCUCUCUUCGGUAUUCCAUUUUCCCACCAGCUUAAAUAUUUUAUCAAUAUUUAAUCUUUGCUCAUCCAUUUGCUUCUCAUUGAAUAUUUGCAGGUGGAUUAUCUUCUUGGAAAACAAGCUUACUUUGGUAAAACUGAUGCUGAGGUGAUUCACUAACAUAUGCAUAUAAUAUAUAACAUAUGUAAUAGCUAUCAUAGACUUCAUUUUUGGUACCUCCCAUUCGGCCAUUCCCUUGUUUUUCGAAUUUAAAGCAACCAUUUACAUACGUGGUUUGAGUACAUACAUGUGUGUGUGCGCGCGCAUAUGCAGGGUGGUUUUGACUCCGGUGCGGUGGCGACCGCAAACAUAUUGGAGAGUUCAAGUUCAACAGUCGGCGGGAAGCCGUACUACUUCUUGUCAGUGUUGACAAGAACCGCCGACGGAGACGAAGGCGGGAAGCACCAGCUAAUAACAGCCACCGUCAACAACGGCAAGCUUUACAUUUGCAAGGCACAAGCUGGGGACAAGAGGUGGUUCAAGGGAGCUAGAAAGUUUGUGGAGAGUGCUGCUAGUUCCUUCAGUGUUGCUUAAACAAAGCUUAAAAAUGGAAGAGGGAUUUUAUGUAAAUCUUAUUAAUUUACGAGUUAUGAUUUUGUUGGAUUUGAAUUUGCUGGCUAUUUUAUCGUCCAAACCUUGUCGUCUUUAUUUCUUCUUUUUGUCUUUUUAGGGGAAACUUGUGGAUGUUGAAUAUUAACUUCUGGUCGGACCAAUCAUUCUCAAAAUAAUGCCUCAUGUUUUGAUUUUAAUUAUAAAUAUUAAGGUUUUUCUUUUACUAGAAAAAAUAAAUGGUUGGGGAUUAAGUUUUAAUUUGAUUGAUAUAAAUAUUGUUGGUAAUGAGAGUUGAGAAAAAAAUAUGAAUAAUUUUAAGUAUUAUUUAUAAAUUAUUUUAUAAAAAAUAUAAUUAAAAAUAUUAUACCUAAUUCAAUAUCAAAUUUUAUUGGUGAAAAUAUAAAAAAAAAACCAACUUUAUGCAAUUAAGAAAUAUUAUUAAGGAGUAUUUUUUAAUUUCCAUACAUAGAGUUAAUUGCAUCAAACAUUCCUAAUCUAUGACCCUCAUUUUAAAUAAGUCCUUAAACUUCAAAAUAUUCUAAUUAUAUCCUUAAACUAUUAAUGUUAUAUCAAUUAGGUCAUUUUGUUAUUACAAUUAUUAAUUUAAUUGUUAAAUAGCACGUUAGAGCUUAUGUGACAUAAUUUAAAAUGAAAAGUUUAAGAAAAUGAAUAUUGUAAAAAUAGAUGUUUUAAAAAUCUUAAUUUUAAGAUUUUUGAAACUUUUACAUAAGUUUUAUUGUUCACCAUUUUUUUCUAGUUUUACUUUAUUUUUAGUUUUUAUUUUUUAAAGUUACACAACAAUAUUCUAUUUAUUCAUUUUAAAUUUAACUAUAUAAGAUUUCAUGUAUCAUUUAUCAAUUUUAAUAAUGAGAUAACCUAAUUGGUAUAAUAUUAAUAGUUUAGGAUGUAAUUAGAACAUUUUAAAAUUUAGAGGCUAAUUUAAAAUGAUGGUCAUAAUUUGAUGAUGUGUAAUGAAACUAACUUAUCUUUAUAAAAAAAUUAAAUAGAAAUAAAACAUGUAUAUAAUAAGAUUGAACCUAAAACCUUAAACAUCUUAAAUACACCAGCUCGAUCGAUAAUUGAAAUUUUCUUCUGCCAAAAUAACAUCUUGUUAACAUGUUUAAUGAAACUUCACAUUUAAACUUACUAUAAAACAAUAUCUACACGAAAAACUAAUUGGAGUACAUUUAAUAUUUACUUAUUUAUAUUUUUUUAUAUUUUAUAAGAUAAUACUUACAAAUAUCCAUAAUUUCUCUUUAACUCGUAAAUUUUUACUACAUUCAAAUACCAGUCCUUUUAUCUUAAUAAAAAUAUCCAUAAUAGUAGGGCUAAGACUUGAUCCGGAAUGAAAUUCUAUUUUUUUUUUAAAUUAUUAAACAAGAUAUAAAAAUAUUAAAAUAAUAAUUGGAAGGGAGUAAAGCGGUGGUAAUGUAAUAGAAGGUUUGAAGUUAGAGGAGUGAAACCUAAACCCGAAAGGCAGCAAUUAAGAGACAGGACAGGCGCCUGUUCACCUACGUCUCUUUCUUUUCCUACUUUCCUUCUUUUCUGGUUUUUGUUUUACCCUGCUCUUCUUUCACUCUGCAUUUGGAAAACCAAAUACAAACCCCAAUCAAUGGGAAAGAAGAACCCCUUAGCUGAAAUCUCCGUUAUCCGAUUAAACAACGUACUUGAGAAAUUUCGUGAAUCAGAAGAUGAAGGUUUUUUAUUAUUAUUAAAAUCUCGUUCAAAUUUUCUAUUUUGAAGAUUAAAUGCAUUGGGAAUACUGGAUUUUUUUAUCAUAGUUUUAUUUAGGGCUUCUUAAUACUAUAGUUAUUGAGUGUGUGUGUGUGUGUGUGGGAGGGGGGGAGGUUGGUUGUUCAUCUCUUUGAAAAUGUGUUCUUCAAAAUUGCAUGACGUGGUUUGUUGCGUAGCAACAAACCUUUCUUGUUUUUGGGAAUGCUGUAACUUAAUGCUAGCAAACCGAAUUUUGUCUCAAUGUUGAGAAUUGGAGAAAGUUCUACCUUGUUUGCUUCUUUGUGUUGAUAUAUUUAUUGAAUCCGACAAUUCUCGCUUUUUUUUUAAAAAAAAUGAUGUUUUGGUGAUUAAUUGGAUUACAAUGGCUAGAAUGAUAUUGAAGAAUGCUAUUUGCUUCUUAUGCAUUAAACGUUCAUUGCAGUAUUUUUCUUGUGGUUAAGUUUUUAUAUUAGCUUAUUGAGUUUUCGAUGCUGUAUGUAGUGUAUACCUUUGAAUCCAACCUUACUAACAAAGAACGAGCAUUGGUGCACAAGGCAUGCCGGAAAAUGGGUAUGAAAUCCAAAAGUAAAGGGUAAGUGUUAAUUGCUGGUUUCAUGCUUCACUGAUAUUAAUAAUAUUAACUUAGAAAAUGUUAAAUAAUGUUACUAUUUUGAUGAAUUCCUUCUUAAUUGUGGAAUAGAUACUCACUGCUUUUUUUUCUUUUAAGUGGUUUAGCAAAUGAGUUUUCCAGUUUGGUUUCUUAAGAGCCUGAAUUUUGUUUUCAGGCGUGGGAGCCAGAGAUGUGUCUCUGUCUAUAAAAUCAAAGAGAAAGCCAGCAGUAUGACAGAGAAGAAUCUAACUACUGUGUCAUUUUCGGAGGGGACACAAUUGGUUUUGCAGGACUUAUUUACAAAUUAUCCACCAGAUGAUGGAGAGCUUGAAGAGAAGGUAUUUGGAAAGUAUAGCGGAAAAUCUGCUAAAAUACGAAGAAAGAAAGAUGAUAUUUUCUCGAAGCCAUUGAUGAAUGCUGCGGAGAUAGCAAAGAAGGUUAAAACACUUGCAUCUAAGAGAGAGAAGUAUCCAAACAUGAGACAGGUUCUUCCUUACAAGCUGGCUUAGAAACUUUGGCUGGACGCUACUUAUUUUUUCACUCAAUUCUUAUGCAUAAGGGGGGAUUUUGUAGUUUCUCUAAAUUAGUUUAUGAGAGAAGGUUUUCUGACAUCACGCAUGCAGAUUGAUGAAGAGAGGUCAAAGCUUCCAAUUUCUGGGUUUAGGGAUGCCAUUACAUCUGCAGUAGAAUCUCACCAGGUUGCCUUUUGUAUUCGACGUAUUUAUUUUUAAGACUUGUGUCUGUGCCUGGUGCACAGAUUCAGAAUGUAGUAGUAAUACAGAGUUACUUAUAUUGGUAUUCUCAAUUAUUUCUGCCUUUGUCUCAAUUCAAUCGGGUUGUUAUUUCCCAAUGAGAAGUCCAUAUUUUCCUGUUCUCUUUGAGUUACAGUUGGAUGGUUGGGAUUAUUUCAUAUUGUUAUACUUAUUUUUUCUUCCAAGUUCCAAUGUAGAUUAUCCUCAUUUCUGGCGAGACUGGGUGUGGCAAGACAACACAGGUAUUCUUUUAUCUUUUCUUUUUUGGGUAUAUUUAAUAGAACUUUUUGAACUAUCUGUUUUCGAAGUACCCCUGCCCAUCAUUUUACCUUCUUGAUUAGUCUACACGGACAGAGAAGAAAUGUAUCUCACAUGAUGCUUGAUGAGCUAUAAUUGAUAAUUCUAAUGAAAUCCUAUUUAAUCCUAUGAAAUUAAAAUGAGCAGGUUUUAAGGCUCUUGAUGCAGCUGAAACUGUCCUUAAAAUAUUCUAAUCCUUUAUGCAACAAUAAAGGGUUGCUAUUGCGGCAAACUGAAUCUGCUACUUUUUGGUUGUCUAACUCAGAGGCUCUUUAUCUUGUUUCUGAAAUGACUCUUAAAUUCUCAUCUGUGUGCAGCUUCUCAAACUCAAAGUCAGGAAUGGGUGCUAAUUUACUGCAUUUUGUGUUAUGUUACUUAUAGGAUUCUUAGUAGAAAGUUGGUAGCUGGGAUCUGUGAAGGCUUUUCUUUAGUUGUCUUCUUCUGAUCUUAUCUUAGUACUUCAAAUAAUACCUUCUUUUAAGAAUCAGAAUCUAAUUGUGGCUUUCUCUCUAUGGAUACAAUCAAUUGAAAGUAGAGUUCAUGAAUACCAAGAUUAAGUGAAGUUCUGCUUAAUGAUGAUGAACUGAAUUUAUAUUAUAAUUGUGUCUAAAAGAGAGCAUAUACAAUAUUUUAAAAAAUGAAUUUAUAUUAUAAAUGAUUAAACAUAUAUAAUUAAAUCAAGCCAGAAGUAAGGUAUGACAAUUGUUUUCUUAAAAGAAUAAUAUCAAGAACCAGUCGCUUUUAUAGAAGUACUGCUACCUCAAAGUUUCUCAGAAUUAUUAGUGUACAAUUCAAAUUAUACCCAAGGCUGAGGAACUUAGUUCACUGUUCCACGAAGUUCAUGAUGUAAGGAUUCUUUUGUUUUUGGGUUUGUGAAUUAUGUUGCCGGUGCAUCUGGUCCAGGUUCCACAAUUUCUUUUGGACUAUAUGUGGGGGAAAGGUGAGGCCUGUAAAAUACUGUGUACUCAGCCUCGGCGUAUAUCAGCUACAUCAGGUGUGGAUAAUUUAGGCCUGUGUAUUCCUUGUUCUACUUUUUUUUCCCCUGCUUUUAUGGUUUGCUAACCUUCAUAUGGUUGCUCUUUUCUUUAUUUACUAGUGGCUGAGAGAAUCGCUAAUGAAAGAGGGGAAAGUGUUGGAGAAAAUGUUGGAUACAAGGUACUGUUACUAAACUUUUUUUUCUAAAUAUGCAAGUGUGAUGCGAAUCUUACUUGUUAAAAUCAUGGCAUUUUAAGAGAAAUUACUGCUUGCUUCUCACUGCAUUUUAACCACAUGAGGAGGGGUAAUGUAUUAGAGGUAGUCUUACCAAAGGCAUAGAACUAGAACCAUUUGUUCAAACUUUCACAGUUCUUUAACUACUGAAGGAAUUAAAAAGUAUCUGCAUUUCUUGCUGCUAUGAAUAUUUUUCAGUGUGGCUCCUUGCUAUUUAUCCAGCAGUUUAUUGUUUUCUAGGUUAGGUGGAAAUGCUGCAUUUAGCUAACAUGCUAAUGAGUGUUUGAUUUCUUGGAUUUUUAAUGGAAAAGCUUUAAGUUUAUACCACCUUGCUAAAGGUUAUGAUCUUUUUAUGAAGAUUCGCUUGGAAAGUAAAGGCGGUCGACACUCAUCAAUCGUCUUCUGCACGAAUGGGGUAUUAUUGAGAGUGCUGGUUGCAAACAGUAGAUCAAAGAGGGAAGACAUCUCUGACAUGACUCACAUUAUUAUGGUAUUUAAUUUACUCUUGUUUUGCUUGUAAAUUUUCUUAAAUUUCAUUUUCAGUUGAUUAAAAACAGCUUUCUUUCUUUGGUAAAAUUCAGAAAAAUUUAGGGGGAAUAUGUUAAUAUGGGCUGGGGAGAAUAUAUAUUUCAACAUAAACUCAGGAUUUUCUUGAACCUAUUUAUUAACAUGCUUAGAUUUAAUAGCUGUUCAUAUUAAUGUGGCCAAGGUGCUUACCAGAUUCUACAUUGACAUUGUUUCAUUCCACAUUUCAUAUUAGGACUGACUGUUUUAAAGUUGUAUUGCCAACAUCAUUUGCUAGGGAUAAUGCAUGUUGGGAUAGGGAUAUAGGAUACUGAGACUAACUUCCCCACUUAUAUUGCUUGCAUCCUUGGCUGGGAAUGGACUUAUACUAGAAUAGGGAUGUAGAGUAGUAGGACCAAUUGCCCCUGCUAAAAUCCUGGAAACUUCUUGGGUUUAUCUAUAAAAUGCUUACUGUUUCCAUAAAAACCUGACUUCUAUUUCUCACUCUAUAUGCUAAUGAAAUAUAAUUGUUACCCUUCUUCGGUAUUUACUUGUAGAAGGGUUUAUCUAGAAAAAGCUAAGUGGUUAUUGUGUAAAAGACUGAAAAUGAAUGGAAUGGGCUGUUAGUGGUUUUUCCAUUUUAAGUGUGGUUCAAUUACAUUUGCAUGGAGAUCUGAAGAAAGAGAAGAAAAGACAGAGGAAAGGCAGUUCCAAAUAUAGGUGUUUCUAUAUGAAAACAAUUUUCUUAUGGUGAUACCACAAGAAGUAUUUGUUGUUCUAUAAAACUGAAACUAAAACAUUUUCUAACAAGUCUAUUUACCUUCACUGAUCCGAAGUUCUGAUCCCCUCUAUGGAUUACUGUUCUUUCCUCUUGAAAUUUUUAGAGGCUGCACUAGCUCCUCUCAGCUUUUGGCUUUUGUCCAAUGUCAAUGAAGAACUGUGCCUUUUUUUUUCUCCUUUUGUUCUCUCCGUGAUGUUAAUUAAGAUAUAAAGGCUUUUGGGUCUUUGCUGGCCAUAUGUACUUGUUUAAAAAUUGUAUCCUACCCUCCUUUUAUCUACUCCUAGGAAUUUUAUGGAUCAUGAUAGGCACCAUGUUGGUUGGCUUGUUUUUGCUAUUUUCCCUUUGGUUCUUGACUCCAAACCUAAGAUUUUCUUCUCCCAGGACUGUUCCGCAGAAAAAGGACAGAUUAGUGUUUGAGUUUGAGAACUGGAAAAGGUUCUCUAUUUCUGCAUCUGACUAGCUAGGAUGAGCAGUUUGAAAAUUGAUUACUAACCCAGCAAUACCAGGAGAAUUUAAUAAUAAGGUGGAUGCUGGGCAUAUACUGGCCCUUCCAGGCAAAAAAGAUUUAUUUGGCAAUUAGUUCCUUGGACUGGUUCAGUCCAAAAACCUUGGAAUAUUUUUAUUUGGUCUAGAUGGGUGAUGGGGAUCUUGUGCUUGUAAUUUUCUUGGGGAACUCUUGUUUUUCAGAUAAAUCCAUAUUUAUUUUCUUCUCAAAGCUGUAUAUACAUAUAAAUUAUUUUUCUCAUUUGUGCAUGCACAUUUGUUUAUAUUUAUUAUGGCUUACAGUUGUAGUUGCUAAUUUCUGAAAUUUGUAGGAUGAAAUUCAUGAAAGGGACUGCUUCUGCGAUUUCAUGUUGGCAAUUAUCAGGUACAUGUACUGUGAUUCAAAAUUUCACCUUCUUUGUUUGCAUUUUUGGCCAACCUUGUUUGCUUGCUUUUACUAACAUCAAGUUUUAUAUCAUAUGAGUCUAAAUUUAAGGCUUAAAAUGGUUUAGGGUUUACCAUUUUUGCAAUGAUUCUUUAAGCAAUUUAGUAUAUUGUAUAUGGUGUGGCAGUCAUAUCCAUACUCUCUGGGCCUCACCACUAGUCACAUAGCUGCCUGUUUUGAGUCAGAACAACCCUGAAAAUUGUAGGUUAUCCCGUUGGCAAUAUAUCCUAAGGGAUGGUCUUAUAGAUUUCAUAAAUUCCUGAGAAUAUCUAAUAUGCAGAGAGAAAGCGAGACAAUUAUACUCGCAACCUACUCGAGUUAGGUUUGAAAAAAACUCCAAAUUUGGUUCGGUCAUUAUUGAGCUAAUAUCGAGCUCCAGAAGCUCAAGUUAUUGAUUGAGUCAAAUUCAAUUUAUACCCUCGUCGUGUUAAUUAUUUUCUUCCCUAGGGGCAUGUUGUCUUUGAAGAUGGAACUAUGGAAGAUAAUAGUUGAAUAGAAUGUUUGACAUUUUAAUUUUCUCUUUGUCAAUUUGCAGGGAUAUACUUCCUUCGUACCCUCAUCUACGGGUGGUUAGUUCUUCACCUCAUGCGUUCAUAAUAUUGCUCCAAUUUUAUUUUAAAAUCUUGAUGGAAAAUUAAUUAGUAUUUCCUCUUUUGUUGUAUGAUUUGAUAGGUACUGAUGAGUGCUACUCUUGAUUCUGAACGGUUUUCACAAUAUUUUGGUGGUUGCCCAAUUAUCCGUGUUCCUGGGUUUACAUAUCCUGUAAAAUUCUAUCACUGAUUUUUUUGUCAUUUAUAUUCUUUUUUGGAUCACGUCAUAAUUUUCUUGAUAUUCUUAAUUCAGGUAAGAAGUUUCUAUUUAGAGGAUGUGCUUUCUAUCCUGAAAUCCACAGACGAUAAUCAUCUUAUUUCAGCUAAUGCAAGUGCCCAGGAUGAAGACCCAGAAUUAACUGAAGAAGAUAAGAUCGCAUUGGAUGAAGCUAUUAAUUUGGCUUGGUCAAUUGAUGACUUUGAUCCACUUUUAGAUUUGAUUUCUGUUGAAGGAGGGUCAAAGAUUCAUAAUUACCAGCAUUCUUUGACUGGACUAACGCCACUAAUGGUGUUUGCUGGAAAGGGUAGAGUGGAGGAAGUUUGCAUGCUCCUCUCGUUUGGUGUAGACUGCAGUAUAAUCUCCAAGGACGGGAAGAGUGCUUUGGAUUGGGCUGAGCAGGAAAACCAGCAGGAAGCUGCUGAAAUAAUUAAAAAUCAUAUUGAAAGUUCCCAAAAUAAUAUUGGGGGACAGAACUUACUCGAAAAGUAUAUAGCAUCAGGUAAUCCAGAAAUCAUUGAUUUUGUUCUUAUUGAACAAUUACUAAGAAAGAUAUGUAUUGAUUCAAAUGAAGGAGCCAUCCUUGUUUUCCUUCCUGGGUGGGAGGAUAUAAACAGAAUGAAAGAGAAAUUAUUCGCCAACCCCUUAUUUAAAGAUUCUUCCAGAUUUAUUAUAGUACCUUUGCAUUCAAUGGUUCCAUCUGCUGAUCAAAAGAAGGUCUUUAAUCGUCCACCUUUGGGCUGCCGCAAAAUCGUUCUUUCAACCAAUGUUGCUGAAAGUUCCAUUACAAUCGAUGAUGUUGUCUAUGUUAUAGAUAGUGGUAGAAUGAAAGAGAAAAACUAUGAUCCAUAUAAUAAUGUAUCAACCCUUCAGUCUUCAUGGGUCUCCAAAGCAAAUGCUAAGCAGAGAGAGGGGCGAGCUGGUCGAUGUCAACCUGGAAUUUGUUAUCAUCUUUUUUCAAAACUUCGAGCAGCUUCUAUGCUUGACUUUCAAGUUCCAGAGAUUAAGAGAAUGCCAAUUGAAGAGCUCUGUUUACAGGUAAUAUAUGUUCUGCUUUGUGCUUGUUAGGUCUCUCUGUCUCUCUCACUGAAGAUGGGGGGAUAUCUGCUACAGAAGUUUUCCUGUCAUAAACCAUGUUCAUCUCCUUUCUUUUACAUUUAUUUACUAAUAUUGUGAUACUGUCAAUGUAGUAGGCUGUGCCUCUUUUUUCUCUCCCAAGUGUGGUUUUGCUUAUUUUACAGAAAGGGCUUUGCGGGGAUGGGGGAAGAGGUGUUACUUUCUUUGACAAAGAAGGAAAUAAUUGAAAUGUAACAGUUUGUGCAUGAUUUUAUUUGCACUGGCAGGUGAAAUUGCUUGACCCAGCUUGCAAAGUAGAGGAUUUCUUGCGAAAGACAUUGGACCCUCCUGUUUCUGAAACUGUACAUAAUGCACUUAGAGUCCUUCAAGAUAUUGGGGCUUUCACGCAAGAUGAGGAACUGACAGAACUUGGAGAGAAGCUUGGUUAUCUUCCUGUUCAUCCAUUGACAUGCAGGAUGCUUUUCUUUGCCAUAUUGAUGAAUUGCCUUGAUCCGGCAUUGACACUAGCAUGUGCUUCAGACUUCAAGGAUCCAUUUGUCCUUCCCAUGCGACCAAAUGAAAAGCAGAAGGCUGCUGCUGCCAGGCAUGAGCUUGCGUCUCUGUAUGGUGGGCAAAGUGAUCAGCUGGCACUCAUAGCUGCCUUUGAGUGCUGGAAGAAUGCUAAAAGAAAGGGUCUAGAGGGACGUUUUUGUUCACAAUACUUUGUCUCAUCAAGCACCAUGAACUUGCUGUUUGGCAUGCGUAAGCAGCUCCAGGGUGAACUAAUACGGCAUGGGUUUAUUCCAGAUGAUGUCUCAAGCUGUAGUCUAAAUGCAAAUCACCCUGGAAUACUCCAUGCAGUCCUUGUGGCUGGUUUGUAUCCAAUGGUGGGAAGGAUACUCCCUGUAAAACAGGGUAAACGAUUGAUUAUAGAGGCUGCCAAUGGCAGUAAAGUUCGGUUACACACUCGCUCUGUUAAUUCAAAGUUAGUACCCAAGAAACCCGAAGAUUGCCCUUUGAUUAUGUAUGAUGAAAUAACCCGUGGGGAUGGGGGUAUGUUCAUAAGGAACUGUACUGUUGUUGGGCCAUUUCCAUUGUUAUUUCUUGCAACAGAGAUUGCAGUGGCUCCUAUAAAAGGCAUUGUUUAUGAUGAAGAUGAAGAUGAUGGGGAUGAUGGUGAUGGUGAUGAUGAUGAUGGAAGUGAUGAUGGUGAUGGUGAUGCAUGCAACACUGAUGGUGAUGAAAAAUUGGUUGUUAGUAAGUCAGGUGGAAAAGAAGAUAAGGUCAUGUCCUCUCCCGAUAAUUCUGUUAUGGUGGUUGUUGAUCGCUGGCUAUCAUUCAGAUCAACAGCACUUGAUGUUGCUCAAAUUUACUGCUUGAGAGAACGAUUAUUGGCAGCAAUCUUAUUCAAGGUAGGCAUUUCCAUUGACUGCGUACAUACAUAAGAGCUAAAAUACACUUUGCCCACCUUCUCCGUCCCUGUUUUCUUUGAUCAAUAGUAUCAUUUAAACUUGUUCAGCCGUGAAGCGUGCUCAUUUUCUUGUUAUAUUCUUCUCUACUUUUCCAGGUAAUGAAUCCACACGAAGUUCUUCCUCCUGUUCUCGGGGCGUCUGUAUAUGCAAUAGCUUGUAUUCUAUCUUAUGAUGGGUUAUCAGGCAUCCCAACGCCAGCAGAAUCUGUAGAUUCACUGACUUCGAGGGUGCGUUCUACUGAUAUCAACAAAUCUAUGCCAGUGAUGAAAGAUACAAGUCCCAAUCCAAGUAGAUUCCUUUUGUCACUUUUGAACCGAAGUCCAUUCAGCUGGUCAAGUUUCCAGAAAGGUGUUAAGGGCCCUGCAGUAGGGGCUGUAACAAAUGGAGUUGAGUCCAUGAGUUACAACCAAGAGGCACCUGUAAUGUCAGCUGGGAUGAGCUUAGAUCAAGCUGAGUUGCAGGACCCUACGUCAGUUGCUUCCGGUUCAGGUGUGUCUAAAUCACAGGGUUCUGGAAACGGUUCUUGCAAGCGACAACGCGGGAAGAGGUCUAUAUCUAGACCGUGAAGGUAGUAUAAAACAUAUUUUAUAAACUAGAAGAGCAAGUGGAUGGUGGAUUAUGCUCAUAGUUUUGAAGGUUUUGCAUUUCCAUUGAAGUAACCCAGUGGGUUGAGAAUCAUUAUCUAUGCUACAGGCUGACAUAUAAGAGUCGAUACUUACAUGAACUAGGGAAUAUUAUACUACUAACCUAUGGCAGCCACUUAGCUGUUUUAUAUGACCUUUUUUUUUUGCGUAAUUAAUAUUUUCCUCUGCUAAAUUAAUGGAAAAGAUCUUUAUUAUUAUUAUUGUUGUUGUUACUAUUAUUAAAGAGGUUGUAGUUUGAUAGAUGAGGAAAAAUUGCAGAUGUUAAUAUUCAAAAUUUAGAUUUAUUAGAUUCUUUUAACAGAUAUAAUAUGAAACUUUUGGAUUAAGUUUGAGUUUCAUCAUUAACAGUUAAUGUUAUUUUUUAUUUUUUUGUUUUUGGUACAUUGCAAAUGGAAUAUCUUAAUUCCACAAGCAUGAUUUAAAUAUAUUUACUUUUUAAUUCUUGAAUUUUUUUUUUUACUGCACUUUAAAUGGAGGCUUUAAUAUGCACGGCAUCUUUUUGUAUUUAUGGUGGGUAAAGAUGAUUCCUUAGUUGAGUUUACCAUCAUCAAAGGGCUGUGCGACAAGCAUCUUGUCCGGAUUGAAAAAUGGUAUUCAUCUGGAAUCCGACGUCUGCGGCAACUAUCUGGUGAAGAGAAAAAUAUUAAAAGAGUUGGGUUUUUAUUUGAGCAAUAAAAUUUUGUUUAAUCAAUUUUCUUUUCUUUUCUUCCCCAUAUGGUGUUGAGAUAAUUUAGGUUUUAGGUUUCUGUAAAACGGAUAUGCGUAACACUAGAAAAAAAUGAAAAAAGAGAUAGGUUCCUUUUUAGCAUCAUGUUAAUUGAACCACUUUAAUCUAUUUACAUAUAAUCAAAUUCGUUGUGAUCUCCUGAUCAUCAUAUUUUUCCUCGCGAGUCAAUUGAGGACAUAGUCAUUAAUGGCUAUUGCAUACCGACAAAUUCAAAGGUUUUAGUGAACAUUUGGGAAAUUGGGAGAGAUCCUAAUACUUGGUCCAAUAAUGUUGAAGAGUUCUCUCUAGAAAGGUUCAUUAAUAAUAAUAUAGAUCUUCAUGGACAAGAUUUUGAACUCAUCUCAUUCGGUGCAUGUAGUAGAAUAUGCUCAAGGAAAAAAUUAGGGCUAAUCAAAGUUAAACUUGUUCUAACUCAAUUGGUGCAUUGUUUUGAUUGUGAGUUGUCCGGUGAAAUGUCGCCAAAUGAAUUGGACAUAACUGUGAAUUUUAGUGUCUCGUUGCUAAAGAAUUUUGAUGAUGUGAUUUAACAGGAUAUUCGUAUAAUAAAAGUAGGGUGUUUUGAAAAUAGUAUGUAUUUGAUACAUUGUCACAAUAUAAAUAUAUAUAUUGAAAAUGCAUCACACUUUAAAAAAUUCUUCAAAAUAAAAUAAAUAUAAUUAAAAUUUUUAAUACAUUACAUCGCUUUCUUUAUUGUUCGUAUAUAAAUUUGUCUUGCUAUCAAUUCAACUUCUUCUCUUAAACAAGUUUUCUUAUUUUUGAAAAAUAUUACUUCAACCAAAACGAAACAUAAAAAAAAAAAAAAAAAACGAGGGAUAGAUUAAGGAUUCGCGAUAGUAGAAAGAAAAACAAAGGGAAUUGGUAAGAAAAUUCAAUGGAACUAAAGAUUAAAAAAAAACACAAUAAAAUAUAAUUUUGUUGUAAUAAAAAAACUUUGCUUUGUUUAUAUUUAUUUGGUUAAAAUAUAUUAUAAGUUUUUAUAUUCUUCAUAAAUUAUGAAUUUAGUCCCGUACUUUUAUAUAACUUAAAAUAGAUAGGGAUUUUUAAUCAUUAAUUAGAAUUGUAACCUCGCUACAUUGGGGGUUUUAUUUUUGAUAAUUUUUAUUUAAUUAAUAUUUAAAAUUAAUUUUAAAAUAAUUUUUAAUAAAUUAUAAUUUCUUGGUGCUAGUCCCUUUAUUAUACCCAAAUUUAGAAUUAAAACCUUAUACUUUAAUUUUGACAUAAUUUAAUUAAUUUAUUUUUAGAAUGUCAUUAAUUAUUCCAAAAAGCUAACAAUUUUAACUAUGCAUUUUUUUUCUUAAGUUCAUUCCUUCUAACUAAUUCACGGCUUAAUCACCUUCUAACUAAUCAUACUAAAACAUAUUUUUCUUUUUUGGAAUGAAUAUGUUAAAAGGAAAAAAUCUACGAAUUUAUUGAGUGUAUUAAUCUAGUUAAUGAUACUAAUAUAUAUAUAUUUCUUUGUUAGAAUAAGCAUUUUAAGGAAAUAUUCACUUCAAACUUUUUAACUAAAAUUAUUACCAUGUUAAUUAGUUGGACUAACUAAUUGUAUUAUAAAAGUAGAUACAAAAUUAUUUUUAAUUAAAUUGUAUUGACUAAAUUUCAAAUUCGGGUAUAAUAAAAGGACCGAAAUCACAUUUUGAUAUUAUAAAAGUAGAUGAAAAAAUUAUGUCAAAUUAAAUUAUAGGGACUAAAUCUCAUAUCUAAAUAUAGUAAAAGGACCAAAACCAAUCCCUUCUCUUCUUUCCCUAAUGCCUCACCCAACUAAAUAAAUAAGGUGUAAUGAUUUAUUUGACCUUCCAACUUUAUAAAAAAAAAACAUUUUAGUCAUCUAUUUAAAUAUUCACCUUUUUUAGCCCUUAAAUUUGCAUUUUAGCCAAAUUAUUUCAAAAUAGAUAAAAAAAGUUAACGCCUGUUAACUUUACUGAUGUGACAUACACAUAAUUAUCAUGGGGAUAUCACGUCAGUAAUUAAUUAAUUUUUUUAAAAUUUAAAAAAUAAAAAAAAACAAAAAAAUAUUAAAAAAUAAAAAUUAUGAAUUUUUUAAAAUAUUUUCUAAUUUUUUAAAACUUAAUUAAUUGUUGACACAAUGUGGAUUGCCACAUGACAUUAACUUUCUAUCCAUUUUCGAGGUGAUUUGAUAAACGAUAUAAGUUUAAAGGUUAAAAAAAUAAAAAAAUUAAACGAAAGUCUAAAACGACUUUUUUAUAAUAAAUAAAUAAAAAUGCCAUGCGUAAAUGCAAGGCUAAACACUUCUACCAUGCUUAAUUUAUCGAGAGAGAUUUUUUUUUUUAUGAAUUACAAAUAAUAUGACAAAACCCGAACAAUAAACAUGACUAACGUGACUCAAACUCAAAUCACACUUGGGACAGUAACACUCUUGACCAUAUAUAUAUAUUAUAGAUUUAUUCUCUCCAUUGAAAUCAUAAAUUUUCUGUUUGAUGCUAUUCCUACUGAAACGGACAAUUUCUUUCUUAAUAUUUUAUAUGUAGGCCCUGGAUUAGAAUUUGAUUAAUUCAUUGAUUAUUUUUUUUCAUACUUUUUCUUUCCUCUAAGAUAUUUUAAUUUCAUAUUGAUUUAUAGUGAAUGUAUUAUUCUAUUUGAAAAAAAGAGACAUUUAACUUAAAAAGACUUGAUCAUAGAUAUGAUCAUGAGAGGGGUUGGAGAAAAAUAUAGUUUCGCAAAAUAGGUUUGGAUAAAAAAAUAAGGCCUGUUUUUUAAACGGGUUGGGUCAUGAGCAGAAUUUUUUGGCCCAGAACCAACUCGAAUCACAUUCCUAUACUUUUUUUUAAAAAAAUUAUUGAGAAUUCUUUAUGUUAGCUCGAUCAAUCAAUUGAAAAUAGCUAAGAGAGGGAAUGAAUUGACCUUUUAAAAAAUUUGUGGAAGCAAAAGAGAAAAUAUGAGACAAUGAAUACAAUAACUUAGAGUGGUUUGGUCUUAAUUGCCUUUUCCACUACCUUAGCUUUCUAUAACUAAAGAUUUUUCCAAACUCACUAAUUUGAUGACAAAGUUUAACCUUACAACUCCCUUAAAAUUUUUACCCAAAUCUUAAUAAACAAACCCUCUCAAAAGAGCAAACAAAUAAGCAUACAAGGAAAUGAUCCUUACAAGAUUAGGAUGUUUGUCAAUUAAGCACUAAUACAAAGAAACACUUGAGUUGAUAGAAAAACAACGAAUGCUCACAAGUGUAUAUAAGAAAAAUGUGAAGAUUUUUAAGCACAAAGGUUGAUAGGACAACUGUUGGGGUUUGGCCUUAUAAACAACGAGAUAGUAAAAGUGGAGAACCACGAACACAAAUAUUUUAAGUGAGAAACCCUCAAAAGGGAAAAAGCUACGGGCAAAUGAGACUUCGGCUUUUCACUAAACAAACGAGAGUUCAAUAUGAAAAAAAUAAACCUAAAAGUACUAAAUGUACAAUCCCAAAGAAGAAACUGGUUAACAAAAUCCUAAAUCUCAUAACACACUCACAAAAAGGGGUAUAAAACACUCUCCAUAAUUAUCACAAAACUCUCAUAAAAAAUCAUAUGCGACUACAUCUUGUCGCCCUCAAAUAAAAAAAAAAUCAUUGUUGAUUUGCGUCUAAUUUUGGCCUCUAGAAUCAGGGAUAUAAUGGCCUCUUUAAAUAGGCUAAAACUAGAGUCCUAAUAUGGAUAUAAUAUUCCUAGAAUAAUUAGAGUUUUAGGGAAUAAAUAGUAGAGUUUAAUUAGGAGAAGAAAAUUCGGUUGAAUUUGGGAAGACGUCGCAGUGUCAUUUUUUCCUCGUCGGGGCAUUGUCCAUCAUGUCGUCGCGACAUCAUAAUCCUUUUUGUGAUAUCAUCUCGUAAAUACGAGGCACACCACAUAGCUUUUUUAUCCUUUUGCACUCUCUUGUUGUUGUAGAACCUUUUGAAGAUGAUAUUUAUACACUUAAAUUGAUUUCCAACCAUUGUGAUUGUUGUGGAAUUGAAUAGAGCUGUUGAAUAAAAAACUAGAGCAUUAAUGUCACCUGCAACAACUAUUGAUACCUUUUGAUGUGCAUUGAUACUUAAAGCAUUUAAUGUUCGAUUUAGUGAUUGUUGACCCUUUUUCACAUCAAUACCUAGAGAGAUUUAUCGAUGCUUGAUUAUAAGUAUAUGUUAUUUUUUAUGGGUAUCGAUACUAGGGUAAUUUCUUGAAUAAUUUUCAAAACAUCGAACCCUAGAAGAUGAUAUUUAUGCUCCCAAAUUGAGUUACAACCGUUGUUGUUGUAGAAUUGAAUAAAACCGUUAGGAUAUAAAAAACCAGAGCAUUAAUGUCACCUGCAACAACAUGUAUCGAUAGCUUUUGAUGAGUAUCAAUACUUAAAGCAUUUAAUGUUUAAUUCCAUGACUGUUGACCCUUUUUCACAUCAAUAUCUGGAGAGAUUUAUGAUGCUUGAUUAAAAGUAUCAAUAAUUUUUUGAUAGGUGUCGAGACUUAAUUACAAGUAUCAAUACACAAACUAUUUUUAUUCAAAAACAUUUUUUUGUUAUAUUAAAAUAAUUUAUCAAAUAAAACUUAAUUUAACAAUUUAUUUUAAUAUUUUUAUUGUAUUGAUGUAUAAUAUUUUUUAAAUUUUUUUUGUAUAAAAAAUCUAAAAAAAAUUAUUACAGUCAGGCUUGGGUUAAGCAUUUUUAAUAUGGGCCAGACUUGAGAAAAAUUUUAAGCCCAUUUUUGGGUUGGGCUCGGGCUUACAAAGCGAACCUAAAAUUCUGCAUCAGUCUGACCCGACCUAUGAUUACGUCUAUUUACGAAUAAGAUUUCUCAAGAAACAAUAAUUAUUUUUAUUUAACUUAUGUUUCAAUUUAAUUAAACUGUAGAUGAAGUGGUAAAAAAUUUAUACAUAAGUCUUCAAUUGAUAUCGAGUAAAAGAAAUCAUAUUUGGUUAUUUUCAGUCACGUACAACACUAUUUACAGUAGUUUAGAUGGGUAGUGCGUUUAGUUGCGGUUAGUGUAAAAACAGCGGUAGCGGUGAGAUUAAAUACUGUAACAAUAUUAUAGCGUGAGACAAAAAGUAAACUAAAUACAUUACACCCCAUCCAAUCGUCCAUCCAAACCUUAAUUCAUAAAUAAAAAUUGAGAAGAAUGUUAGAAUGGUUAAAAAAAAAAUUGAAAUAAAAUUAAUUUAUGCAAUUAAUAGAACAAAGUUGGCCAAAAUCUUAUGGGAGGAGAGAAAUAUAAAGAGAAGACCCACAAAAAAAAAAAAAAUCUAGAAAUGAAUGAAACAAGAUAAUAUAGUGAAGAAAGGGUACAGUGAAAGAAAUUAAAGGAAAUUUAUUGCGAGCAGAAAAUGGGGAAAACGUAAGCGAUGGAAAUGGAUUAAAAAUGUCUACAACAAUUAUAAAUAUUUUUAAUUAUUUUAUAUAAGUUUUUUUAACUCUUUAAAUAUGAUUAAGGUAGGAAAAAAUCUAGUAAUAUUUAUAAAUUUAAAUUUAAAAAUAAUAACAACUUAUUUAUACUAAUCAAGAAUAAAUUUGAUGAAUAGAAAAUUAUUUGUCUUUAAUACGAAAUUAUUCGUUAUUUUUAAGAUUUCAACAAUAUCACUUAAAUGUCUACGAACUUAUAAAAUUUAACUCAAUUUCUUUUCACAAUAAUAAAAUUUUAAGCUGAAAUAUAUAAAACAACUCAAACUUUCUUUAAUAGUCUUUUGGAAAAAUGAAAACACCUUGAAGUGACUAUUUUUCUUAAUUAAUAUAAAUAUAUAUAAUUUUUUCAAAGCUUCAUUGACUACAUAUUCUAAACGUACGUUUAAAGUCUUCAAAUGUUUUAUUCACCAAACAAACAAAGACUUUAAAUGUGUUUCUUAAGAAAAAACAUUUAUUAUUUUAAUUAAAACAUAUUCCACAAAUAUAUUUAAAAAUUUAUCACGUGUCUCGUUUAUUUUAUACAUAUCUAUUUUUAAUAUUUUAUUAUAUUUUAUAGGACACUUGUCAUUAUUCUAACCAUGUGUAGUCUAAAAACUCUAUUAAUAGUGUGCAAAAAUAUUUUGCUCCCAAAAAAUAUAAUUAUUGUUGCCAAUAAAAAGAAAAUAUAAUUAUUUGUUAUACAUGUGUUGAAGUUUUUGUAAACUACACCAUUAGUCACUAAACUAUGGGUAAGUUUUUAUUUUGGUCACUUAACUAAAAAAAGUUACAAUUUGGUCACUAAACUAUUCAAAAAUUUUCAUUCAAUUCACUGAACUAUUCAAAAGUUUUUAUUUAAGACAUUGGGCUAUUAAUUUUUUUUUUUUAAAAAAAGUUCCACUAGCAAGCUAUAAGUGAUGAUUUCACAACUGAUACGGUGGAUCAGUAUUCAGUUGGAAAAGUUUUGGUUUGAGAAUAGCUUUCUUACACAACGGAAAAUUAAAGUUUUGAAAACCGAGUCGGUUGUGAUAUUUAUAGCAAUAAACUUUACUUGAAAUUGCUCUUGUGUUUUCGGCUAGACGGAUUCUUAUCGUUCCUGACUUUCAACCGAACAGUCUUCUCUGCUAUUCUCAUACUACGAACUGCUUCGAGUUUGGGCUCGAACGAAUUCGAAUCAAAUACAUGACUAGAAAUUAUUUACUUUACUUUUAAUGGGAAAACAAAAAUCUCUCUCUAAUAAAAAGCGGUAAAAUUGUUAUUCCGGAAAAUAGAAUUUAUAUUUAGAAAUAAAUUAUCACUAUUUUCGUGCAAAAUAACAAUAUCUCAAAGUUGUGUAAAACUUCUUAUGUUUUUAGCCCUACUGGUACUAUCUAUUUAUAGGGAGAAAAAGUGAAACUCUUAUUGAAUAAGUAGUUUAUUUAAUAGAAAAAUAACUUCAAAGUUGAACUAGGAGAGAGUGGGCGACAACAUUAGUUAAAUAUAGUAAAGUUUGCCAUCUCAUGUAUUAACAUAAAUGGCUCUUGUGCCUCUCCUGUAUCGGGUCUAAUUAUAAGUGCUUUCUAAACUUUUAACCAAACACUAUAUAAUUCAAUCUAACCCAACACAUAUUUUUCCAUUUUCUAAAAUAAACAUCAUAUAUUAAUUUUCCAAUUAAAUAAUUUCCUCAACCCGGUUUUGAUUCUGUUAAAAUCAUGAUAAAUUUAUCGUAAAAGAAUUUAUGAAAUGUAUAUUUAAUAUUUAUACAUUUAAUGAUUCAUAAUGAUCAAUUAAUUUAAUUUCAUUUUUGAACUUUAAUUUUUUAAUUAAAUAAUUAAAUACUAAUUAAAAAACCAUAAAUUAAUUCUCAGGUCAUUUUCAUGAUAGGAAAAUCACAUUCAUUUACAAAUGUUUCACAUUUCUCUAACUUUACCAUUUAUAUCCAUUUAUGUGCAUUUGAUUCAAUAUACAAUUCAUUUCUGGUUUCAACGAGGUAGCAAAGGGACCGAUUAGACAUAUGUGAUUAGCGCUCAGAUGAUUUAUAAUUAAGUUCUAGCUUUUAGCUUAUUAAUUAUAAACUUAUUUAGUCACAAAGUCAUUCUACUAUAGUAUCAUGGCUGAGCUCUCCCUAAUGACAUACCAUUACGAAAGCAACUCGACUUGUACUCGUCCAAUGUCCUUAUUAUAAGUGUGUUACCCCCAAAUGAUAUCUUUAAUCUCAUUAGGAUAAAUCCGUUCUCCCAAUAUGAUCCUACAUUAUCUCAUGGGAACCAUUAUAUCUUUUUUCAUGAAAAGUCAAUUACUAUCAAACAGUAAUUAAGUCAUUCAUCACAAAGACGAACAACCCGUGUGUAACGGCCCAAAUUUCAGUGAUAUCAGAAUAGUGAUUUGAGAUCACUAAAUCCGACAUGUGAGUUUAGUUAUUAGUAAGUAAAAGUUAAGUGUGGUUUUAGAAAUAAUUUCGAAUUAGUGAAAUUAUGAAUUAAAAGAAAUUUGUAGAUUAAAUAAGAUAAAGAUGAGGUAUCGAGACCUCGAAUUCAUAAACUGAGCCAUAAAUAUUUUUAUAAAUAUUUAUAGAGUGUUAUUAAGUUAGUAUUAAAGUUUCGUUAAGAAAUUUUAAGGUUUCAGUAGUGAAUUGGGUAAAAAGGACUAAAUUGAAUUAAGUACAAAAUUGUGAAAUGUGAUUAAAAAGCUCUAGUAAUAAUUAAAGGAGGACUAAAUAGGAAAUUAAACACCUAUUAUUGGGCUGGACGGCAUGAGUGUGCAGGAAAAAUAAAAAAUCAAGUGUGAACAAAGGGCAAAAUUAGAAAUAGGGUAAAAAUUAAAUUGUAAAAUAUGAUAUAUUAGGUAAAAUCUAGAGUUUUUUUCAUUUUUCUUCAUCCUCUCCAGAAAAAAAACACCAUUGAAGGGUUAUUUUAAGCUGGUCUCUCAUAUUUUUACUACAUGUAAGCUCAAUUCUUGAUUAUUUCUUGUAAAUUUUGUGUUUUUGAGACUUUUACAACUAGGUCCACUUGUUUAAUUCAUUAGUUUUUGAUUUCAUGGGUAAUUUUGAAAGUUUCCAUGAAUAAGUGCUGAAAUUUUAUGAUGAUUUAUCAUGGAAUUAAGGUUUUAAUUUCAUUAUAUGAUGAUUUUAUGAAGAGAUUUGCAUAGAAAUUUAUUUUAGGACUUAAUUGUGAAAGUUGUUGGAAUUAGGGUUUUGUGUUGAAGCUUGAAUGUCAAAUACUGUGAAGUAGUUUGUAGUGUUUAGAUAAAAUGAUAUUUGAAAGGAAUUAGUUUAAUUGAUGAAUAAAUUGAAUAGGGACUAAAUUGUAAAAACUAAAAAGUUUGGGAUAAUAGUGUAAUUUUAAAAAUUUAAGGGCAUAAGUUGUGAAAUAGAAUAGAAUCGAAAUAGAUGCUAAUGAAGGAAUGAUUUUAUAAUUAUAGAUCAAGAAAACGAAGUGAAUCGUGGAGAGGAGAAAAUUCAAGAAUAGUCCCUGACUUUCUACGACUUUUGCAAAUUAGCCCAGGUAAGUUCAUAUGGCAAAUUUAAUGUUUUUUUAUGAAAAUAUUAUGGUUUUUAAGUAUAUUAUUGUAUAUGAAUACUAUUAAAUUGUAAAAAAGUAUGAAAUAGUAUUUAAGUAAAAAUACAUAAUAUUCGGAACAAUAGAUUUGAGUGCUUCCAUUCUGUGACCAUAAUGAAUUGAUGAAAAAGAUGUGAUAUGUGCUUCCGUAUAAGACCAUAUCUGGGCUAUGGUAUCGGUACAAUGUGACUCGAGUUCCCGUAUAAGACCAUAGUUGGGUUAUGGCAUCGGUGUGAUGUGAUAAUGUGAUUCCGUAUGAGACCAUAUCUGGGAUAUGGCAUCAGUAUGUUAUGUGAUCCGUGUAAGACCAUGGCAGGGCUAUGGCUUCAGUGUGUGAUGUGUGACAAUGUGAAAGUCCAUAGUUUACUAUGGCAAUGUGAUAAUGAAGCACUCAAUUCCUUUAUUGUUCCUUAAUUUGACAAUGGAAGUAAAUGAGAAAUGGGCCCAAGGGAAUUAAAUUUGUGAAUAGCAACCUGGAAAUUAUCCAAAUGAGUUUAUUAAUGAAAUUGUGAUUUGCAGGAUGAAUUAGAUAAGUUAAUAGAUAUAUAAUUGUGUAUAAUAUUUGGUAAGAUUUGUGUAAUUAUGUCUAUGAGCUUACUAAGCUUCUACAAGCUUACUUGUGUAAGUUAUUUGUUUUGUAGAUUGACUUAUAUACAUACGGAGGAUCAGAUCUACAUCAAGGUUCACACUAUCCAGAUUUACUCCGGUAGAUUUUGUUAAACAACUUUUUGAUUUAUAUGGCAUGUAUAGGAGUUGAUUUGAUAAUGUAAUUGUGUGAAUGAUUAAAUAUGUAAAGUAUGUUAAAUGUGAUGUUUUGUGUUUGAAAAUGAAAUAUACAUAUUUUGGAUUGAAAUAAUUGAUUGGUUGGGUACUAUUAGUGUAUAAUUGUGUUUAGGUACAAGAAAAUGGAUAAAAGAAUGUUAUUUGAUCAAGAUUGAUAAAUCAAUGUUUUGGGUAUAAAUUAAGUGUGUUUGAUAGGUGACAAUAGCUUAAAAAUAGUUAAAAAUGAGGUUUUCACACGGCCAAGUCAUAUGGGCGUGUGCCCAGGCCGUGUGGUAAAGUCAGAAUCGCCUACGGGCAGGCCACACGGGCAUGUCCCAGGCCAUACAGGCGUGUGCCCCUAUUUUCAAGGAAAUUUUUUUCAAAGUUCCCGGUUUAGUUCCAAAUCACUUCCUAAGCAUAUUUUGGGUCUCGUAGGUCCAUAUUAAGGACUUAAAGAUGAAAUUUGAGAAAUUUUUAAAUUGAAAUACAAAUUUAUGACUCGGUUUUAUAUGUUUAUUAUUGUUUAAUUCAGGUAGCACCUCGAAUCCUGUUCCGGCGUCAGAUAUGGGCGAGGGAUGUUGCACGUGGCCACGUUUACUUUUCAUCUAUCAAGUAAUUCCAAUUAGAGGAUAUCAUUUAUCCAUGUCUUCGACUAUAAAUUCCACUAUUGUGAAUGAUGCUACAUACUGUAGAAGUCAUAUACCCAACGUACCAGCCUUCAGUUCCUUAUCUAUUUGAACUCAAACUUUUGCUUACACCAAAGUAUACGAGUCAUGCAUACAUAGUCCAUCGUUCACUCAGGAUUAAUGUAUGCCACACUAUGAACGUGACAAGUGAAUAAAUCCAUAAAUGGAUUCAGGAUUUAUUCUGCUUGGGUCCAGUUUGAUGUACUACCAGUCCAGUCAGUCACAUCUAUGUCUCUAUCUUCUAGGAGUCAUCUACUCCGAUGCCCAAAACAAGACACCUCCUCAAUUGGACUUAAUAGACGACAUAUUAAUCUUUAAAUCGAUUUGCUCAUUUCCGGUUAGACUAAGAACAUGUUUAGGUUCAUCUACUAAUAUAAGUUGUCUUUCCGUAUUACGAUCUGACCAUGUAAUACCACUUAGUAUUAGUUUAAACAUUAGACAACUAUUGAGUUAAUAUUUGCUUCUAUUUUGCUUUGCAUGCAAAAACCACAUGAAGACAUUAUACAAAGAAUAUUAAUGUAAUCCAUUAAUCAUUUUAUUAACCAAGCUGUUUCAAAAAAAUUACAAGUUUACAAAUUAAUAUAAUACAUAUAGGGAACCGGAUCCAACAUACCCAUCGAGGAGUAGAAGAACAUACCUUAAAUCCAAGUCAAUCCGGCGGUCAGUGUCAAAGAUCAGAAAAAAAAAACUAUUUGAAUUUUGGUUCAUAGAUUCAUGACAUCCAAAACUAUUUCAUAAAAAAAAAAUCAACUAGAGAAAAGAAGAGUGAAGUGAGCUUUCAAUUGGUGUAGACAGUGCGAACAAAAAAAGUCGUACCAAUUUUAACAACCUGAUGACUUAAGUGAAAACUUUUGAAUAAUUCAAUAGCCAAAUUGUAAUGUUUUUUAGUUAAGUGACCAAAACAAAAACUUACCCAUAGUUUAGUGACUAAUAGAAUAGUUUACCUUUUAAAAUAUUGGUAAGUUUCUUUAAUUAAUAUUUAAAAAAUAAAAAUAUAUAAAGGUAAGUAUUUGGUACACUAGCACUAAACUUUUUUUUUAUUUCACAAGUAAUAUUGAAAAAUUGCCAUGUGUCUUUUUUUUAAUAUCUAGUUUUUCAAUAUUUUACUAUACCUCUAUAAGAGACUUGUCAACCUUUGACCUUGCUAUGGAGUCUAAAAACUUCACUGGUAGUAUUCACAUGUCAAAUUUUCAAGACUGCCUAUGGAUUAAAAAAAUUAUAAGAUCAGUGUUGUAACAUUUCGUUUUCAAUGGUGUUGGAAAUAGUGAUUUCAGGACUACAAUUCCAACCAGUGAGUCAAUAUAUUUUAUUUAUUUAUUAUUUAUUAAGUUGUUGGAGUGUCGUAUUAAAAUUUGGUACGAUAAUUUUAAUGUUUGGAUAGUUAAUUAAAGAAAAAUGACUAAAUCAUAAAAGUUGAAAAAAUUAAUCGCUAUUAGUUUAUAUGUGCUAAAUAGAUAAGAAAUCUUAAUUGGAGGGUUUUAUGAAGUAAAUAACCCAUGUUAGCCAUAGUGGACAGUUUAAGUAUGGUAUAUUGUGAAAUUUAAGUUAAUAUUAAAGGGAAAAUAGUAAUUAAAUAAUUUAUAACAAAAACAAAAUAGGAAAAAGUGGUCAUCUUCUCUAUUUGUUUCCUUAGCAACCGAAAUCACCAUUGUUUCAUUAGGGAGGAAUCAACCAAGCUUAGUUUGAUUGCAUGUAAGUGUUUUCUCUACCCGUUUUUAGUAAUUUUAUAUUUUUGAGAUCGUUGUAGUUUAUUCUAGCUAACUUAGGGACUAUUUUGCAAAAUUGUUAAAUGUUUUGAAAAUUUCCAUUGAUGAUUUUUUAUGUUCUUGAAGUUAAAUGAUAUAUUUUUAAGCUUAGUUGUUGAAUAGGACUAAUUUGUAAAAGAAUUUUGGUUAGUUUUAAGUUUAAUGACUAAAAUGAUAAAAUAAUAAACUUGACAUGAAAUUCUUUUGAAAUUUCAAUAAUUAUGGGCUGUAAAUGGAUACAUAAAAAUUCAGCUAGCUUUAUUUUGGGCUUACUUGUGAUAAUUGUAUAAGUUUCAGGUUUAGGGACUAAAUUGAGUAAAAGGUAAAAGUUUAGGAUAAUAAUAUAAAAUAUCAUUAAAGGGUUAAUUACAUGAAUUUAGACAUUUUAAGGUAUUUGAAUUGGUUAAUUGAGUUAAAUUAUUAUAUGUAUAGAUUAAGAAAUGAAUCAACCAGUUGAUAACUGCGAAAAAAGAAAAAUUGUCGAGUAGUCCUCAUCGAGGUGUUGGUAGCUAUUGCAUUUAAGUAAGUUCGUACGAGAUUUGUUAUGUUUAUUAAUAUUUUGAAUUCUAAUCAUAUAUGUGUAUAUGUAUAUGUGUAUAAUGGGCAUGAUUAAAUGAGGUAAGUUUGAAGGUGGAAAUAAAGGCUUUAAAUUUAAAGCAUGACAAUUGUACUUGUUUGAAUUGAAUCAUGUUAUUAUAUGGAAUGUUUGUGAUCAAGUUGAUCAUGGUAUGAGGUUAUAAUUAUGAAAAUAUUAAGGUAUACAAGUUAAGGCCAGCGUGAACUCAAUGAGUAGCUAGGAUACAGAUAACAUGUCAUUAGGCUGUUCCAGGCACUAGGUGCCAGUGAUUACAGUUUCCAGGUACUAUUUACAUGUGUUACAGUUCCAGGUACUCUGUGCCGGUGAUAUAUAUAUAUAUCCAGGUACUAUGUACCGGUGGUGGAUACCGUACUGAUAGUUGUAAUCUAGCAUUUAUUGCAGAUUCUUGUCAGCUUGUAUGAACAUUCAUUUCCCCGUGUAUCCAAAGUAAGUUACUAAAGUUCUCCAGGCUUUUAAUAUUUUGGAAUAUUUAGGAAUGAAACUCAUGGCAUGAAUGGUUGUUUGCUUAAAUAGAAGUGAAAGGGUAUAUGGAACUUAUAUCUUGUGAUAUUGCCAAUGUUAUGAAGAUUACUAAUCUUUUGGUAUGGUAGGUAAUGUGAAAUAAGGCAAGAAUUGUUGCUAUAUGUUAAAUUAAAUUGUAUGCUUAAAAUGACAGGUAUGUGAUGUUUGAUUUAUACAAACUUACUAAGCUUUAAGUAAGCUUACCUCGUUUUGUUUUCUUUCUUAUAGAUUGUUAGAUUCAAGCUAUAGAUUGGACCAUUUCUGAAGAUCACACUAUGCGUCAAUUCUUUCAAUAGCUAUUUACUUAUUUUGACUCGAUUAUAAGUGGCAUGUAAAUAGGGUUUGGUAACUUUUCUAUAUGAGAACUUUGGUUGAGGUUUAUGUCACCUUGUGUGUGAAUUGAGUAGUUGGAUGUAAAGCUUAAAUAUUAUUUUUGUUGUUGUUGAUGUUAAGCUUAAAUGAUGUUUAUGUAUUUGGUAAAUUGAUAAACUUUGUUUUAUGAAUGUGAACAUGAGAAAAUGAAGUUAGUUUAAUGGUUGAAUAGGUAUAGAAUGUUAGGUUGUUAUGCUUGAAUCAUUAAAGUUUAAUGUUUGAACUGUGGUGCUAAUGAUGACAUAUUGGUUAGGCACUUAAGUUGAAUGCUAUUUGGUAUGUUUUGAUAAGUUUUGAUGCAUUUUAUGUAGGAUUAAUGGAUGGUAAUUGCAUUACUUGUGGCCUAAGCGAUUAUAGGUGUGAUGGCUUCGUUUUGAAGGCAUGUUCAGGUGCACACGGUCGUGUGCCACAUGCGGUUGUAUGGCAUGACCAUGUGGUCUGUUUGAUUUUGGUGCAAGUUUAUUCACAUGGUAUCAGUCUGUUACACGGCUUGGCGAAAUGGUCGUGUGACCCAUGUUUACACUUUUUACUUGAAUUUUUGUAAAAGUUUCAGUUUAGUCCUAAGUUGUUACCAAGUUGGUUUAAAGGUCUUGUAUGCUUAAUUAAUGCCCGAUUUUGAUUGUAAAUCACAUCACACUUGUGUUAAUGUUGUUUAAUAGAUUUUUUGAUUAUUUAUGUCGAAUCUUUGUAUGAUAGAAAUGUUUAAUAUUUGUAAUACCUUAUAGCUUGGCUCAGGUAAUCGGACCGGGUAUAGGGUGUUACAAGUGUAAUAAAUACUAACUUAUACAAAAUAUUAAUAAAUUUCUUUAAAUAUUCUUCAUAAAAUUUCUAAUAUUUUGUACUAAUUUGAUUCUAGAUUAUAGUUUAUCAAGGAAUAUUAUAUUUAUGACCCUAUUAUAUAUAUUUGAAAAUAAUGCUGGUUACUUUAUUAAAUGAGAAAUAACAAAAUGACACAAACCAUAUAGAAAAUGAAAAUCAUAAAGAAAACUGGGAAAGCAAACCAAACCCAAAAGACGCCUCUCUCCUAGAGGAGACCCUAACCGACGCUAAGCCUUCAAGCAAAACAACAAGUGGACGAUGAAAAAUCACUUGAGAGGAAAUUUUGGGGAAACAAAGAUAUCAAGAAAUUCCCCAACUUAAAGCCUGCUGAAACCUAGACUAAGGUGGAUUGUACGAUCUUCUGUCUUCGUCGGCAACAAAGGUGGCCAACAAUGAUACUUCCUAUACUCAAAAACAAUCAUUCGUUCUUAACAUGCCCUUUGGAGCCACUGCAUGUGCAAUCUGGUUCCCUGAUCUAGCUAUGAAGGUGAACCGACAGUCUAAAAACCGUUUUGAAAGCUCAUUUACUUCCCAAAUAAUGUACUAAUUUUUGAGAAUUCUUCUGAGCUUACGUUUAACUUUUGGAUGACCGACCUGGAAUCACUCUCCAGGAUGACUGACUAAAAGCCUAGAUCAAGUGCAAACCUUAACCUAUGUACUGUCGUUAGAGCUUCGGUCGCAAAUACUGUAGGCGAAUGUAAGGUAAGACGACUACAUACCCUUGUAAUCUGUCCAUGUUCAUCUCUAAUAAUUACUCCUGAACAUAUUUUUCUUUGUAUAAGGGAAAUAUUGGCAUCGACAUUAAUCUUAACAAAUGAUAUCGGAGAAAGGGACCAGCUAACAGCCUGAGGUGGAGACGACCGAUAUAUACUUGCAACAAGCACUUCAAUAUCCGCACAGUAGCCUCGAACAAAGGCAACCAAAUCCCUCAUCCUCUAGUUUGUACCCCCAUGUAUAAGCUUAUUCCUAGCAUACCAAAUAACCCACAACACCACUACUAUCUUCACUCUUUUAUUCGCAGAAUAAUUUUCUAACAUCCAUGAUAACCAUUCAUGAAAGUUGAUAUGUUCGUUAUUACCUGGGCUAACAUAGUAUAAAGCUAGCCACACAUCCCUUGCAAAACCACAGUAUCGUAGAACGUGAUUCACAUCCUCAACAGCAUGACAACAUCUAGGGCACAGAAGGUCAUUUGCAAUUCUCUUGUUAUACUAACUCAAUUUUGUAGGUACAAAAUAUUUCAGAAAUUUCCACAGAGCGAUUCAAAUUUUUGAAGGGUAAGAGAGCAGCUAUAUCUGUUGAUAUAAUAUUUUAUCCAUUGGGGUGUAAAUUAGAAGGGCUCAGUAAUGAUCAAUAUCUACUACAAGCACUAUAUAAGCCUGAGUGUUCACCACUCCAUACUACAUAGUUCUCUUGUGAAAAACUCGAAAGGGGAAUACUCUUAAUAAUAGUAGCUUCGCCAUGGGAAAAUAUAGAAUUACUUAGAUCCAAGUUCCAUGCCAUAGGAUCUUGCACCGUAUGGUCUGACACCCAAGUAAAAUGAUCCACUUGUGGGGACUAAAUCUUUUGGGGAAUAGGGUCGAGCAACCAGUAAUCAUUCCAAUCUAAGAUUGAAUUACCCAUGCCAACCUUCCAUCUAGGGCCUAGUUCCAAAAGCCUAUCCGCACACUAUAUGCUCUGCCAGAGCAAAGAAGGGUUAGAACCCAAAGACACAUUAAAAAAACCUGUAGAUGGAUAGUACUUUGCUUUUAGUAUCCUUCCCAUGGAAGUAGUCAGGUUUGUUAAAGGUGCCAACCUUGUUUAGCAAGUAAAGCAAUAUUGAACUUUGAUAAGUCUCAAAAGCUAAGACCACCAUUUCCUUUUAGGUCACAUAAUGAAGACCAAGUACACUAAUGAAUUCCCCUUUUCUUAGUAGACUUUUGCCACCAAAAUGAGCCAUUAAAGGUUCCAGUUCUUUGCAAAAAUAUUUAGGUAAUAAAAAACACAUCAUUGCAUACGUCGGUAAAUCUUGCAAAAUAGACUUUAUGAAGACUUCCUUACCCCUUAUGGAGAGAUUUUGAGCACUUCAAGAAAGAAUCCUACUUCUGAAUCUAUCCUUGAGAUCUAGCUCAAUCAACUUUUUUCACGCUUUAUCUUCAUAAACCACACAUUCAGCCCCUCACUAGCAACUCGAAGUUUAUCUGGGAUAGGACCCAAUGAGCUUUCUCAAAGCCUCUUCACUUCAGGUUCACAAGAUUCUUUCAAUAACCAUGUGGUCUCAAACUUGAAAUGCCACUGUUUAGGUGAUCUAAUGAGGCCAAAAGUAGUCUCAACCAAACAGGGCAAUGAUAAAAAAAGGAUGUGGCAGAUGGGAUGCUUUAUAAUGCGGAAACAACCGCCACCAUCAUCCAUUCAUGACACUCUUAUCAAGCCUCUCCCGAAUAUUAUUACUCGCUAUUCUCCCUCUCUCUUAAGUGAACUAGACACCAUUGUAACGCAAAUCCUCCAAAGAACAAUCCUUUAAGGCACAUUGAAAAUCAUUCAUUUGACAUUCACUUUGCGAAAAUCCUCCUUGAUUCUCAAAAGAAAAAGUAAUCUCAUUAAAUUCCCUAAUUGCAAGCCAUGGUACCUUCGAGCAAUCAUCCAACUGUCUUAAUAGAUUCCAAGACUCCACUCUUCUUUGUUCCUUAGGUGUGUUAUAAAACCUAUAUAUCUCUAGCAAUUUCCUUCAGAAUCAUUAGUAAUUAAAACAUUAAUAUGUCUUCCUGAAAAAGAAUGAAAAGAAACAAUACAUUUAUGCUUCUAACCAAAAGAGGGACCACCACUUCUGCCAAUUGAAUCAACAUCAACUCCAUUCUAAAAUCCACACAUUCGAUGUACAUUCGCCAUUUGAGUACUCUGUAAUUUCGUUUCAACUGAAAAAAUUACAGAGGGGUUUAGAUCUUUCAACACAUGCUAAAAGCGACGAAUUGUCUGAGGGUUCCCCAAACCCCGGACGUUCCAACUUAAGAGUUUCAUUGCGACCGACUGGCCUACCAAGCAGGGUCUGCCGAUAGAGAAAUUUUUCCAUAUUCGAAACCAUAUUACUAGAAACUCCUGAUUUAGCUAACUGGGUACGGGGUUGCUUAAGCCUAUCCAUUUGCACAAUCAGUCUAUCUUCCCCUUCAACACCCAUUUCUUCAUCAAAAUCUACAUAUUGUGACCUUUGAUUAUGGGCUAGAAUUGAGUCAACAUUUGACCCAAUAAUAACCUUGUUUCGCGGUCCUAAGGACUUCACACCUGUUGACGUCACAUUAAUGGUGAUAUUUUCAACCAUAUCUCUUUGAAGAUUAUCACCUAAAUUGUAGGAAUGAAAUUUCGGAGAUCUCUCAUUUAUCCCCAAAAUUCUGACAUUGGUAACCCUAGAAUUUGGAGUACCAAAAUUGUCUUCCUCCUUCAGCCAAAGACUCUUCGGUGCCACAGCUUGCUUGGCCGGAGCUCGAAGAGAGAUGUCCAACCCUAAAUCAAAAUCCUGGUUCUCCUAGAGUGUAACACCCUUAACCCGUACCCGUCGCCGGAGGGUUAAAGAGUAUUACCAUAUACAAAAGAGUCAUAUCAAGAUAAUUAGGUAUAGUGAUUCAUUCUUAAGUUCAAUUCAUAUCAAACAUUGAAAACAUUAAUCAAAUCUCAACCACACAUUCACAUAAACCAUUUGGAACACAUAUAGUAACUUAUCAAGCCAUUUUCGCAUGGCUAUACAUAUAUACAUCAUCAAAAAGAUAAUUAUUUAACAACAAAAAGUCAAGCCUAUACAUGCCAUUAUCGAAAUUUAACUACUAGAGUACCAAAAGGCUUAGAUAGUGUGGACGACUUCGACUUUGAGAUCCCGAGAUCGUAGCUGACGAACAAGAUCUAUAAAACAGAGAAUUAAGGCAACAAAGUAAGCAUUACUAUGCUUAGUAAGUUUUAAGCAUUUCAAACAAUCAAAACGUAUCAUAUAAAACGAACAUUAAAUAUCACAAAACUCGUAUUCUAAUUGUAAUUCACUUGGCCGAAUAUACACAAGUACACUAGUUAUAAAUCCUAUUGGCCGAAUAUGUAUUUAUGUAUACACAAGAAAAUUUCUAGCACGUGUUUCAUUAUCUACAUGGUUUAUACAAUUACGUUUAGUCACAUAUUUUCCUAUAAUGACUUACAGUGACCGAAUAUAUCAUUAUCUUAUCAUCAAAUACCGAAUUCAUCCACACACCUAUAUAUAUAUACAUGGUUCUUUGAUACUAAUAAAUCAUUUUGAAAUCAAUUCACAUAUGAGCACAUAAUACGUACGUUAACAUGUAAAGUAUAUAUAUUACUUACUCGACGAUGGUUACCACGGACAUUCAAUAUCGUAGUCUUACUUAACUUACUAGCCUCGGUCCUGUCAAGUCUUAGAACUCGAAACACAUUUAUAACACAAGUCCACGGGUCUUUAACCCGGGUACCAUUCCAACACGUAGCCUGCGGACUUCAAGUCCAGAUAUAUUUCCAGCACAUAGCCUGCGGACUUCAAGUCCGGAUAUAUUUCCAGCAUAUAGCCUGCGGACCUCAUGUCCGGAUAUAUUUCAAAUACCAUGCAUACUUAGUCAUAUUUUAACAUAUCUCAUUCAACCUAUCACUUUAGUAGUCAUUUACUGCAUUCGGAUAUAAGCUCAAUAUGCACAUCAUCAUUCACAUUUCGUCUCAAGAGUUAUACUUAAUACCACACAUUCAUUUCAUCAUUCAAGCUUAAUCCAAAAGUGACCAUUAUACUAUAAUGGUAUACAUACACUAUUUAUUAUACAACUAUAAUCAAGAACAAACCAAAGAUUUCAAUUCACUUAAUAUACUCUUAUAAAAGCGUCAUCAAUUUCCUACUAAAAGAAACUACUCAAAACUUACCUCGGGUAUAAUUGAACAGUUACGGAUAGGCUACUCGAUUGCUUUCUCCUUCCCCUUAUCUGAUUUAGUUCCUCUUUGCUCUUGAGCUUUAAAAUUAAACAGUUGAAUUUGUUUAAUUACCUACUCAACUUUAAUUCUUUAAUAAUCACAUUUGAUAAUCAUAUAACUUCCAUACAUGUUAAGUUUUAUAAAAUGUACCAUGACUCGAUAUCAUGCCUAUGAUUUACACGAAUUUAUCUAUAUAAUAUAUAUAUGUAUAACCGAAUGUCUCUAUGUCACAAGGUACUUACCUAAGGCAUAUAUUUUUAUAUAACUAUGUGUGACUAACACAAUUUAAUCAAUUACUCAUUUUAUGCACAACCACGUAUACACACAGAUAUAUAAUCAUAACAUGCCUUAAUAUCUCAUAUACCACAUUCGGCCCUAACCACUCAAACUUAGCUUUCAUAUACAAAUUCCAUUUCAUUAUCAAAUGUAGCAAAUUGCACAUAGGUUUCACCUAUGCUAAACAAUGACUGAAUAUACAUUUCGAAGAAAUAACUUACUUAAUACAUAACUCACAUUACCAAGUACAUAUAACCCUAAUGACUUAAUAUAUAUCACCCCAAUUCCUAUGACUUAACCAUUUACCCUUUUAGCUGAAUAUCCAUAAAACAUCUAGUUCACAUACACAAACACAAUCUCUUAAGGCUUAUUAUAUUUUCAAGUACACAUCAAAUUUAUAUAGCCGAAUAUACAUAUAUAUUUAGCUCAUCAAACCGAUAUUUAAUCAUAUUUUCCCCUAACACAAAUGCAUUCGGCAAUGACCACAACUAUUUAACAAACUUUAAAAACAAACCACAACAUUUUAAAUUCAUCUUAUUCCUCCCCCCCCCCUUUUGACCGAAUGUACAUAUCAAAUGAAAACUCAACUAAACAACAACAUUUUUCUUUCCAAAAUGCAUAUACACACAUACGACAAUUUCAAUUCAUACUUUUCAACCAUGAAUUCUACUUAUUCAACCAUCAUUUAAGCUACUUAACAUAUAGCUAACAUCUUCCCAAAAACUUAUCAAAAUAAUACCAAUUUAGCACUUGCCGAAAGGACACUUGUUCAUUGAUUCAUGAAUUUAAACCAUGGGUUAACUAUGCUAUGUAUUUAUCCAUUUAAUUUCAUAAUCCAUUACAAAUAAAAAUUGCAUUACAUACCUUUAAAUGAAGAUAACCAUGGCCGAAUGCCUUGGCUUCUUCUUCACUAUUUUUCUUUCCCAAAUUCGGCAAUCAAGAAAGAAAGAUGAACAUCUAUUUUUUUUAUCAUCUUUUAUUGUUUUACUAAUUAAUUUAUUUCAAAAAUAAAGCCAUUACUUAUUAUAAUACUUAACUAAAACAUAUAUUAUACAUCAACCAUCAUUUAUGGCCGGCCACUAACAAAAUUGGUCCAUUUGACAUGCAAAUCCCUUAUGUCAACAUUUCAUGCAUUAUUUGGCACUUUAAAAUUUACCUAUCACACUUUCAAGUUUUAUCACAUGAGUCCUAUCUUAUAAAUUUCACAUACAAAUGACAAAAUCAAAGCAUGAAACUUUCACACAUGCAUUUACACAUAUAAUAAACAUAGAAUUUAACAGUUAAUUAUUUUUAUGACUCGGUUUUGUGGUCCCGAAACCACUUUUCGACUAGGGUCAAAUUAGGGCUGUCACAUAGAGAAUCCUAACAGGACAAAAACUUUCCCUAUGACCAAGUUUUCCAUAGAGAAAGCAAAAAAAGUGUGAGCUUUUCAUACUCAAAUCUCGUAGAAGCCUGCCUUGCAUUCGACAACACAAACUCUUUCUUAUGCUUUAUUCGUUUUUGAAUAUCAAAUCGGGCCUUAACCUGUAACCCAAGGAACACCCCAAUAAAAUUACUAGCUGCUUUGCCACCAUCUCGGACAUGAAUCUAUGCAAUAGAUCAUGGAUUAAAACCUAAAAAUCUACAAUAAACAGUGGCAUGGCCAUUGGAUCAUCCUCAUCUUUUAAUCGAUGCAUAACGAGAAGAUGAGAAUUAAAAUUCCAUGGUGCCCUAGCCUCAAUUCUGUCCACAUCCACCUUAUGAUAUAAUCGAAAAGAUACCUUCCUUCAUUCAGAUCAAAAAUCAAAAUACUCUAAAUCGGAUGCCAAAUGUUUACCAAAGUUGCUCAUAUUGACUGAAAACUAACGACAUUUGAUGUAAAAAAAGAGCCCACAAAAUAAUUAUCAAAAGAAACCACUAGAUUUGGUCUCUCCGUACUCUUCAUCCCUAAGGGAUAGGUCAGCAAUGUUCCCUUCCACAUUUGUCAUCCUUUAACAAUUACAGAAACAAUGACCAAUGAAACUAGAACAAAGAGAAAAGGAAAAAUGUGCUACAAAACGGAAAAAAAAAGCGUGCUACAAAGCAGAAAAAACACUAUUAAUUAAGAUUUAAGCUCUGUUUUUUUCAACGUAAAUUUUUUUUACAGAAAAUAUUUUCAGCCUUUUCCAAUGUUUGUUUCAUGUAAAAUAUGAUGGUCAACGUAAAAAGUUUUCUAGUCAAUGUAAAAUUACCCUCUUAUUCCCGUAAAAUGUAUUACCAAAUUUUUUUUUCUAUAAGACAUUUUCCAAACUGAUAAGACUCUAUUCGCUAUAACACCGCCAUGCCUGACUCGGACAUCAGGUCAAAGCACUGGAAUGUUACAUUCUCUACUACAUUCUUCACUCAUCAAAUAAAUUUUAUAAACUUUUAUAAUUUUUCAAUUUAGUAUCUUUUUGUCAUAAAAGUUCAAUAUUCACUAAUUAAUCAUAUUAAAUCAAUUUUCUUUCUUGUUACACUUUAAGCAUAUAAUUUAUCUCAAUAUCUUGUUUCACAUAUGAAAUUUAUAUGUAUUUCACUUCUAUUAUUUUAUCCACAUAUUUUCUCAAGUUUAACAAUUUAGUCUUUGUCAUCAUAAAAAUUCCAUACUUCUCCACAAUUUCACUUUUACAAUACUUUAUGCAUAUUUUAUCAUCUCAUAACACAUUCAUUAAACUUUUAUCAUAAUUUCCUUAUUCACAUAUUAAGUUGUUUCACACUUAAAUUUUUGUAUAUUUUUCAAUUUAGUCCCUAUUGCCAUGUAAUUUAUUUUUCACCAUAUAAUCACUUUAAUCCUUAUUUUUCAUUAUAAUAUCUUAUUUCACAUAAAAAAUUUUCAUAGAUAUAACUUUUCUUGUUUCAAUUAUAAAUUUCACAAAGUUUACAAUUUAAUCCUUAACAUCAUGAAAAUUCAUCAUUUACUAUAAUUUCACCUUAACAUCACUUUAUAAUCAAUUCACUACUUAUCAUAAAUCUUAAAAUGUAUGUUUGUUUAAUUGAAAACAACUUUUUUUAUGAAAUAUUUUCAAGAAAUCUGCCGAACAAUAAACAAUAUUUUACAUAGAUUCAUCAAAAUACCGAAAAAUAUUAAUUUUUUCAGAAAUGUAAAUUAUUUUUUAAAAAUUAUUUUUCGAAAAUUACUUUCAGUAAAACAAAUAAGUGAUUAAGUAUCAAGCAAUCAAUAUUCAAUCAACCUACUAUAUUUAAAAUAGUACAAACAUCUUUUAAAAAAUAUGAUAUCAUAUAUAUAUAUAUAAAAGAUAUCAUAUCUUCUUUUUAUUGCAUCUAUUAUAAAUUAUCAUAAUAUAAUUGUAGAACGUGGAAUAGAUGCUGCACUUUGUCUUUUGGAAAAGCAUUCCGGAAAUAGAAUAAUCUAUUAUAUACAGAUAACCUUAUUUGACCUCAGUUUUUCAUAAAUUAUUCUAGAAAUAUCAUAAUCUUAUAUUAAUUAAAAUUAAAAUAACAUAUACAUAUAUAAAUUAUAUAUAUAUCUAUCUAUCCAAUCAAUUAAAAGAAAAGGCGAAAUAUGACACACAGGAUGGCAAGCACUGAUUAAGAAAUUUUUUUAUCGAGUAUUCAUUCCUACGCCUAUAUAUUUCUUCAAAUUAUUUUUUCUGAAAAAAUAAGAAAAAAUAAGCAGAGAAUCCAGCAGCAGUUUCCGUCGCUUUCUGUUUGCCCAAAAAACUAAAUCCCGGAUUUCUUCCGUAAUUCCCGCUGUUUAAUUUUUCUCCGAUUCCGGUAUUCCUAUUUUCCUCCUUCCUUUCUUCUUUCUUGUCUUUUCGAUAUUUUUCUUUUUAUCUAUCUUGCAUGAUCAUUUUGGUUUUUGAUUGGUUUGUUAUUGAAUUAUUUUUGGCUCUUUUUUGUUUCCAUAUUUUUAUUUCAGUUGUUACUUUGAUGAUAUGUUAUUUUCUUGUUUUUUCUGCAUUGAUGUUGUUGUUGGAUGCAUUUUUUUAUUUUAUUUUUAAGUUUUAAUUUCUUUUUGCAAAUCCUUGUUGGAUGAUUGAAAUUGAAUCAGUUGCUUUGAAUUGAUGCAAAAGAUAAUAAGUUAAUCACGAUUAGGGUUGCCAUGCCUUCUGAAAUUAUUGUACUUUACUUCUGUUAUAUGCAAUGGCUGUAAAGAAAUAAAAAACAGGAAGAACUUGGGCUCUUUAUGUCAUCUUUUCCUUCUUCAGGACCAUAGAUAUAUAUUAAAAAUAAACUUUGAAUAACAUUCGCCAAGAACAAUGAAGCUCGGACGCUUACUGUUUCACUUGGCUAAAAAAUUGUGGUUAAAACAUGCAAGGACUCGUGUUCUGAAUGCUUUUUCGGACAUGUUCAGACACAUAAAAAUAUGAAAAUAAUAAUAAAAUAGGCUGAAAUGUGGUCAAGAUAUGGUUGGAUAAGUCUAGAUACGGCUGGAUUUGCGAUGAUCAAUUUGGUUUUAAUUGUUUAAUUAUUGAAUAUUUUGGUUCAUUUCUGUUGUUUCAUGCUGUGUUGUUUUCUUCUUGUUUUUCUGCAUUGAUAGUUUUGUUUGAUACAUUUUUUAUUUUAAAUUAAAAAUUUUUUUGGGGAAAAACCUCGUCGGAUGAUUGAAUCAGUUGUUUUAAAUUGAUGCAAAAGAGAAUAAGUUGAUCACGUUUAGAGUUCUCUUGCCUACUGAAAUAUUUGUAUUUACUUCUGUUAAAUUCAAUGGCUGCAAAUAAAAAGAAGCUUGACUCUUUAUGUCAUUUUCUUCUUCUUCAGGAUCAUUAUAUAUAUUUAAAAAAAGAGAGGAAAAAACUUGAACAACAUUUUGCCAAGAACAAGGAAUAAUGGGUCAAAAAUGCAAGGACUCGUGUUCUGAAUAUAAGUCGGACACACGAGUACACAUAAAAAUAAAAUAGGCCUUACAGUUGGAUAAGUCUAGACACAGCUGGAUUUGUGAUGAAGGGUCUUUUUCACAUUUUUCUCUCAAAUAUAGAAGCAAUAAAGAGGAAUUUAUUUGAAUGAAAAUUUUAACGUCAAGUUUUUAACUUAAAAUUUUAUUUAAAAAAUUGAAAAAAAAAACUAUUUUCACGUUAAUAAUAUUUUAUUCAAAGGUAUCAAUUUUACAGUUUUAUUGUUUAUUAUUCCAUAAUAAAUCUUUUUCUUGUUGUGCUCUACUGUAUCCAUGCCUAAUUUUCUUUAAAAAAUUUCGUGUUCCUCUGUUCAUAUCUGUUGUACAAGUAUUCUGUAUCUGCAUCCCUGCUGCUUAGGCCAAACUUAAUAGAUCCUGAUAUAUAUAUAUAUUUCCAUUUUGAAGAAGGGAUGGGGGGGAAGAGAUUCUGAAUCUUUGCUGUUCUCUUGUAUGUUAAUUAGAUUAGAACUUCUUUUCCUUAAGCAAUUAUCGUCAAUUUCAUUCAUAUUAAACCACCAUUGACAUGAAUGGAGGAGCAUUCUUUAUUGAAAUGAAUUUAUAGCAUAUGUUAUUUGAAUUGCAUGUCUUGUUAUGUUUAAUACCCCUUAUCUUUGAAGGAAAUCCUUAUUGCUAUAUUCAUUACGCUGUUUCCAAUAUAAACUGUGUUCAAGAUUCAAAUGUAUUCAAGAUACUUUUACUGCAAGUCUCAACUCAGCCCUAAAGAUGACUUUGAGGAUAUGCCCAUCCCAAAUUCAAGUCUGGGACUGCUAACUGUCUUUUGACUGCAGAUUCUGUACAUUUUCUGAUUUUCACGUCAUAGCCAUCCUCUCUUGCACCUAUUCUCACCCUUUUAGAUGGUUGGAAUGUGAAAAUUAAGACACUAUUGAUGUUCUGAUUGUCUUUCAUAUAUGGUGAAUGGUGUGGUUCGUGCUUUUUUCUUGUUUAGAGGGGAAUGCUAGUUGUGCAAACUAUAUUUGAAUUUCUAGUGUAUUAUAAUUCAAAUUAAAAUCAACUAUACUUGGAAUGUAGAAUUUUUUCCUUUUUGAAAUAUUUUUCUAACGUUCAUUCAAUUGUUUUAUGUUUUAUUCAUCAUGAAGAACGAGCAGAGUACAGGAGACAACAGAAUUUCAUUUUCUUGGACUGAUUGGUUAACGAAUAUGCUCUGUUAGCAUUUUCUAAAACAGAAAUUAUGGGGAUAAAAUCUUACAGGAAUCCAGCUGAGCUGCUGGUAAAGGAAUAUUUACUAGCGGAUUCCUUCAUCCCAUACACAUCAAUCAUUUGUGGCAUUUGUGCCUGCAAGAUGGUAUGUUCCCUAAUCAUUUUUUUGAUUUACUGUUCAGAUUGAAAAUAAUUCAGUUGAGUUAGAAUGACGAUUUGCAGCUGUAUGAUCUGAACUUUUUAUCUUAUUUCUAUAAUGUUGGUUACUUUUCAUUGAGCUUUAGUUUCUUCUGAGUUUUCUCUGUUAUUUUUCUCAUUUCUUAUGUUUAAGCGUCUUUUUUUCCCUUUAUUUCCUUUGUGCUACCUUUUCCUUCUUUCUCUUCCUCUCAAGUUUUGACUGCGUUAUCCUUUUCCAGGUAUAUGAUCUUACUCAGUUGUUUAGCAGUGUUUACUUUAAGAGCUAUCCUAGCCUACCAAAAAUUCAACGCACUGAGUGGAGCAACCGGUGACUAGUAUUUCUAGUUAUCUUGAAUUUGUCAUUACUAUUUGCUUUUAUAUAUACAGAAUUAAUGUCGGGAUUGUUUAUGCAGAUCCAUAUCAACCUUUCAUGCCAUGUUCAUAACUGCCAUGUCCUUAUACUUCGUGUUUUGGUCAAACCUCUAUUCUGACAACCAAUAUGCUGGCAUGGUUACUUUCCGCAGUUCUGCACUGUCUACAUUCAGUUUGGGGGUGAGGAUAGCCUUUUCCUUCAUCUUCAAUGAAAACUUUUGGAAUUGAGAUAUUAUUUGAUCAUUUAUGUCUGAUCUUUUAUCCUUGACUUUUAAUAUUGGCUAUCAGUAAAAAAUUGAUCUGCCUGCCUUUAGUAACACGUCAUCGUGAUAAUUGUUUUAGUCAUGCAUUGUGAUACAUAAAAUUCUCCUGAGUGGUUUAUUUUGAGCACAUUUACUGUAUCAUUUAGAAGAAGCAAUGAAAUGUUGAGUUUUCUUUAUUGAAUAUUUAAAUUUCUAGUGAAUGGAAAUGUUUGACUUUAUAAGUUUGAAUGACGCGGGUGGCUCUACCCUUGAUACGACAAAUAUUUGUGAAUUGCUGUUUUUUUUCUCAUGCUGAAAUUGACCUCUCAUUUUCCAGGGACAGCAAUGAAGAGUACCAUCAUAUGUCUGUCUAUGUAAUAUGUAUAUCCUUGGUCAUGCCUGCAAGUGCAAUUCUUCUGAUUUAAUAUGGUUUAAGGUUCUCAGCCACUUUGUUUCAUAGCCCUAACAGAGUAUUUUAUGUACCCUUAGCCAAAUCUCUUGUUUUUGUGCAAAACGAGUAGCAUAAUUGUGGUGGAAAAAUAUGCAUUCAUGUUAACUCCUUUUCACAAAAUUUAAUAAACUUAACUUUAAGCUUAGGACAAGCAUUUCUUGAAUUCAUGGUCAAACUUUUUCAUUGAAACUUUAUAGUAAGCUGGGCUUGGUUUUCAUAGGGAUUUGCUAGUCUUGGUUCAAUGGAUUAGGAUCCCAAACAUUAUCUUUUGUCUAUUAUUUUUCAAUACAUCCAUCAUUACCAUUCACUUCUGCAGGACUCAUUUAUUAUUUGUGGAAGUUAUACUUUUCUUUUGAAAGUUGUGAAAGUCACUUUUGAAUGGUGAUUAAUGUGUAAUGGAAAUUAAUGGAGGGGAGUCAGACCCUGGUUCAAUUCACCUUUGAUGUGAAGACUACUCAUUAAAAUAAAGAUCUCCGAUGUCACAUGUAGCUAGCAUACAGCAAAAGUUUUUCACUGUGAUUGCAAUUUUGCAAUUAAAAGCUCAGUCGCAGAAACUAUAAAUGUACAAUGUCAUCCUGUGUCUCUCAGUAAGCUUUCAUGGCCAUGAGGCAUGGUCUGCUAACUCAAUAAGUAAAUCACAUUGCUCAUGAGCUGUACCUUGAAUUUCUUAGAUAAGCUCUUAUAAGCCCUUGUCUGAAAUAAAACAAAGACAGGGGCUAAUAUGAGAUAUCUGAGAAAGUAGAAGGCUUUUUUUUUUUUUUUUUAGUCUGUUAGCCUUUUUAUAUUGCAGAAUGACGACCUGUCUAAUGAAUGACUAAAUAAAUAAUAAAUACACUCAGAGAAGCCGUGAAAGUCAUGAUACACACUCUGCCUAUCAACUCAGUUUUUAAUGUGGCUGGAAACUAGUUGUAGCACUCUUGUUUGUACAAGAGGAAAAUAUAUUUCAGAAAUUCAUCUUGCUGAACGUUUUCAUUUUGUGUUUAACAUUUCUCUCGGUUUAUAUCUUAUCAUCUCAGAGCCAGCUUCUAAGUAAUUAUCUUACAUGCCAUUUCUUGAAAAUUUUCUUUUGACAGGCAUCUGUUGGUUACUUUCUGUCUGACCUUGGGAUGAUUAUUUGGUUUUACCCUUCUCUAGGUGGAAUGGAGUAUGUAAGUAUUUUAUUAUUGGGUCUAAGUCUUGGCCUAUGUCAAGCCCUGAUAUUCAAGCUAUCCUGAUGUAAAUCAACCUAAAUUUUUUGUUAUUCAGGUCCUUCAUCAUCUUCUGUCAUUAGCAGCUGUAGCAUAUUCUAUGUUGACUGGGGAGGGGCAGCUUUACACCUUCAUGGUACUAAUCUCUGAGACUACAACGCCUGGGAUCAAUUUGAGAUGGUAAAAGAUUACAUAUUGACUACUUCAUUUCUUGUAUGUCAAUUGUAAAAUACAUGUUACUUUACUUAUGUUACAGAUGUUACUGGUUUCAUAUAGGUAUCUUGACACAGUUGGAAUGAAGAGAUCCAAAGCUUACUUGGUCAAUGGAGUUGUAAUAUUUGUCGCAUGGUUGGUGAGUGAAAUCAGUUUAUUGCUCUUGGUCCUUUUCCUUUUCUGUUAAUGCUUUUAUUAAAGUCCUCUCCACUAAUUUAUCUUGCAGUUACUUAUAAUGAACUUUGAUGUUUUUGCCAGGUUGCUAGAGUACUCCUGUUUAUGUAUCUAUUUUAUCACAUCUACUUGCACUAUGAUCAGGUAAACUGUUACUGCAAAACUUUACCUGCUGUCAUCCCUAGGGGUGCAUGUUUAUUAUUUACUAGCUUAUUUGCCUUUUAAUCUAAAAUUUUAUUAAAAUUAUCUUGGCUUUUAAGUAUUAAACUUCUUUUAUACUAUCUUACUUUAGCUGGCACAUACUGGGUGCUAUAUUGUUUUGACUUUUCGUUUUCUCUAAGGUAUCAAUUUCUGUUACUCGUAUCUGACCUGUAUUUAGACACGGAUAUGGGGUUAUGGUUAUCCAAUUAUAAGGAAAAACAUCAAAAAAUGAGGCUUAACUGUAUUAGACACGUACUUGCAUCUCACGUUUACCUUUGAGUCUGAGUAACACAAGGUAGAUGUAUUCGUUUCCUUUUUGACAAAAGAGAUUGUAGUUCUGGAGAUAACAAUUAGGCAUGAAUUAACUGAAUUAGUUCUUAGUUUCAAAUCGAAGGUGUAUUUGUUAUUGCUUGUGUUAAGUAAUGAACAAACCUGAUAUCACUUGAGAACAGUAGAAAAACUUGAUAUGAUACCUUUAACAUCAUACGCCUCGUUUUUAAUAUGUUGACAGGGAUUUUUCACAUGAAUAAAUUGUUAUCAUACAUUUUUUUUUCUGAUAAAUAAGUUAACAGCGAACUGCAAUUUUCUCGUGAAAACAGGUAAAGCAGAUGCACAGCUAUGGGCUGUUGUUAAUAUUCGUUGUGCCGUCAGUCCUAUCAGUUAUGAACUUAUUUUGGUUCGGAAAGAUUAUAAGGGGAUUAAGGAAGACAUUAGCAAAGCGGCAGUGAAGAAAAGGGUAUAGCAAAACAGAAACUGAUGAUGAAUUGGGACAUGGAUCGACCGAUUGACCGGCAAAGAAAAUCAUUGUAUUCUAUUAGGCCUAAUGUCCUUAGCAUUUGAUCUCACCCUCUUGAUUGUUAAAUACGUAAAUGGGUAUAGGUGAAAACUAGAGUUUUGAUUCAACGUCACAAAUCUGAAGGAACGAUGAAAACUAAAUACCUGGUGUAUGAUGGGAAAUCUGUGUACAUGGUGAAGUGAAUUGAAUUAAUAGAAGAUAAAUUCUGGUUAAAUAAACAUUAUAUUGUGGAUAUUCAAUUAAAAUAUAUGCAUGAAUCCAUGUUUGGAAUUGAAAUAAUGUUAGUCGAGAUUGAUUCUUCAUGUUUAGCUUGUCAAAAGUUUUGCUAUUAGAUUUAAAAAUUAUGUCCCACCAAAAGUGCUAUCCUUUAAAGUGGAUUUGUAGCCAUUGCAAUAGAAUCACACCAUUUAACAAGUUUACCAUCUGAAUCCAUCCCAACUUCACUCAUCAGUGACUGGAACCAAACAAUGUAAUGGUUAGCUGACUUGUGUAGAUGUUGAGCGAGAAACCACUCCUUGUUUCUUUGAGGAGCAUCCACCAAGGUAAAUGUAAUGUCCAGAAGUAGACCUUGGAUCCUCAAAAUAGCUACCACAUAAGCGCAUUAGAAAACCCAGUGAGAUCCAGGAAAGAUGACAACUUGAAGAGCAAAUCAGAUACUCCAGGAUUCUCUUAAAAAAAACACCACGGAAUGUGAAAAGGCCGUUGCAUGUAUUGGCUCACUUUGUUUACGUUGUAGGCAACGUUAGGCCUAGUUAGCACAUGUACUGUAAUGCUCCAAUUGCACUCCUAUAACCUGUAGCAUUUCCAAUUGGAACACAUAACGAUGAUGACAAUGCUGGAGAGCUAACCAGUGGAAGUCACUUCUAAUCCCAAAAAGUAGCUUAGGUCACAUAAAUCCUUCAAAGAGAAUUGAACAUUGAACUCGCAAUGCUAUCCAUACCUUGUCUCGAACCAGUGACUAUUAUGUCAUCAACAUACACAACCAAGAACAAGCAUGACCCUUUAGAAUUUUUGAAGAAAAUGGAAAGAUCAACUUGAGAUGAGGUAAACUUCAAUUAGACCACUGAAAACCUCUUAGCUUUUUGAACCUAUCACAAAAUGCUUGUUUGAGCACAUAUGAAUCUUUUUGUAGUUUCUCAAAGCUAAGGGGUCGUGCCAUAACCACUUCCAUGAGCAAGUCACCUUAUUGACAUUCACUUGUGGUAGGUUCCAAUGUUGUAUGACAGUAAGGGUAUGUAUGGUUCUUACUGCAUUGACCUUCACCAUAGGACCGACUAAAGGUUUCAUAUAGGUUAUAUAUCCUGCAGAUUGUGAGUACCCUUUGGCAACCAAUCUUGUUUAAUUUGUGGCGAGAGAUAGUGCCAUCAAUAUUUCUUUCGACUUUAAAAAGCCAUCUGCAGCUUAUAAUUCUCCUAUUUGCUGGUUUGGAACUAAGUAUUCUUCUUGAAGAGAACAUCUAAGUCUUAACUGCACUUGACCACAAAGGAUUUUGCAUAAUAGUGUGUAUAUCUCCAAGGUCCUCAUCUAUUGCUGGUGCUAUAUAGGGUUUAGUCUUGGAACACGUUUGCCUUGUUGCGAUUGAUCAUGGUAUGAGUAUUUUAUGCUUCUAUUGAAGGUAUAGAAGCCGGAACAAUAGGAACUAUUGAUGAUGAUGAAGGUAACAAGUCUAGGUUAGGUGUAGUAAGUACUUGAGUAACAAACAACCUAUGCUUAGUACUCCUUAAGAUGUGGAAGUAAUACCUGAAACUCUCCACCACCAUCAGUCUACUAUUUUACCUCACACUUCUUGGUAUUAGAUAACUAAUUAUAAUAUUAAAUAAGUAUUUCAUAAACAUUAGAUCUUAUAUUCUUCACAAAUUUGAAAUGCAGUCCCUAUACUUUUUUUCUUUAGAAAUUUAGUUUCUCUACUUUUCAGAUUUCAGAAUUCGGGUUCAAUUGUUAAUAUUGUUACAUUUUUAUUGUUAAAUUUGUUUGUAUGACAUUUUAAAAUUAAAAAAAGAAUUACUCACUUGGUAAGAAUGUAACUACGAAAAAUACUUUGUAAUGAACUUGAAUUUAAUAAAAUAAUUUUAAUAACAUUAACAGUUGGACCUGAAUUUUAAAAUCUAAAAAGCAAAGGAACUAGAUUCUAAAAAAAAUAAAAAUAAGAGACUAAAUUAUAAAUUUACGAAAAAUACACAAACUUAUGACAUAUUUUAACUUAAGUAAAAUUAUUUUAAUUAAUGGUUCUAGUCAAUCUUUGCUCAAUUUGAUAGCAGCAUUUACAUAAUGUAGAAACUUUUUUACAACAAAUUUACGGACCAAUGAUUUGUUGCAAUUAAGUGGAUAUCCCGAUAAUUAAUGGGUUGGAGUAGUAAAAAGUUCAAUAUCUCUUAAGUAAUGAUGAAUUUGUGAAUAAAAAAAGAUUUGAAAUCCGACCCAAUUCGAUUUUGGAAUAGUUGAUGUAAAAGUUAGAAGAAUUUGGAAGUGCCCAUAAUUGCUCUUCCAUAAGCCAGUGGAAGUGAAGCAAAUUUCUUUGCUUUCCCUACAUAAGCCCUUUUGGUGAAAUUAUUAUAGUCAUUUUCUUCGAUGACAUCUAAGAUUUGUCUAUACAACAACAAUGAUGCCCACACUGGCCAUCUGCUUGCCUCCUUUAGCUCCGCAACCCCUUUUUCGGCCUCAUCGAAGUACAUUCUUGCUCGUUUUAUUUGAUUUUUCAUGAAAAUUUUCCAUUUAUCGCUCACUUGUCCUCGAAAUAUUUCGUCUUCCGAUAUCCCUGCCGAGGCAAGUUCAUCUUGUGGAAGAUAUAUUCUUCCUCUCCUACCACUGUUAAUUUAAUUAUUCAAAUUAAAUCUUUAAAAUGAGCAUGAAGCUUAUUAUUGUCACUAAAAGUAAUGAUCAUGCCAUUGAACUUACUCUUCCCCAACAUCUCGGAGUAUAUUAGUAAGUUGAUUAGCGAUUCCGAGGGCUAAUGCAGCACUGUAGACGGUUUCGAUGGAUGCCUUUGAUUCGGAUGCGAUUCCCAUUACCGGAACACUCAUUAGUCCGACCGUCCCAGCAACAUAGUAGCAGUAUAGAUAGAGUUCAUCAAAGUUGUUAUAUCUGGUUUUCAAUAAAUCUAAUCUCAUCCCUUCUAUCAUGUCCUUGAAGGGCUGCACAAACAAAAUUAAUUAAUUUGUUGAUAUAGUUCCAAAUCUCAAUAAUUUUGUGAAUGUCAAACAUGGCUAUGCAUCUAACCUGAAUACCAAGAGCGUAGUUUGAGACAGUAUGAGAUAAAGCAGCAUCAAACAAGUCAUAGGGACGGCCUUGAAAGAUGUUAUCUAAUCUUUUCUCCCAAGUGUCAAGAGCCCUUGGUGUAAUGUGUGAAGCAUUUGGUCCAUCUACCAGCUCAUCUGUCCUUCUGCACCAAACUGCAUGGCAAAAGGACUGGAUAUUUUAACAGUCACCUUCUAAACAUCCACUAAAAAUUUCGAUUUUUGUCUUUUCAACUAUUUGUGUUUGACACAUAUUUGGAUAUGAUUAUAAAGAUAUGAUCUUUAAUGAACCAUCCAAAUACAUAUAAAAUUAUUGAACAUAUACAUAUCUCAAACACAUACUCGUAUUUGAUACUCACAAUUAAUAUUCUUGAUAACAUAACAUCUACCUUAGCAACAUCCCAAAUAGCCCCCAAAGAGAAACAUUACAUACCGUAAAUGGCCCAAAUAGCCCUCCGACGUUCUGAUGUCAUAAGCAAUGUACCUUCAAACAACAACAAACAAUUCCUUCCAUAAAUUGGAUACGGAGAAAUUUUAAUGAAAAUGUUUUGUCAAAAUGACCUUAAUUAAAUUUUUGAGUUUUUUUUUUACCAUCAACCUAUAUUCUUUUUUUUUUCAAAUUGUUUUGUCAAAAUGUUCCUAAAAAAAUGCUUCAAAAUGAAUGCAUACACUCAGUAUUCUCGUUUUGAUUUAUUAAUUAUCUUUUUGAAACCCCUAAUUAAAAAAUGCAUGCAUUUAUUUUGAAACAUUUUUUUAGAUUAUUACAUUUAUUUUCUGUAAAUUAUGAGUUAUUUUUUAAUUUCAUAUAUGAUUUAUUUAUUUUAUUAUUUUUCACAUGUAAUUAUCUUAUUGGGUUACCUAAGUAAUAAAUUAUAUCUUAUUAAAAAUAUUUCACAUCAUCCCCAUUAAUUUUUUUGACGAUACUUUCAUCAAAUCUGUUAGAAAAAGCAGUUUGAAAAAAAAAACAAAGGUUGAUGGCCAAAAAAGGUUAAAAAAAUACAAUUAAGGCCAUUUUGACAAAACAUGUAAACGUUAGUGGCUAAAUUUAACAUUAAGCCUAAUUAUUUCAUAAGCAACUUUAAAAAUUGAAACGUGUCUUUUUUUAAAUAUAUAUAUUUAAUAUUUUACUACUUUUCUGUAUUACAUUUAUUAACCUCUUAAUCCUGCUCGUGAAGUCUAAAAACUCCACUAACAAUGUAUCAAAUAAUUUCACAUAUAUUAAAUCUAUUUUCUUAAAAAAAUAACUAAUUAUUUUUAAAAUUUUAAGCUAUAGAAAAUAGUCAACUUAUUAAUAUUUAAUUUUAAGUACACAUUCUCAAGUAAAAGCUGCAUAACUAAGAUGUUAUGGAUAUCUUUAUUAAAUAUAAAAUAUUAUUAAAAAUGUAUGAGAACAUGAGUUCGAGUAUAUUGAAGCACAUUAUCUUUCAAUUUAUGAGUUGGGAGAAAUUAUGAGUAGCUCUAGGUAUUGUGUCAACAAGAACAGAUAUGGUCAAAACUUAUAAUGAAAUUGUUCGAAAAUUUAAAGUUUAAAAUAUAAAUAUUUUACUAAAUAAGAUUUUUAAUAUUAUUCUGGAAUUAUUAAUAAAACAAUACUUUUUUAGAAUAAAUAAAUUGAUUUUCUUUUUUACAAAAUUGGUAAUAUUAUUUGACCCUGAAAAUGAGAGGACAAACGUACCCAAGUAGAAAGUCUUGGCAUACUCAGCACAGACUUCACCGCACCUCUCAUAAGCUUCAUUCAACAGAUCCCAAUCUUUGCAUCCUUCGUUUGGCCUCUGUUGUUUAACCAAAGCGGCUUGCUUCAACACCACCUCAUGUACCUUUUCUUCUGAAUAUGCUCUUACCGCCGUCGAUGAGAUCAGUGGGACGCCGGUCCUGAGUUUCGGACCCAAUCUCUUCCUUGGUGGCGGUAUCAAAUUCUGUUUGGGAAAUGUCACCCAAACAACACCACCCGCCGCCAUCGUCCGAUGAUGUUCUUCAAAGCUGAAUUUGUUUUGUUUUUAAAAGAUGGAAGUUUUUUCCCAUUAAUUCAUGGAGGAAGGAGGCACACGUAAAACACGUCUUCUUCUUCUUCUUCUCCUCGCCGAAAGCGCAUGAGAUACUCUUUUUUCCAACAUAGCUGCCGCCAUUGUUGUUUGUCUUGUAAUAUAUAUACAAUUUCGUACGUCUUACCAUUUUUCUAUUUAAAUAUCUUCUACUUCAUACGUGGAUGAAAGAAACAAAUAAAAUUAAUUUAAAUUUAUUCAAGUAUUAAGCAAAUAUAAUAAGAUGAAAAAUAAAAAAUAUUCUCGUGUUUUUAUAUAUAUUAUAGUCUAUAUAAUCUUACUAAUAUAUUACUUUUAUUAUAUAUAUUAGAUUUAUUUAUAUUUUUUAAUGAAAUAAGUAUUGAAUUAACUCGUAACACUAAUUCAAUUUAAUAUUUUAUUUAAUAUAUUACACAAGUACGUAAUCGCAUUACUAACUGUCUUUUAAUGAAAAAAAGAUGGUAGAAAGUGCUAUCUGUUCCCUCUAAAUUUUAAAAUUUAAUAAAUUAGUUCUCUAAAAGAAUUGGUGAAAUUUAAUCCUUGUCAAUUUUGAAACUGAACAAUUAAGGACAAUUAAGUACGACGCUAAUAUCUUCCGUCAAUUGUACAUAAUAUGAUUGGAAUGGUAAAAAAAAGAAGCCUUCAACUUUACAUAAAUAUUUGUCAUUUUAACCUUAAUUCUAAUAAAUUCAACAAAUUUAGCCUCAGUAUUUACAUAUUUAUACAAAUGUUGCAAGAUAUAUCUGUUAAGUUAAGACCAAAUCGAAAGAAUGUAUAAACUUUGAGGGAUAAAUUUAUUAUAUCAAUAAUUUUACAUGUACAAUUGAUGGAAAACUUUAACGUCGUGAUUAAUGGUAUUUAGUUAUUCACUUUUAAAAUUUAGAUAAAUUAAAUUAUUUUAAUGUUUUUGAGAGGGAUUAAUUUGACAAUUUUGAAAUUGAAAGGGAUUGGAGAUUUUUUUUUUUUUUAUAAAAGAAAAACUUUGGUAUUUUUUUUUUUUAAUAUAAGCAAAGUCGUAGCUUAUAAGGGCUGCGCCCUUCCUUAUUCUACCAAGAAAAGAAAGUCGUAGUGAUUGUGAUUGCAUGAAUUAACUAGGUUAGCUAGUAGAUUAAAUGUCAAUAUUGAUGGUAGAGAAAAAGGGAAAAUAGGUUAAAUAUUAAAAAUAGUUUCUGUAUUUAUUGAUUUGUGUGGAUUUAGUCCCUUUAUUUUUAUUUGCUUAAUUUUUUUUUUUUACUUUUCGAUUGGAUCAUUUUCAGGUAUUUUGUUAACUUUUUCAUUAAGUCUAUUACAAUAUUAUGUACAAUCAUAAAUUUUAACCCUCAAUUUUUAUAAUUUUAUCAAUUUGAUCCUUACUCUUUUUUCAUUAAUUAUAGAACAUUAAAAAAAUUAUAGAAAAAUUAUAAAAAAUUAUAAAAGUUCCCCAACAGUAACCACAAAUUAAAGAUAGAAAAACAUCGAAACUUACUAUUAAUCGUUGUUACUAGAGAUUUUAACAUACUAUUUUCAUGUAGCAACAAGAAUCAUCAAUAUUUAUAUAAAAAAAAUCAUAAGAAAUUUAAGGUUCAUGAAUAUAAAUAUUAGUAAAUGAUAUGAUAUAUUUGCAAAUCGCAAACUAGCUACGCACUUGUCUUUUUGGGUCUUGUGGUAUUUUAUAUCCUAGAUAUAUAAAAUAGGAUUUUCUUUUUCCUUCUUUUGCUUGUUUUUUACUUUGAUUGGGCAUGUGUUGCCUCAAUCACGUGGAAACUCAAACGAAAUUUCAUGGUUUAUAACAAAUAGAUUGAUUAUUGUCUGAAUAAACGCUAUACACUUACUCUUACUAAAAUGAAGGCGUGGCUCAGGCUUAUUCUUGACCCAUUAAAAGAGGGUGAUACAUGUAUUCGUGGGUGAAAUUUAUUAAAUUUCAUUUACUAAAGUUGUCGAUUUUUAAGUUUGAAAAAAUUAGUCGACUUGCGAUAACGUUUUGAAUGAGAUUCAGACAUUACUAGGUUGAGAUGUCUCAUUAUGUUUGAAGAUCUAUCUCUUAGCUUCGAAACGUACUUUGAAUCACUCGGUUUCGAGUUUAGGAGCUCAAGUUAUGACAAUUUUAGUGAAAACUACGCAAGUAGAAUGUAAUGGUCGACUUUCAAUGAUGUCGGGAAUUGUGGUUCGAGACCACUAAAUUCGAAAAAUAAGCUCGUAAAUUUAUUUAUUUAAUAAUUAUGAGCCAAAUGUGAUUUUUGAGAGAUUUUUAAAUUAGUAAUUUGUGUUUUAUAAAGAUUUAUUAAGUCAAGAAAUUGAGGAAAACAGGUAUCGAGAUCUCGAUUUUAUAAAUCAAGCCAUAAAAAUUUUUAUAAAUAUUUAUGGAGUAUCAAUAAGGUAGUAGUAAAAUUUCAUCAGAAAAUUUUAACGUUUAUGUGGUUAAUUAAAUAAAAAGAACUAAAUUGAAAAAGGUGUAAAAGUUGCUAAAAGGAUUAAAUAGCCCAAUUGUCAAAUGAGGAAGGACCUAAAGUGAAAAUAAGCCCAUAGAAGAUAUUUUGGGCGGCAAUAGCUGAGAAAAAUCAGGAAAUGCGUGAAUUAAGGGCAAAAUUGAAAAAUUGUCAAAAUUAACUAAAUAAAAAUAGGACCAAAUGGGAAUAUCUAGAAUUCUCUUCAUUUUCAUCAGCUAAAAAACAGCCAUGGAAGAGGGUUCAAGCUGGUUUUCAUACUCUAGCUUCAUAUAAGUUUAAUUCUUGCUUUCUCCUUGAAAUUUCUAUGUUUUUGGACUUUUACAAUUGGGUCCAACUUAUUAUUUCAUUAGUUUUUGAUUUCAUGGCUAAUUUUUAAAGUUGUUAUGGAUGAGUGCUGGAAGCAUAUGAUGAAUAAAAAUAGAAUUGAAGUUUUAAUUUUGAUAUAUGAUAAUUUUAUCAAGUAAAAUUGAUGGAAAUUGAUUUUAAGACCUAAUUGUGAAAAUGUUUAGAAUUACAGUCUAGUGCUGAAAUUAUGAUUUCCAAAGAUUGUAAAGUAGUUUAAAGUGAUAGAAUAAAGUGUUAAUUGAGAAAAAUCAACUAAAUUGAGAGGCUAAUUGAGUAGAGACGAAAUUGUUAUUUAUUAAAAGCUUAGGGGAAAAAUGGUAAUAAACAGUUUGCACUAAAACAAUUUUGGACAGCAGCAGUAGACUAAAUUUUAAAAAUCACCAUAAAUUUUAGAAAUCGAAUUAGAAGAUGAAAAAAAUAUUAAAUUAAAUAUUAUUAAGUCUAGUUUCUCAUAGAAGAAACGGUGUAAGCAAUGGAUUUGUAAAUCAUGAGAUAUAAUGAGUUUUGUGAGACAAUGUCAGAAUGAAUUCGGGUUCCCCUGUUCUGACUUUAAAAAAUCAUAAAAAAUUGAAGAAAAAUAAUUAUGGGAUUAAAUUUAUAUUUUUAGAAUUCUGAAUGAUUCUAUUUUCAAGAAAAACAAACAAGAAUAUCAUUUGAAUCCUGUACAAGGAGAUAAUUAAUUUUUAGUGAAGAAGGGUCGGAACUGUCAGACAGCAGAACAGGGGUGAAUUUAAAGAAUAAACUAUACUUAUUGGCUAAACCAAAAAUUCUGAAAAUUUUAUGGUAAGAAGAUAUGUGAGUCUAGUUUCAGGUAAAAUUAUUGGAUCUUAAUUUUGAGUUCCGUAGCUCUAGAUAUAAAUAAUUUAGUGACUAUGACAUGGGUGGAUAGCUUGAAUAUUCACAUAAGUAAUUAGUGAAAAUUAUGGAUAAGGUUACUUACAAGUGUGUUAUUUAUACCAAGGAUGUGGAUGGAGAGAAGGAGGAGGAAAAAAAUAUAUGAAUGACUUGUGUAUAAAUUGAUUACAUUCCCGAUUAUAAACAAUAAACGUUGAAUUAGUAAUGAUAUAACGUUUUAUUUCAUAUGUUCAUUAUUAAAUUGUAAAUAUUGAAAAAGUAUGAAAAUUGAACUAAAUGUUCAAAUUGAGUGGAACGCAGGGUUGAGUACUUUCGUUCAGUGGCUAAAACGAAUUGAUGGAAAAGACCAUGGUUGGACCAUGGCAACAUGUGAUAUGUGAUUUCCGUAUAAGACCAUAGGUGGGCUAUGACAUCGGAGAGAUGUGAUUAUGUGCUUCCAUAUAAGACCAUAUCUGGGAUAUGGCAUCAGUGAGAUAUGUGAUUCGUGUAAGACCAUAGUUGGGCUAUGGCAUCGUUAUGUGAUAUGUGAUCCGUGUAAGACCAUAGUUGGUCUAUGGCAUCGAUUUGUGAUAUGUGAUCUGUGUAAGACCAUAGCUAGGCUAUGGCAUCGAUAUGUGAUAUGUGAUUACGUGUAAGACUAUAGCUGGGCUAUGGCAUCGAUAUGUGAAUAUGUGUAAGACCAUAGUUGGGCUAUGGCAUCAUUAUGUGAAGAUGUGUAAGACCAAAGUUGAACUAUGGCAUCGAGAAAACGAAGUACUCAAUUCCGUAAGACGUUCACUAAUUUGACAAAGUUUGGUAAGUGUUACACGAACUAUGUGAUAUAAGGAAGUACCAAUUGAUAUGACAUGAGUAUAGAACUUGGUUGAUGAAUGAAUUCAUUUGUGAUUAUAUAAUUGUUCAUCUUGAGUGUAUUGUCCAGAUGUAUUGAUAUUUCAAAUGAUUUAAUGAGUAAAGUUCUGACAUGGAAUAAACUGAACACGAGACUAAUAAUUAUGAAAUUCAACUUAAAAUUCAUGAAAAUGAUGGUUAUUGAUAUAUGGAGACAUGAGGCAUUGAUAUAUGAAUAUGGAAUAUGUUUGAUAAAUGUGUUCAUUCAUAAUUAUGGAAUUAUGUAUCUCAUGUGUACUAUUUGAAUAAAGAUGAUAUUUCAAAUACUUAGGUUAUUUAAGCUCGAAUAUAAGUAGUAUGAAAUUAAGAUAAGUUGUUAUGAAAAUAUAUUUAAAUUACAGAGAUAUGGUUGAUAUAUAUUAAUUGAUUAGUCAAUGUUGGCUUAUGAAUGAUAUAACUGUAACUAGCCAUUGGUAUGGCUUGUAUUUAAUAAGUUUGAGAUUCAAAUUAUUAUGAUUUUAUCAUGAUUGAUAUGGCUACGAAAUGAACAAACGAUGAUAAUUAUAAGGCUUGGUUGAAUACCUUAAAUUGAUUCAUAAAUGUAUUAAAAUGUUGGUGAAGAUAAAUGAUUAAAUAGGUGAGAAAUAUGGCUUGGAAAAUAGCCUAAGUGUUAGCCACACGAGCUGAGACACGGUCGUGUGUCUCAACCGUGUGAGGGACAUGGCUUGGAGACACGGGCAUGUGGCCCCACCAUGUGAUUCGAUUCGCAUGCUGACGUUAUAAACAUAAAGUUACACAUCUUGAGGACACGGGCAUGUCCCUAUGUCCACACGGGCAUGUGACCCUGUUUCUUGGGAAAAUUUCCUAAGUUUUCCUGAAUCUUCUCAGAGUUCUCAAUUUAGCCCCAAAUUAAUCCCGAUGUAUGUUUUGGGCUUCGUAGACCCAAUUAAGGGGCAAUAUGCAUGUGUUUGAAAAGUUUGAAUUAAAAGAAAUUUUAUGGCCCGAUUUUUGCAUGUAUGUAUAUGUUUAGGUUCGGUAAUGCCUCGUAACUUGUCUUGGCAUCGGAUACGGGUAAGGGGUGUUACAUAGAAUUUCUGAAUGGGAUUAUUAUGGAAAUUACAAGUUUUGGGCUUUUAAUUCAAGUCUAAAUCAUAUUGGGUUCAAUUUUUAGGCUUAAAUUUUAUUAUAUAUGAGCCCAAUAUUGUAUUUAUUAUGUUUUGUUAUUUUAUUAUUUAUUUAUUCCGAAUUUUAGAUUUUUUAAAAGUAUUUUAAGUUAUUUAGGAGUUCUAUAUUUCUUAUUAAAUAAGAAAGUUUGGUUUAAAACUACUUAUUGUUUAGAUUAAUUAGAGUUUGAAUAUAAUUGAGAGUUUUAUUUGGAUGUACUUAGGUAAGCCUAUAUAAAGACCUCUUCAUUGUACAUUAGAUACACAAUUAUUUUUUUGUUCAUUAAUAAAAUUUCCAACUUUGGGAGUUAGUUUCUUUAUGCAAGAUUUCUUAUGAUUUUUAGAAACGGUUUUCUUCUCAAUUUUCUUCAAGAAGUCGUGGAAAUUCAUUCUUCAUCCUUCAAUUUACCAAGAAUUAUUUCUUUGAGGGUUGAUUAGAGCCCUUAAUUGAGUUUGUUAGGGUUUCUAUCUCAAAGGGUUCAAUUGGACACGUAUCCAUCUAUCUGUAACACACCUCGUCCGACUCGAUUGUUAGGUUUGAGUUACGGAAUGCUACAGUCAUUGUUGGAACAACUACAGACAACUAUCGCUCAAUUUAAGCAUAAAUCAUAUAAGAAAAAUAAUUUCAAUUGAUAAACAUCAAAUACGAACUUUCUCGGGUCUUAUAUGAGCCUACAAAUGCUCUGAAGUUAACUCGAAAUCGCGACGUGAGGAGUUCUUCAUCACAACAUGAUCGUUUGUUUUGCCUCGUUGAGAUGACGGGGUUCCUUGUCAUGUUGUGGUCCAAAACCCAUAUCUCAUCGCAAUGACCACCGCUUGACUUCGUGACGUGGACUCUGUUUUUUACACAGAAUAGACCUUUUGGUGACUAUUUCAACCAACUAAACCAUUAUACAAAGUUGGUGCAUUUUUGCAUAACAUUACCUAUACAAGAAUUUGCCAAAACACAUGCCAAACAUAUAUUUAACUAUUUUCCCAAUCAACUAGACCAAUAUGCCACAAUUUGGCAUCAAAUCAUUUCAAUUCAACUUAUAUAAAUUCAAUUAUACAUAUAGCCAUUCCACACCAUUAUUUAAUCAUACUAUUCAUGCUCAAAUAUACCAUAUCAAGUAUCACACCCAUAGUUCAAAAUGUUACCAAAACAACAUGUUCAAAUAAGCUUUACUUUACCAAAUAUUCAAACAUUAGAAAGGUUCAACAAUACUAACAUCUAUAUUACCAAAAGCAUAACUCCUGUUUACAUGCCACAAAACUAAGAUUCCAAAUUAUUAAAAGACUACCAAAUCAAUGACAGGGUAUUAUGAGAUUCUCGUAGAUCUGAUCGACAUGUUCUGCAAGAUGGCAAUCUACAAAAAAAGAAAGAUAAUGGCGUAACCAUUUCGAAUGCUUAGUAAGUGUUAGGAAAUGUGUCUAUAUUGUAGUAAACAUGUAAUUGUUUUCUAUGUAUUUGAAUGAUGAAUAAAUAAAUAAAGUUAAUUUCACAUUUCACUAUUAUGUCUUUUAUGUUUCUAUCUUUCAUGUUCAGCAUGCAUAGCGAAACUGUGACAAACAAAUAUUAGUCCAUUGAUUGUCUAAGUUCAAACUGAUGAUAAGUGACACUGUAAGAAAGUUUACAUUGUAAGAAAAACAACUUACUUUAGUAGAUAAUCUAAACGAACCCGUAAUCCUAUAAAAGAAUCAAAGUGAGCAUUUGAUUCAAAUACAUAAAAGGAUUAUUAUGUCCUUUACAAUUCCAAUUGUGGAGAUAGCUAGUCUUGGCUAUUGGAGCAGUUGACUCCACGGGUAGAGAUAUAGAUGUACUCAUUGGAAGAAUGAUACAUUGAACUGAACCUAAGUUGAAUUAAUUCUGAAUCCGUUUGUGAAUUAAUUCACUUGUGACGUUCAUGAUGUGAUUUACUAAAUCCUGAGUUAGUUACUAACCAUGUGUAUGUAACUCAUGUGCUUUGAUAUAAGUGGAGGCUUGUACUUUAAAAAUGAUCGAGCCUAUAGACGGCAUGCUGGGUACAUGACUUGUGUAUGGCAUCGCUUUGUUAGCAACAAUGGAAUUCAUAGCUCGAUUAAAGAGUUAAUGGUAUCUUCUCAUUGGGAUUGUGUGGAUUGAUAAAUAUGGAACGUGGCCACGGGUUACUUAUUCUCGAACUAGCAAUUUAUUACAUUCGUUUGCUGACAAAGAUCAUAUUACUCAUUAAGAAGACACAAUGGUGACAAUAAGAUAAAAUAGAAUUGUACUGAGUGAACGGAUUUAACUAAAUGAAAUUAAGGAUAUUAUAUAAGGAUAAAACAUAUAUGACAAGGUCAUUCGACAAAGCAGUUGGAUGAAUUGCUUUCGUAAAGAGUAUACAAUAAGGAGUUUUCAAUCAUGGUACUUCUUUUGGACUGACUCCAUGAUUAAGUAAUUAUGAAUUAUUGGAACAAUGCUUUUGGACAUAAUUGUAUUUACUAGAGCCUAAUUGUAUAUGUCCAAUUGGUCCCUCUGCUAGCUCAACAAAAACUCAAUCAGACUGUAUUUGAAUUAGAAGAAAAUUCUACAACUUUGGAAAUAAUUUAAUUGAGUCGAUUUAUUCGAUGUGAAAUUAAAUUAGACAGUCGUUAGAAUUGAUCAACUAGAAAACUUGAUUAAAGAAUUUUUUUGAAAAAUUAAUUUGGAAAAUAUUAGUGAUUUUUGGGAAAACUAAUUUUUAUCAAGUAAAAUUAAAUUAAUCAAAUUAAUUAAAAUUAAUAUGAUAUUUUCAGAAAUUAAUUUUCAAGUUAUACAAUUGACCAAUAGGUAAUUGGACUUGAGACCGAAAAUUGGAAUCAAGAACCAAAAAUCAAGAUUGAGACCCAAAACUGUUUGAAUUGGGCUCGAUAGUGAAAUCGGACCAAUCGGGCCAUCAUUGGCCCAAACUGAAUUGGAGACAACCGAACGAACAACAGUUGAACCGGCUCAAGGUGCUAUAAGGGUGUCGCAUCUACGAUAGCACCACUAGACACGACGACGUUCUAGUGGCUAAUGGGUGGUCCUUCGACGGUUGAGCAGUGGAGGAAUCACACUUCUACUAGGACUCUACUAGAUAAUUUGAUUUCAGAUUAACUAUUCUGAAAAAAAAUAUUAUUUUAAUAGAUUUAAUAUUAAAUAUAAUUUACUAUUUAUCUUGAUAGUGUUAUGUAGCAACCCAAACCCGGCCCAGAAAUUAUGGCCGGAUCCGGCAUGCCACAUCAAAAACGUUAAAAAAAAAAUUUCUAUUCUAAGUCCAGAAAAUCGUACUUGAUGUUCAAAAGAUUAAUUCAUUAAGGGUUAAAGUGAAUGGAAGCUGUGCACCAGGUAAGAAACCAGAAAAGAGGUGGUGAGUCAAUCGGACUGCUUAAGUACCAAGCUCCCUUCGGAUCCAAUCCUAGACAUGCAUACCGCCAUUGCCACACCUUAACGUCAUGGAUAUUUCUAGGAAACCGAUUUGAUUAAGUCAUUUUUAGGAAAAGUGAUUAAUUUUGGAAAAUACUUUCAUUGCGGAAGCUUUUCUUGUUGUCGUGUUAUUUUGAAAUCAACUGUUGUUUUUGAAAACGCGCCCUAAAACUAUCCAAUUUCAACAGUUAAAAUAAGUAUUACCUAUCUUAGUAAUACAUAUUAAAAACCAUCAAAAAUAAAUAAGCGGCCUUAUUACAUUUAAAAGCCUAAAACCUCAAACAUAAUUAAAAGGAUGUCAAGUUUACCAGAAGAAAAUCAAACUUUCAGAACGGGUGGCCACUCCGAAUUCCCUCACAGCUCCAAGCCCACUAUGGUUGGGAAUUUCCUGCGUGGAUGAAAAUAAAAGGGGUGAGUUUGGGGAAACUCAGUGUGUAAAUUAACCCAACCAUAGCCUAUAUCAGCUCAAACCACAGAAAUAGAAUAAGUUGGCCUUAGCCCAGAACAGAAUUCAAAAUAAAGCCCAUAGGCCCAUAACAGAACAGAACAGAUAUUACAUGUUUAUGCAGAAACCCAACCAUAUCCAACCGUAUACACCCCCGUACCAACCUUACACCGUGUGGGGAGACAAAUCGACCCACCCAACCGCUACACACCACAGAAUUUGCAGCAUGGCUGCCAGAACAGAUAAUGUGACAGAGUCACCAGAUACAGAUAAUCGUGGCAGAGCCACCAGAACAGAUAUAUGUGGCAGAGCCACCAGAUCAGAUAUUUGUGGCAUAGCCACCAGAACGCUUCCUCCAUAAUAUAACCCAUGUCCCCAUGCAACAAAUAUAUAAUCAUGGCAUCCAUCAUACAGAAUCAGAUCGCUAUUCUUUUCAGUCAAAAUUAACCCUAGAGGUAUAACGGUAAUUUUGCACCUAGGGGUAUAAUAGUAAUUUUCCAUACAUAGGGGUAUUAUAGUAAUUUAGCUACUUUCAGGGUUUUCAUGCAUAUCCUAACUAUUUACGUACUAUCAGAACACUUACCGCACAUACUUACCGAAUUGGGCCCGUUGGCCCAUGAACCCGAUCUUUGGCCCAUUAAGCCCAAAUUAUCAAAAUGUACGAAAUCGCGCGUACUGCAGUUUAUUACUUUAGAUUACCAAAUAUAUAAACCCAACUAUUUUACGAGCAUUCGCACACUCGCAAAUUCCCAAAAUACCGACUUUUCGGCUUUUGCCAAUCUAGUCUAUGAGAGGGUGUCAGUUACACACCUGUUUGCGACGAUAUGCUAACGAGAUCCACACACGAACCGCCUACAAUUGGAUUACUAACACGUUAAUCUAACUAUUCAAAUACAAACUAUGUAUUAACCCCUUACAAUAUUCGGCCAACCACACCUACAGAUCAUAGUAAGCUUAUAAGAAAUCAAUAAGCAACUCAUUAACAAAUUUUUGUCAAUGUUUACCACAUAAUCAUAAUUUCACUGCAAGCUGUCUUCCUGAGCAACAGUCACUAAAUUAUUUAUAACUGGAGCUACGAAACUCCAAAUCAAGUGCCGUUAAUUUUCCUUGAAAAUAGACUCAUAUAUCUUCUAUCCAUAAAAUUUUCAGAAUUUUUUGGUUUAGCCAAUCAAUACCAGAUUUUUCUCAAAGUUUCCCAUGUUUCACUGUUUGACUAAUCUGACCACUCUUUAUUACGAAUCAAAUUUCUCAUUCUACAGAAUUCAAAAUAUGUUCUAGUUUAUUCCAUUUGAAACUAGACUCAUUAAGCUUUAAUUACAUAAUUUAUUCAGCUUCUAACUCAUCUCCCACAAUUUAUGGUGAUUUUCCAAAGUCACAUUACUGCUGCUGUCCCAAGCAGAUUUAUUACCAAAUCACUCUUUCACACCUAACUUGCAUGCUUGUUAUUUAAACAUGUAUAUCACCAAUCAAUCAUCACAUAUCUAUGAUUUUACUUAAGUAUAAUCUCCAUUUCAUCAUUUUAAAGCACAACAUGUUAGCUGAUUUUUCCCUUUAACAUCUAAGGCAUAUGCAUGCUCAUUUGUUUGGCUCAACUUCACCUAUCUUCCAUUUUUUCAUCAAAAGAACAUGAAACAACAACCAUUUCCUUCAUUUUAAUUCAUGACUAAAUGCUCACAACACAACUAAAAAUCAAAAUAUACUUCAAGAGUUAAGGUAGAAUCAAGAAGAACUCAUGAACCUCAAAAUAGAAGCAAGGUACCAAGAACUUACCUUCAAUUUUCCUCCUCCUAAUGACCGAAUACUCAAGAGCUUUCUCCUCUCCUUUCUCUUCUCUAACUUUCAGCUAUGAUGAACAAUGAUGGAUAAAACUUUGUUCUUUUCACCCCUUUUUCUUUUAAUAAAACUUCAUAUUUCAUCCAUUUAAUUCUUUAAUACAAAAGAUAUGAAAUUCUUAUCAUGAAACAUUUACCUAACCCAUUAUCAUGAAACAUUUUCCUAACCCAUUAUCAUGGAACAUUUACCUAACCUAUUAUCAUUGAACAUUUACCUAACCUAUUAUCAAUUUGUAUUAAUUUGUACCAUAAAUUAUGGAUAUCAAGUGUACAUUUUGUCUACAACAACAUGAUGGCUGGCCACUUCAUGUAAAAUGGGAGGUUGGUCAUGCAAAUCCUCUUAUUUUGCACUCCUAUUUAUUUGGCCACUUCAAUUUAGCCUAUAGCAUUUUCAAACAUUUUCACAUAGGUCCUAUUUCAUAAUUUCACCCCAUUUUUCUUAUGGAACAAAAAUUAACUAAAAUUGUCGGGUUCUAUCUUAAGUUUGGGCUUUCUAGAGGCCCACUAACAUAAUUAAACCUAUGCCAACAUUCACAGGAUUCCCGAAAAUUGGGGCGUUACAUAUUAUAUUAAAUUAAUAUUAAAGUAAUUAUCUUAUUAUUAAAUUUAAUUUAUAAAUAUUUUAUUAAUUUAAUAGAUUUUAUAUUAAAUUUAAUCUAAAACUUAUCUUGACAGGUAUUAUAUUAAUUUAAUAUUAAAUUGAUUAAGUUUAAUUAUAGUUGAACUCUCUAAACUCUCCCUAUAUAAAGGGAGUCAUGGGUUAUUAUUUCACAAACACUUGAAUUCAAGAAAAAGUUGCAGAGAGAAAAUUCUCUAAAAAAUUAUUUUAGAAGAUUUCUAGAGAUAUUUUUUUAUUUACAACUUAGCCCAAAAGUUUAGAGAAGUUGCAAAAUUACCUAACUAGUAAUUUUGUGAAAAUUUUUUUGAUUCGAAACGAGCCCACACUUGACAGACGUGAGCUUGAGGGUAGUGGAUAAGACUACUUGGUCAAAGGGUUCAUCCUAAAUGAAUCGAAAAGGUACAAUUUUGAUUAAGUGUUUAUUACUUUAGAUAAUACAACCAAAUUCUAGUUUUGGAAAAAGAUUUGAAACUCUAAUUUUUCCUCAAAUAUAUUUUUCGAUACGUUUUCCAAACUCGUUUUUUCCAAUAGUAAACCCAUAGGCAUUAAAUAUAAACUUACCUUAUUUUGUAAUUAAACAACUUAACUUGGUAACGUUUUGCUUAAACAUAUUCACACAUAGCAAUAAGGUGAGUUUAUCAUAUAAUCACAUUAGAUAGUAAUUUAAACAUAUACCAAGUCAAUUUACCAAUAUUAACUUUUCAAUACUAUAUGCAUACUCAAUUCGACAUUUAACCAUUUUAAAUAUCAAAUUUGCACCAUGCACACAAUUAUCAUGUUACACCAAUUAUCCAAACUGAAUGUAUAUAUAUACAAACGUUAGGUUACUCGUCCAGGUUAAGCCUUUAAAACGACAUCAGGUUACUUUUCUGAGCUAAACUUGUAUCCUAAUUAUCUCUGAAAUAUUAAUUGCUCAUCCAAGCUAAACAUAUAAUCAUGUCAAGUUACUCAUCUGGGCUAAACCUUUAAAAUAACAUCACGUUACUCGUUCGAGCUAAACCUAUGCACAUGUAUCUUCGAGUCCAUAACAAAUGCUGGAGCUCGGUAAUCAUCGGUAAUCAAUAUGUAUCCAUGUGUACGAGAACUUUACAAAGUUUUGUCAAGGUAAUUCUAAGAUAUAAGUUCAUAUUUAUUUCUUUACAAUAUAGCUCAAUUCUCGCAUUUGUACUAAAUUGUAAACAUUCCAACUUUCAAUUAACAAACGUAUAUUUAUAAAUCAAAUAUAAAAAAUUAAAAUAAAAAAUUAAACCAUAUGAACUUACCUGACAAAAUCAACAGACAAGUUGAACUACAAGGACUAAUUAGUAAUUUUUUCUUUUCCUCGAUUAUCCUUGGUCCGUUUCAAUUCUCAAUCUAAACAAUAAUUCGGUUACAUUUAUCAAUACCAAUAAUUUUAUAAUAUCCCCUAUUAUGCAUGAAUCAAUCCAAUUUUAUUUUUAAAAUGCCCCUACAAUUUUUUAUUUGAUUCAAUUUAGUCCCUAAAACCAAAAUUGCUAUAACUUUAAAAUUUGAGCCUCGAUUUCAAAACUGAUCUUAAUUACAUCCUUCUAUAACUUACAAUUAUCAGUAAUUACAUAAAUAUUUCAUAGAUCUCAAAAUUUAUGCACUUGACCAUAUGUUUAAAAACUAGCAAUUAUAUUUUACAAACUAGUCCUUUUCACUUCUAAGCUUAAAAUCUAACAAUUUAUACCAAUUUUGUCAAGUAUUCAUCAAUGGAAAAUUUUAGAAACUUUAACAGUUUUGCAAAUUGGUACACGGGUUAACUAAAUCAAGCUCUUGAGACCUCAAAAAUAUAAAAAUUACAAGAACCCGACUUGUAUACUUACCAAAUCAGAAGACCGAAUGCUUAAGUUGAUAAAAAAAAAUGGUUUCCUAGGUUUCUUUGUAGUUUCAAUUGAAGAAGAAAGCAAAAUAAAAUAUGAUAACAUUUCAUUUUAACUUAUAUACCGUAAUUAACUUAUAAUUAAUACUAAUUAGUUUAAUUAAUAAUUAAUAAAUUAUUAAGCUUACUUAUCAAAUUUAAUGACUUACAACUAGCCUCCACUACCGUAUAGUCAAAUAUUAGUGGUCCAAUUGCUCAAUUGGUCCUCCAAUUAAUUAAACAAGCUUUAUUUCAAUUAAACCUUAAUUAAUUAAGGCCUAAUAACAAUUAGCCCAAAAGUUAAUUGUAACCUCCCCCAACAUGACCUAAACGUUAGGCCUAAAUCCCUAAGAUUACAUCAGCCACUAGAAUGCCUAAUAGUGGUUGGGGUUUAUAAAACAGUCAUUUUAAAACAUUAGUUUAUUUUGGUAGAAAACUUUAGUCUAUUUUCAGAAAAAGUUUACGAGUUUAUCAAAAACCGGUUUAGUUUAACUUUCCUACAUAAUGGUUACUACUUUUUGAAAACUUAAUUAAUUUCCAGUUUAUUUAAUACUUGAAAAUUUAUGAUCUUCCGGCGGAUAAAUUGAUAUCUAAAUCUUAGGUUUAAUAGAAGUUGUAUCUCAUGCAAUGAUAAUUAAAUUCCCUAAUUUUAAUAACCUAAUCAUAAUUAAGGUUCAUGUAGGCUGAAUAAUCCCCAAAAAAACUUAAGUCCUAUGCCACCAUUUAAAUAAAAUAUUACACUUUCUGGAUAACGAAAAUUUUCAAAUAAUAAAUUUAAAAUAUUAGGAUAGACAAAAUUAAGCGGAGUCCCUCCGAAUGUUGUAUCUGCGUCCUGACCUGAUGGGUUAUUUGUAAAGAUGGACAAUAAAGGGGAGUGAGGUAUAAAGCUCAGUGUGAGUUCAAUCACAAGAAUAUCAGUGGAAAUAGUCAAUAGGUCAUAUUUAAUAAUAACACAUAGUAUAAUCGCAAUCAAAUAGCAAAUCAGAUAAUCGAUUUUUCAACUAAUCAUCGAUAGUAUCACAGAAUUCACAAUAGUAAUUUCAAAAUAUUGAUUUUUCAAUUCAUCUUAUCGUCACAAUAUCUCAAUGUUCACCACUAUGCAUAUGCUUAUGAAUGCAAUGUAAUUUCAAUUAUCAGAAAAGGUUCUACCCCACCGCUACACACCGCUACACAUAAUUGAAUAAAAUCAAACACUAAAACAGUUCAAGGAUCAUUAAGGGACUAAAUGGAUCAAAACAUAACAUUCUGGUUAAAACUGUAAAUUUGUAAAAUAGGGGCACAUGGCCUUGUAGUCGGGCUGUGUGCAAUGCCUUAAGCCAUGUGAAGGGGUUACACGAUCGUGUGUUAAUUGUAAAAUCAAGGUACAAAGGAGACACAACCGUAUGGAAAGCCGUGUUAAAAGCUUUAGGCCGUGUAAGAUUUGAAAUUCUUAGGGCUUUAGGGGGACAUAGUCGUGUGGUCCACAUGCCCGUGUGGCCCUAUUCCGAUGCACGAAUUGCCCCAAUUCACUUGUAAAAGAACACACACCUGUCACUGGGAUCUCGAACGAUGUUCCUCAUACUCAAUUCUGGUCCGAUGCACCUAAAAUAGGUCUUUUAAACGAUAAUUUCACGCGGAUUAACGUUCCAAGAUUUAUCAUGAUUCAACGAUAUUAAUGAAAGAUUUGUUAAUAACCGUUAUAGAUUGACUAAUUGAUUUGAAAGAUUAAUAUCGGAUAGAAAUUCUAUGAAAUUUGGGGUCUAAUUUUUAGAAUGAGAUGUACUUAUCGAACAUGAUGGAAUUAUGAAGGCUACCAACGAUAAAUUCAAGAAUUAGUAGAGAAUCAAUUUUUCGGGGAUUGAUUUGAUAUCGAGAGCAAAAUAAUUUCAGUAAUGGAGAGAAAAUUUGAUGCAAAAAAGAGGAUUAAAAGAAAUAUGAAAAGAAAUAGGGAGAGAGAAGAUAAAUUCUAAUUGGAAUGAAAAAAUAAACAUAAUCCUAGUGUAAUGAGGGAAAAAAAAAACUAAAUAGUUAGGGUUUUCAAAUUUGAUGGGGCUGCAUGGUAAUUUCCCCUAUUUUGUCGAAAUAAAAUGAAAGUGACUUGGGAAUGGGGUGGUUUGAAUCUGGUUGUGCAAAAGGAAGAAGCAAGUGCUUUAACCAUUAAUCUACUGCCCAUUUCUUGAUAAAUUUCUACUCCAAAUAAUAUUUAUUUUGAUAUGGUUUUAAUCCUAGGUUGUAGAAAAUUUAAAAAUGAAAAAUGGAAGAGAUGUGAUUUGAACUUAAGAUCUCUAAGGAAUGUACAAGCUAUUUUUUAUCAAGCCUAAGGCUUAAUUCUUGCUUAUUCGUUACAACUAACCCCAAAUAUUUUGGGGUGUGUCAUUAAUGGAAUUUAAUGACAUCCACGACCGCUUGGACAUUUGUAAAUGGUAUAUUCACCAUUUUGAUCCCUUAGCUAUUUAAAAUUUAUAGUGAUUAUAUUUUACUACUUUUACAAUUUAGUCAUUGUACCUUAAUUAACUUUCUGAUUAACAAAAUUAAUGGACCAAAUUUUAAUUAAAUUUUAUACUAACCUCAUAAAUAUUAAAUAAUAAUAUUUAAGAACUCGAUCAUCAAAAAUGAGAUUCUGAAACCACUGUUUUCAACACCACUGACUUUUGGGUCGUUACACUAUUUGUCAUAUCCAUCGAUUUAUCCGAUCCAUCUUGCACUUUUUUUUAUAUCAUUUCUUUAGUUAUUUAUUAUUUUGAAUAUUUAUUCUUUAUUCUUAAUUUUUUAUUUUAGUUAUUUUCUUUGUUUUUCUUGUUUUCCUAAAUCUGUUUGGUUUCUUCUUUUUAGGUCAGACUUGAAUAUUUUUUCUAAAAUCGAACAAUUUGAAUACAAUCUACUUCCGUUUGCCUCUUAUCAAAGGUACUAGCCACAACAUCAUUUAUAAACAUUUAAAUUUAUCAACAUUAAAUUUCUAAUGAUUUUGGUUAAAUAUACGUGAUAUUUUUUUGGUACAACAUAGUAUUUAUUGUUUCUAAAUAAAAAUUGCAAAUUAAAAUCUCUAGUAGUAGUGAUUAAUAGUAAGUUCUAGUUUUUUUUUUUAUCUUUAAUCUUUCGACACAUUUGGAAAAUUUUAUAAUUUUUUAAUUAUUCUAUAAUUUUUUAACUUUUAAUAAAUUUUUGUAAUUUUUAUAGUUUUUAUAAAAUAAAAAAGUAGGGGUUAAAUUGAUAAUGUUAUAAAGAUUGAGGGGUUAAAUUUGUAAUUAUACUUAAUUCUUAAAUAGAGUUAAUGGAAAGAUCGAAAAUGAUGAAUUUGAAAAAUAAAAAGACUAAUUUUAAAUAAAUAAAAGGAAGGGAAAGUAUAGAAAAAUUUAAUAUAUAUUACAAAAUUUAAUCGAAAAUUAAAUAUAUGUAGACCAAUUAAUUAAAAGAAGAAAAAAAAAAGUGCUGCAUUUCUAAUAUAUAUUACAAGUGAAUGGCACCUUGAAAUUAUCCAUAUGUUUUUUUUAUAACUACAUUAUAAAUAAUUAAAUAUUUACAUAAUAUAGAUCACAAAAUAAAAGUAAUUAUAAAGAAGUAAAAUAACUAUAUUUACAUUAUUUUAGAAACUAUUCUCCACGAGAAUGUUGAUUUAUUGGUAAAGAGACGAAGAAAUAAAUUUAUUAUUCCAUUUUAAUUUAUUCAAGACCAAGGAAAAGAACUGAUGUUGUAUUUCCAUUUUAGUAUCUCGAUGGAAAUACAUAUUAAUGGUAUUUUCUAUAUAAAAAGUAUUCUAUCAUCGAUACAGAAGAAAGAAUUCAGGAAUUACUAAAUAUGGGACUCUAGGGGCACAUUCAAUCUUCAAAAGGGAGGAUGUGAUUGAGUAUCGAGGAGUUAAAAAGGUUAAGCCAAAAUACGAAAUGAAUGUAGAUCGAUUUUUCUUUCAUUCCCGAGGAAGUACAUAUUUUAUCAGAAUCAUCGUCCAUAAUGGUAAAGAACAAUUGGAGUAGAUACCCAAAUCACUUUAAAUACAAGAAGUGGAUUACUCAUAAGUGUUGGUGUAAUUGUAAACGCAUUUCAUUUUUAAGAAAAGAAUGCAUGCUUGAAUCUUGAAAAUAAUAUUGUCGGAGGGACCGUUACAAAUUCUAAACCGUAAAAUGAACAAAAAAUUAUUUAAGGAAAAGGCGGAUUAAUGAUUUAAUAGUAUUUUAUUUUUGAAAAAUAAAAUUAUUAUUAUUAUGAACUUAGGUUUGGUUUUUAGGUGACUUCCCAAUUGAGUUGGACGAUGUUUGAUAACUGAAAAAAAUAAAAUGUAAGUGCUAAAAAUUAAAUAUUAAAAUUUUAAUAUGGAAUAUAGUGAGUAUUGGAUUUGAUUUUUUUUUAAAAUUGUUUGGUAUAUUUUGAAAUAUUAAAUAUUAAAUAAAAAAUUCAUAAAAAUUUGUUAAUAUUAGCAAUUUUAUUUAAAAAUAAUUAAAUAUUAAUUAUAAAUAUUAUAAAUAAAUAUUACUAAGGUUUAUUAGGUUCUCAAGUUUAGGUUUUAGAAUCUUGGUUUAACGGUCAAGUAGUAUUAAUUUAUAAUUAAUUAAUUAAUUAUGUUUAAAUAAUUUUAAUAUUAUUUAUUUUUUUAUCUUAUUCAACGCUAUGUUGUCAUAUUAUUAUUCACCGAUGAUGUAGAGAACUCAUGCAAAGUAUUUUUUUAACUUUUUUGGAUUUUUUAAUUACUUGUUUAGUAAUGAGUUUAAUUUUCAUAUUUUUAUGUAUUUCAAAAAUGUAAUCCAAACUAAUUUAUAUAUAAUUUAAGGUUAAAAAUAUGUCAUAGGUGACUACAUUCUUUACAUAUUUAGAAUUUAGUCAUUAUACUUUUAUUUUUUUAAGAAUUUAGUCCCUCUAUUUUUCGAAUUGUAAAAUUCAGGUCCAAUUGUUAACAUUGUUAAAUUUUUUAUGUAACAUUUUGAAAUAAAAAACUCACUUGGUAGCAAUGAACCUAAAAAAUUGAUGUCAAACUUAAAUUUUACAAAAUAAUUUUAAUAAUAUAAAUAAUUAAACUUAAAUUUUAAAAUUUAAAAAAUAAAUUCUUAAAUAUAAAGAUGUAAGGACUAAAUUCAAAUUCUUAAAAUCAUGAUUCUAUAGUAAUGACCAUUGAUAUUCUUAAAAAUGUACCUUUUUUAUUUUUUAUUUAUUUAUAAUGUGAAAUUCGAUAAGUGUAUAACAUGUAAAGAAAAAGGACAUGUUCGCCAUGUGGGGGUGAAGAUAGGGUUUAGGAAAAUAAUAAUAAUAAGUCAAUAAAGUCCAUCUUCACCUCCACAUGAUCCGAUACUUCACUAAUAUGAUAUAAGGGCCUAAAACAAUAGUGUCGAAUAGGCAAGUGGGUCGCAUUACUGUGUAAGAAGCUUCAAGUCUAGUUGUAGAGGUUGCAUGCUUGAGUAUGACUUUGCUGAAGUGCUCAUCGAUGGUUAAAUGGUAUGCAUCAUUUUCUUAUUAUUAGAUACUCUUCUCCCAAAUUGAAUUGUCUUUUAACUCAUUUGACUGAAUCAUUGUACAUGUUUUAUAGGGUAAAAAUUUAUCAUCCCGAGUAAUUUUCUCAUAUAUGCAUGGCUAAGAUCAUUAAUCCCAAAGCUUAACGCACGAACACAGUACAUGCUCUGUUGGUCAAUUCUUGUUUGGCAAUGUUCCUCUUACCAUCAAAAAAAUCCAAGCCCUGCCAUUUCAGUCCAUCUCCUCCACAAUUACAUGUAGUGGAGGGGCCUAUUUGAAAAGCUUCUCCAGCCAUAAUGUGUUUCACUAGAUUCCCAUCUAUUCGUUAUUGUCAUUAUCCUUAGACACACACUGAUACUACUAGCUUCAAUUAUCACUUGCUCAUCGAUAGCAAGAUCGGUUAUUAAAAUGACACAUUCCAUCAUCAUAAUCACUUACUUGCAUCCAAAAUGGAAUGUAUAUGUUUGUAACCUCUUUAUUUCUAAUAAAGUGAAAGAAACUUCAAUAUCAUAAUAAAUUUUGUUAUCAUAUAUGUUACAUAUAAAUCAACUGAUGCGUCAUAAACCAACUAAAAAUUUGAUUAAAGCAAAUAGUGUACCUGUCAAUUAAUAGUAUAGUUACGAUAAACAAAAAUAUCGUUCCAACGAAGAAUAAAAAUGCUAGUAAGUUUCUAUUAUUAACCGAAUGAUUCGAAUGAUUGAUUAAAAACUAAAAUUAAUUAACUAAGGAACACGACAUAGAACAAAACACAAAAAUAAUCGAUUAACAACCAAGAAGUAAAGCAAUACCCAGAAAAGAAUUCACUUAGAUUUCAUCUGUCACUAUCAAUCUAAAUUACGUAAUUUCUUUACUUAACACCUUGAUCCAUAAAAAUUCCUAAAUUAUGUAAAUAUCUUUUUUGAGCAUAAGAACAACUGACUCUGGGUUAAUUAAUUGAAAUUUCUUUCUAAUUAAAACCCCUAUUAUCGCAUUGAAUCGUGCUAUGGAUUCCCCUAUUAAAUUUGACUCAAAUCCAGUAGAUUAUGUCAUCUUGUUUCUUGGAUUGCAUACAACUCCAUUUAACUAUGCAAGAUCUACUCUUAAACAGGGUCUAUUCAACCACCAAAUUAAGCACAUUAAACACGGAUUAAAAAUUUAGAAAUAUUAAAACAAGAAUUAAACAUACAUAAUUGAGAACAAGAAACUAAAUAUUUAUUGCGUAAAAUAAAAAUCAAACAACAGAAUCCAUCAUAGGGUCAUCUCCUCUAUGUAUUUGGAAAAUUAGUUCAUGCUUGAAAAUAAAAACAUCCAAGAGACAAUAUACAAUAUAACAUAAGGAAAUAAAGAAACUCAUGAUAACUUCCUAAGAAAUCAAUUAUAAAUUUUCAAUCUUGACGGAAAUCUGCUUUAGAGUAGGGUUUAAUGGUGUUUUUGAGUUGUUUUCUUGAAUAUUCUCCAACGGCUCCCUCCUAUCUUCUUAUUUUUGUCAUAUAUACGUCUUAGAAUGCUUGAAAAACCUAAAAAUCAUGAUUUUCCACUGUUUGGUGUGCAAUCCGUGAAAUCAACAUGGCUGUGUGGCCUGGCUGUGUGAAAUGGUUCAACCUAUAUGGCUCUUGUAACUUGUUUCAAAACUCCAAUUUUCGCUCAUUUUUCGCUCGUUUUUUCACUCUUUUUGCUCCUAAGUGCUCUCUUAAGCAUUAAAACAUAAUUUUAAAGUGUUAGAAGCAUAAAAUUUACAAUUAACAUCAAAUAAUCAAUCAAAAAUGUAUUAAGAAUGAGGUUAAAACAUGUUACUUCUAACACUUAUCAUCAACACUCUUUAAACUGUCUAUAAUGUGUCAACUAAGCUCUGGGAAUUUUAAAUUACACGAGCACGAACAACUCAAUAUUUUUGUUGUUCGAAAUACCACAAAAAACGUAUUUAAAUUUGUAAAAUCUUGAAAAUAUUUCUACAAAUGUAACAAAAAAAGAUUAAAAAUUAAGUUGGAACUUUUACUAUCAGGGGCGUAGCUAGGGGGCUGGAAAGAGGCCCGAUCCUCUUAAAAUAGAAAUUUUUUUAUUUAGGUCUUUUAAAAUUUUUAAAAUUUUAAAUUAGUAAAGGUAAAAUUACACUUUGGCUCCCUAAAAAUGAUACAAAUUUGAUUUAAUCCUUUAAAAAUUAUAAAGAUAUAGGCUAUUAAAAUGGUGAAAUUACAUUUUUAUUAUCGUAAAAAUUAUAAUUUAAUUUUGACCCCCUAAAAACAAUUUCUAACUUCACCCCUAUUUACUAUAUUGACAACAUGAUUUAUUACAUAUUUUUCCUAAAACCUAAAAUGAUCACUUUUUCUCCCAAAAAGUUUUUGAAAAUAAUAAGGGUUUUUUAAAGAGUUCUGAGAGUUUGAGAAAAAAUUCGGUGGGAGGAGAACUGAAAUGGGCCGAGGUAUAUAUAGAAUCGAAAUUUGACUCUCAUAGUUAUCACCUUCUAUGUAUUAAAUGGGCUGAUUAAGCCAUCGAGCAAAUAAAUUUGCAACACAAAUUUCAUAACUUUAAACUCGAUAUCCAAGUGAGUUAAAGUCGUGUUGAUUAUAUUUUGCAUUCGAUCACUUGUGACAUAAAUAACAUUCACUCUUGUGAUGAUUUGACAUUAUCUUGAACUUGACACCUGACAAUGUUAAAGUAAUCUCCUAAACAAAUAUUUUAAAAAUAUAUAUUAUAGCAAAUAAUAAAAAGACACAAUUAUGAAGUCAAAAACCACAUGUUAAAAUGUGUUAUUAGUCCCUGUACUUGUAUAAAAUUUAAUAUUAAUCCAUAUAUUUUACAAGUUAAAAAGUCAAUAUUCCUAUUUUUUUUUUCAAAUUAAAAAUCUUAGUGUAAUCGUUAUCAACAUCAUCAUUAGUAGUUUUCAAGAUUUGUCAAUUUAAUAUGUUUAUUUUCUGUCAAUUAUAUACCACAUCAUAUGAGGAUAUCUUGAUUAAAAUUUUAAGUUGAUAAAUUUUAACAAAAAAUAUUUACUGAGAUUUUAAAUAAAUAAAAAUUAAAACUUUAACAGCACAUUUUAACCAAAACCACAAUAACCCAUUUGGAACGAAUACUCACGACUCAAAUUUGUACAUAAAUCAAAAUCCUUAUGCAUUACUGGUGUUUGUUACAACAUCAGAAGAUAGAGAACAGCCAGAAUCAUGAAUGGAGUUAUGAACUGCAAUAACAUCAGAAUCUGAAGCUUCAAAAUCGACAUCAUCGCGGGGAUUGACCGGAAAAAUGAUGUCCGGAUAGCAAUGGUCGUCGCCAUGAUUACUCUUCACUAACUCAGCAUCAGCAGUUUCUUGAAGCUCCAAUGCAAAUCCUAGCCUUUCCAUCACAUCAUUCAUGAAUGGCCGCUUCACUCCCAUUUCUUGUAUGCAACUUUCAGCAAUUUCAACAAACACCUUUAAACACUGUGGAGCUAUCUUUCCCUUCAGCUUUGGAUCUAUGGCUUGAUGAAGUGUCCCAUCAGCAAUGCAUUUUCUAACCCAAUGAGCUAAGUUCAUUUGUUCCAUUGAUACUCUCUUGUCCAGAGCUUUCCUUGCACAUAAAACUUCAAAUAGUACUACACCGAACGAGUAUACAUCGGAUUUUUGGGUCAAUGUAUGACCGCGAGCGUAUUCGGGAUCCAAGUAUCCCCAUGUGCCCUUUACACCGGUAUUAAGCAUGUCGAGCUUCGGAUCAAGUUUCGACAAGCCAAAAUCCGCGACUUUCGCAGUGAAUUUAUGGUCGAGGAGAAUGUUGCUGGUCUUAACGUCACGGUGAAUCACAGUAUACUUCACUUCUGUAUGAAGGUAAUUCAAUCCGAUUGCUGCCCCAUGGCAUAUCUUGAGCCUUUGUUUCCAUGUUAGAGGUUCGUUGGUAGUGUCGUAAAGGUGAUCGCGGAGAGUGCCGUUGAUCAUGUAAUCGUACACAAGGAUCAUCUCAUUGUUGUCGUUGCAAUAUCCCACCAAAGAGACCAAAUGAAUGUGACGAAGCUGGGAUAGCAUCUCGAUCUCGGUCUUGAACUCUCUUGCACCUUGUUUCGACUCUGGAUUCAAGCGUUUGAUGGCCAGUAUUGUUUCACCAUUAUCCAGGAAACCUUUGUAAACAUUGCCGAAACCGCCUACCCCGAUAAUCAAAUCUUGAUUGAAGUCGCUAGUGGCAGCUUUGAUCUCAUCUAGUGAAAACCGACGACACAAUUCAUCAGGCAGAGAUGAGGUUUUCGCCCCGACGAAUGAUUUCCCUUUAGAACGAUCCAGCAAGCAGCAAAAACAUGAUGGUUUAUAGUGUGAACCAUACUGCAUCUUUCUAUGUCGCCAAAUGAUGAUGGAGCAUACUAACACAAGCACAAUCAACAAGCCUAUACCACCAACACUGAUAAAAAUAAGCAAUUUCCUCUUCGUGUCUUUUGAACUCUUUUUCUUGGUGCCUUUUUCUGGCAACUUGGGCUCGGGAUUUGGUCUGCCAAGAUUGCCAUCGGAGUUAUUCAACUUAAAGACUUCUAUUCCAUUCAGAAGAGCGUCUGCAUAAGCACUGUAUUCUUUAUUAGGAUGCAAAGCUAUAAAGAGGGAAUGUUCACUCUUAAUAUCACUAAUGUUUCCAAUCAUAACCAUAUAGUCAUGAUAGAUUGGUUUAUAUUUACCGCCAGCAGUUUCGAUCACAUCGAAUGCUGGCUCUGCGGUCUUGUUAUCAAUAAAGAUCCGGAAUCGCCUAUCACUCGUCUUUUCUGGGGCCGGAUCAAAUUCACAGAAAUGGAGUCUAACAAGGUACCUGAAUCCCGAAUCAACCGGUAAACUCCAUGUCAAAUUGUACAACAAGUUCUCUGUUCUGUUGUUUCCCAUUGAUCUAGCUGUUUCAUAUACAUUAGCGGGAGCUGUGUAAUCAUGCAUGUUAGAAUAGUCGAGUUCAAGAGUAGUAUUACUAGGAACAACACCAGCUUCUAUCAGAUUAUCAAUGUCAUUGUACCAGUUUCGAUACAUGCCAGUAUCACUUGCAGCGGAGAUUGAUGGCCCCCCAACGUUUAAACGAUGAACAUUCUCGAGUGCAGUAUAGUUAUCAAUCCAGAAACGUGUGUUAAGACCGAUGAACUUAAUGCCGUGAUGAUCUGAAGUCGAGUAAUAGAGAUUAGUAGGCAUCGAGACAAUUUCGAUUCCAUUGACAAAAGCAUAAGAACCCUCCAAAGAGGGAGUAAAAGUUACAUUGAGAGUUUGAUUCUGCAUCAAGCUUACACAGAACUCUCUAAUCGACGACCCUUUCCUCGAACGAUCGGCAGUAACGGAAGAAGUGAAGUUAUUGAGCAGUGUAUAAGGGCCUACCUUGACAGAGAAGAAAUAGACAGAGGUGUCAAAGCCAUGGUACAGAGCAGGAUUGAAAUAGAGCCUGAUAAAUUUUUGACCAGCAGUAACUGGGAACAUGUAGGUGAAUUCGGAUUUAGACAUUCUAGCAGUCAUGUAAGGCACACCAUGAAAAGAGCUGUUAUGCUUUUGGACACUGGCCGACACUGAUUGGUUACCGGACUCCGCGAACCACGACAUGUUAUCUCCGGUCCAAUAACGACCAUCUAGUGCUACAGAAUUGCCUGAAGUUGAAGAACCACAAUCUAGAGCAAUAUUAUCAGCAGGGAUAUAAAUUUGUGCACAAGUGAGAAUUUGCUGAAGCAAAAACAAGAGCACCGCCAGAAACAACAUCAGUACUAAAUUAGGAUCAAAGACUAAAGAUACAUCCUUUACUGUAACAUAAAUCUGGGGUUUUAUAAAUCAGUAUGACAGAAGAAGUAGGAACAAAUUGUAAGUAUAUAUUCUAUUAUUUCAUCUGCAAAAACAUGUUUUUUGUUGCUACAUUAAUAUUGAUAAUGAUUGAGGUCAGGCAACUCUGUCCCACCAUUUAAAGUUUUCUACUUUACAACCAUUUAGCAUAUACUAACUUUCCCAAUAUGCUUAAUUUAUAAUUCAACCCUUCAAUUAUUUUAAAUAAAUGGUUUGUUUUUUUCCAGGCAACUGCAUGUGCUAAAGAAUAUUAGGAAAACGUUUUUCUCAUUGAUUCUCUCAUAAAAAAUCUCUUCUUCUUCUUCUUCUUCUUUUUCAGAUUUAAAUGAUUCCUUUAUGUUUAUAUUGAAAGAAAAAUAUAAAAAUGUUACAUUGGAAUUAUUUAAAAUUUGUUUUAUUAUUUGAUAAAGUAUAAAGUAUUUUAAACAACAAAUGCACGCGAUCAUUUUUUUUUAUUAAGACGACCAGCCCCUCUUUGUUGAGCCAAAAAUACAAAGCGAAAAUAAUUUUAAAAAAAAAAAACAAAUACAGAACGACCAGCCCCUCUUUUGUGUGUAUAUAUAUAUAUAUAUGGCGGGAUUAAUAUGGGUUUUGAUUAAUUAUUUAUAAAUAUGGAUGAAUUUGAGCAGAUAUAAAGUGUGUUAAUAUUUUACCUAGAUUCGAACCCAGCUCAGCAUAUGAACACUCUACUCUUUCACCAACUCUGGAGAAAUAUUCAAGGGAGAUAAGUGUAGACAAACUUACAAUUGUAAAAACAAAAUCGAAAAUUAAUCUGAUAUCUUAGCUUAUCCUCGAUGUAACUCUAAUUGUCUCGUUUCUCGAUCUAUAUAUAAUAAGUUUAUUCGAUUAAGUCAAUUUCAACACUUAUAUAAUCAAAUUUACACAAUUUGACGUUUCCAUAAAAAUUAUAAAAUUAUCCCUAAUAUUUUAUCCUUUUUACAAUCUAAUCCCUAAACCCGAAAUUCUAAAGUUAACAAAAUUUUACAAUUUUCCAUUCUAGCCGAAUUUAUUUACAAAUUUAUUCACAAACUAGGACAGUCCAUAUUCAUUGAAAUUUCACAAAAAUUUCAUGUAUAUUUUUAACAUUUUAUCAAAUUAGUUCUUUAACUAAAAACUAUCAAAAAUCACCUUAACAAAAUAGUCCUAAUCAACAAUCAACACUUUAAAUUCAUCACUUAACAUCAAGAAUAACAAAAAUUCAUCAAUAGAAAAAUCCAAAAUCUUUAACAGUUUCGAAAACAGAAAUACGGAGUUAGCUAGAUCUAGUUGUAACGAUAUCAAAAACAUAAAAAUUAUAAUAAAUAAUUGAGAAACCCACUUACAUGCAAUGGUUUAUUAAUGGCCGAAUGUUUAGCUUGAGAAUGGUGUUUUUACUCUUCCAUUUUCGGUGGUUCUAGCAUUUUGGGAAGAUGAUAGUAUUUUAUUUUAUUUUUUUUACUUAAGUUUUAUUUUUCUUUUAACAUAUAUUUUAAUAUUAUAAUUAAAACAUUUUACUUAAAAAUUCUUACACCAGCCGCCACUAUCUUUUAAAAGUGGAAUUUGUCAUAUUAACACUUGCAAUAGUAACAUUUAAUCCAUUUAGCACAAAUAACCUAAUAAUAGUUUACUUUUGCAACCUUUACAAUUUAGUCAUUUUUACUCAAUUAAUUAUCAAAUCACUAAAAUUUCUGAAUCAAACUUCGAUACACCUAAAUAAUCACUUCGUAAAUAUUUAUAUUAUAUAUUUACGAGCUCGGUUUACAGAAAUGAGGUCCCAAUACCUCAUUUUCGAAAACCACUCGACUUUCGAAACAAACCACUUGUCUUUAUCUAUUUGUUCAUAAACUAAAAUUUUUCAAAUUUAAAUUUUAAUAUAAAACUAUAAUUGACUCAUAUAAGUUAAUUAAUAAUUAUUAUGGACUUAUUUGUAGGAUUUGUGGUCCCGAAAUUACUGUUUUCGACACUACUGAAAAACGGGUUGUUACAUUAUGCCCUUAUUUUAUUUUACAUGUACGUGGACAAAUAAGAGAAUAAUUUUCUUUUAUAAUUUCUAAAGGUUAAAUCCUGCUAUUAGUUCUUGUAAUUUAUGAAAGUUAUGGAUUUAGUCCCUCAACUUUAAUUUGGGCAUUUUUAGUCCUUAUACUUUUUGAAUUUUAAAAUUUCAAUCCUCACCAAAUGAUAAUUGUUAAAUUCAUUAAGUUCUGUUAUUUUUAAAAUAUGAUAUGACAAACAAAUUAUCAUAUGUGUAUGCUACAUCAACUUAUUAUUUCUACAUAUUACUCACUAAAAAUUCAGUUAAUGGAUUAGCGACUAUCAUUUGACUCAAGAUUGAAGUUUCAAAAUUUGAAAAGUAUAGGGACUUAGAAUGGUCUAGUUGAAGAAUAUGGACUAGUCUACAAUUGUAUGCAUAAUACAAGACCAAUAAUUGAAUUCAAACAAAUGACUUUAAUUGCUAUUGUUUGGAUUAAGACUAAAAUUUUAAAAUUCGAAAAGUACAAAGACUACAAUUGAUCAAAUUAAAAUACAUAUACUAAAUCUACAACUUUCAUAAAGUACAAUGACUAACAAAUAAAUUUAGCCAAUUCUUAAUUUGAUUUGAUUAUGAUAAUUACAUGUAUCUCUUUUAUAAAGUAAAUCUCUCUAAAUUAUUUCAAUAUGAUAUAUAGUUAAUUAUCUUAGUAAUUUAUAAAAAUUGAAUUAAAUCAUGAUUUUUUAGUAUAAAAUUAUACAAAAUCAAACUCUAUAUAUAAUAUUACAUAUUGAACUAAAACUCAUAUAUAGUUUUAAAUUCAUCCCUUCUAUUUAAUUGCAGUUUGAAAUAAUUGGUUAAUAAUUUAUUUUAUGAUGUAUGGAUAUGAGCAAAUAAGAGAAUUUUUGGUAAAUACUUGAUUUGUUUUUAUUAAAAUUAAUUAAUUCUAUUUAUUGUUAAUUGAGUUAAUAUCUCUAAAUUGAUUAUAUGAAAUUGUUAAUUAAAUAUAUUUAAGGGAUUGGAAGAUAUUAUUAGUAGUUUUAAGUUUUAUAUAUAUAUAUAUAUAUAUAAAACCUUCUUGCACGACAAAUUAAAUGAAAACUUGAAAGUUCAUAGAUAAGAAAUAAGAUUGUUAAAAUCUGCUCCAAGUCUUUGUACUCUUUAUAUAUUUGAAAUUUACUUUUUAAAUUUAAAAACUGUUAAUUUCUUUUGUUAAAUUCAUGUCUAUUACAAUGUCAUUCUUUUUAUUACAUGGCUAUUAAAUAAUUUUUUUAUUUCAAAAUACCACACAAACAAAUUUCACAACAAAAUAAAUUAACUAUAUUAAUAAUUGAAUCUGUCUUUUAAAUUUGAAGAUAAUAAUAAUAAUAAUAAUAAUAAUAAUAAAUUUUUAAAAAUAAAAGUAAAGGUACCAAAACUCAAAUAUAAAAAGAAUAUAAAAAAUGGGAAUAUAUUUUAUCCAAAUAAGAAUUAUAAAAAAUGUUGCAAUCUUAUGGUUGUUUCUCAAUUUAUAAAUGAGUUACUUAUUGUUACAAUAGUUAAGAAGUGGCUUACUACAUCUUACACACUCUUAAUGUAUUUUCUUACACUCUAAUGUAUUUUCUUACUGCACAGGCCAAUUUUGGGCCCAAUUCAAGGCCCAUUUGCAUUACAAACCCUCAACCCAAUUACCCUUUUUAAAACAGCCCAAAUACCCACCUAAAUUAACCAAGCAAAGGCCCAAACCCAUACAAUUAGCAAACCCUAACCAAACCUACCCCCCACUUGAGCCACCAACCCUCUGACGGCCCCAUGCCCCUGACUGCCGGCCACCUGCUCCACCAACACCAGCCAUGCCCUGCAAAAUGAGAAAGACACGCAACAGCAACAAAGAGAACAAACAGACAGUGAAAACAGGCUAUAAAAGCCAUGAAACAAAACGUAAAAAGGGUUUUUUUUUUCUUUUCUUUAAAAAGUUCAAAAAUAUAUAAAAAUCAUAGCACAAAAACAAGUAUUUUGAAGCACAACCAAGAUCAGAAAAUCAAAGAUAUCAAAAUCAAAAAAACUGGAAAACUAAAGGUGAUUAUUUUUCUUUUUUUUCAUUUUAGUUUCGGCCUUAGGCCUAUUUUAUACAUACAUAUAUAUUAAAAAUAUAACAGAGUAUUAAAAUAAACAACAAGAAAAACCGAGAAAAAAAUUUACCUUUUUGAAAAUCCGACAACCGUGCACGGUGGCCGGCGCCGGCGACGGGCCGACGAUCGGCCGGUGACCGGCACCCCGCCGGAAUCCCUCCCCUCUCCCUCAUCUCUCUUUUUCUCUCUUUCUUUUUUUUUUUCUUUUUCCCUCACAAAUGAUUUUUUUUUCUGAAAUUAGGCCUAUUUAUAGCCCUCCAAAACGACGUCGUUUUGGGGGCUAUACUUAAGCCCCAAAACGACGUCGUUUUGGCUUAACCCGUCUGCUGACCCGACCCGCUCUAAGGAUCCGCAUGUCUUUUCAUCUGAGGGGUUAAUUUCACUUUUAGCCCCUACGCUUUUUCAUGCCUUCACAAUCAGGUUCUUUUUUUGUUUUAAUUCGGCCCUAGAAAUUGUCGUACUUUUCAAUUUAGUCCUUAGCCAAGCGCAGCAUUUUAACAGUCGGGAAUAUUGCGCUUUUGGUCCCUUUAAGUCACACGCGCAUUGCAAUUUGGUCCGAUUUCCUUAUUUUGUUUCCAAUUUCACCCCAAGAAUUCGGUUUUGACUUCAAUUUUGUCCUUUUUUUUAUUUUUUUUAUUCUUAAAUAGCAUUUGUAAUAUUAAUUUCACUAGAUUAUUAUAUCAUUGUUAUUUAAUAUUAUUAUAUUUACUCUUAGUAUUUAAAAAUAUUAGUGUAUACUAUUAUUAUGUACAUAUAUAUAUAGAAUUAUCUUAAUUACUUUAUAUUAUUAUAUUAUUUUUAUUUUUAUAUUACAUCAUCAUUUUUUGUAUUAAUGUUAUAUAAUAUUAGUGUAUAUUUUAUUAUAUAUAUGCAUACGUAUAUAUUUGUAUAUAGUAUCACUUUCUACUUUAUUUUAAUAUUUUUGUAUUAUGUCUAUGUAUGUGAAUUUAAUAUAUUUAUGUAUCAUAUUACGUAUAUCUUUUAUAUAUGCUAUAUAUAUGUUUAAUACCAUACUUUUAUAUAUUAUUAUGUACACACAUUAAGAUUAUUAGUUAUGUAUCUUUAUACUAUUAUAGUAUAUUCCUAACACCAUUAUUAUUUAUAUAUAUAUACUUUAUGCAACAUAUUAAUAGUUAUGCUUUUAUUAUUAUUAUCAUCUUCUUUGAAAUAUAUGUAUAUUAUAUGUAUUCUUUUAACAUGUGCUGCAUAUAUAUAUAUUUUUAUUCUACGUUAUGUAUCUAUAUAUUUUUCAAUAUUGUUGUUUGAAUUAUAUGCCAUCUUAUGUAUAUAUUUUUAAUUAUAUUUGAUAUACAAUUCCUAUGUAUAUAUUCUUAUCCUUAUUUAUUGUCAUUAAUCUUAGAACCUGUUUUAUUAUAUACGUAUAUUUGAUAUAUAUAUGUAUAUUUACGUAAUAGGAUUUUUAUAUAUAUAUCAUUAUUCUCAAUAUGUGUAUAUUAUGUCAAUAUUACCUUCAUAAAAAAAUUCUUAUCUAUAAUUUAAUUUUUUGUUGUGAUUGGGAGUUUAGACUUGUUUAUGGAUAGGUUCGAAGACCCGCUCGAAAAAUGAAAAAAUUUAGUAAGAAUAUAGGCUCGAAAAAUGGGUUUGAACAAAAAAAUAAGACCCAUUUUUUAAACAAAUUGAGCCUCAAGUAAGCUUUUUUAGCUCGGACUCAGCUUGGCCCAUAUGCAACAAAAAAAAAUUAUCGCUUUUUUUUACUAUUUUACCAUUAUUUUUCAUUGUUUUGCUAUUAUUUUAUUAUUAUAUUGAUAAUGUUUUAUUGUUAAUGUUUGGGUAUUGUACAACUUCUAUUUUAUUAUUAAUUUUUCUAUUGUUUUAAAGGUGUUUGCUUGUUAAGUUGCACUUAUCUUAGCGUUGUUUAAAUAUAUUUUUCUGUAAAAAAAAUUUAUUUAUCAGAAAAUAUUUAUUUUAAUGUUUUUAGUAAAUCUAAUGUAUUAUAUUUUUUAAAUUUAUUUUUAUAUAAAAAAAUUUCAUACCGACAGAUCAAAUUCAAAUUUUAAUGUUUUUUAUUUAGGUCGAAUUGGAACAAAGUUUUAAUCUUAUUUUUCAAAUUGAAUCUAAAAACAGACCUAAUUUUCUUACAUACAGCGGAAAUACAAGUAUAAUUAUUCAGUUGGCAAAAAGGACAAAAAAGCAUAAUGAACAAUGAUUGCCAAGCUGAAAAGUAAUAAGCGGACACUUCACUCUUUCACUAUUUGAUAUAACAAUAUAAUAUUUUAGCGAGUAAACUACAUUAUUAAUCACUAAAUUAUAGUAAAUUUUUCAUUUUGGUUACUUAAUUAAAAAAGUACCUUCUAUCGCCUUGAGCCUUUCUUCCAAGCUCUUAUACUUGUCCUGAACAUCAUGAUCAUUCAUUUUCAACUUGGCUAUUUCUACUGGAUCAUCCAAAUUUGGAACGAGUGGAUCAGCAGGACUAGCCCCCGGGUUUGAUACAAACACUCCCUGCCCUAUGUGAGCAGGUGGCACCGCCCGUUGCUCCAGGUCUGUGGGUUCCUUUUAGGUGUACCCUCUUUGUGUUGCGUGGGCAUGCGGCGGAGUGAAUCCUGGGGGAUAGAGCGGGUCUUGACUGUGAUUAACUCUUGACCGAGGUUCUUCGACGUCAAGGCUCUGCAUGGGUCCCUUUCCUUUAACUAAAGCUGACAUCAUUUCCAUCAUUUUGGCUAUUUGGUCUCUUUGUUCGAGUGAUUCUUCUCGAGAUCUCACCAUUAAGUCUCUUGUCUCUUGCUGUGACUUAGCCAGUUAUUCUUGUAAUUCCCUCUGAACUCUUUCCAUCCUUUCAAUUCUUUCAUUCAAUUCAGCCUCCAUUGCCCUAGCUUGUCGACGCGUUCUAUACGAAUGACGUGGUUCUAGUCUCGUGGUAUUACAACUGCGAAUUGUAUGUUUUAACCUCAGCGAAUGAUUAUAGGAUAUGCAAUGAAUGAAUAAAUGAAUGAAUGCAUAAAUGUCGAAUGAAUGUUAGUCAUGAAAGAAAUGCUAGAAGUUGGUGUUGAUUUCAAGAUAGCCCCUUUUUUUGGGCAUUUCAUUCAUCAAAAGAGUUCAUUACAAAAUAUUUUUUCAUUUUCGAUUCAGCUAUUACACAAAAUUCCUAGUUAUAUCACCGUAUUUCUUUACUCGAGCUAAGAACUUUGAUAUGUUUGAUCUUUGACUUGGAGGGAAUUGGCAAAUGAGAAUUUCAGCUUCUUCCGAUAAUUGUACCACGUGCAUGGCUACCCCACGAACUUCAUUGAUCAAAUAGCUAAGUUGCAUUUCUUUUUCUUGGAGGCCCUCUUCGUAAGCACGAACGUCUCUAUCAUAUUGAUUAUCUUUUUCUUCCAAAACCUUCAAAAGAGUAUCUAGUUGUUGUCGACGAUCUUGCAGCAUAUCUUCUAACUCUCGUAUCCUUUCUUUUAGUUCUUGACGUUUAGAUCGACUAGUCAUUACCUCGGCAGACACAGCUUCAUAUUCGGCGUUCUUCUUCCUCAGUUCUAUCAUAGCUCGCGCAGCCUUUUCCUCCUCUUUCUUCGCUUUUCCUUUCCAAAAUUCCAUCCCGCCUUUAAUGUUUCUUAUUUCUUCUUUCCAUUCUGCCGACGACUUGCCCAGCCCUCUAUUUUUUAUUGUGCCUCUUAACUUUUUAUUUUCCAGAUGGAGGUCCCUUAAGUCAUUUCUCACGACUUCAACUUCUUUUUGCACUUUCUCGGUUCUGGAUCUUUCAAUAUGAACGUCGAUCUUCAAUUGGUAGUUUUCCUCUUGAAGAGCGCUAAGGUCCCGAGACAUCUUGGCCUUUUCUCAUUCAAAUUCUUGUCUUGACAUUUCUAGCUUAGACGGCAUUUCCCCCGAGAAAGGAUUCUGGAUGGUGUAGUUCGUUAACGAGAUUUGCUGACUGUUCACUCGUUGCUUUCUCCAUAUGUCGUAAUCUUGGGUGAGGGUAUCAGCAUAUAGAACCAAUUCCAUCAGAUGAAUUUUUUGCCAAGACUUUGCAGUGUCUUAGACCCUCUUCAUAUACCCUUCUCCCGUAAAAGCGAACUCGGACUGUGCUAAUCCUCCAGUGGCGGGUUUGAAUUAUCGCGAAGAAAAUUGUCUUUGGACUAAUAGCGGGGCAUAUCCAACUCCUCCCCAUAACCCAAGUAGUGGUACCCAAUCUUGAUUUCCAACCUUGUAUAAUAGAACCGAAGGGCGGAUCCAUGGUGCUCUCCACGUUAUAUCCUCGGCGCGAAGGUUCUGAAAAACUGAGACCCAAUGCUGUUCAGUGACUUCCUUUGGCCAUUCUUUCUUGAGAUAAGCUUCCAACGGGGCAAAUGUUUUUGAAAACAUAUGGAACGGUGUGCGCUCUACUUUCCAGAAGUGACUCAAAAUCCAGACAUUUAGUAACUGCACGCAUCCGAUAAAGCGUCAUUUCCCUAUUUUCCUACAACUAUUUAAGGAUCUGAAGGUCUCGGCUAGGAUAGUCGGGACAGGGUUGAUUCUUUGUUUUAAUUUUUCGAAAAAAUCCACCACCGCAACUUCUAUGUGUCCAAUGACUUUCGAGAAGAUGAUCAAACCGUAAAUGGCCAAAGCAAACAAAUUUACCCUUUUCAACAUGUCAGGAUGGUUCAGAACCAAUUCUCGUAGGGAAGACCAUGGAAUGCAAAUGGUUUCAUUUUUCUUCUUUAUCUGUUUUUCGGCCCAUGUGUCAGUCAUGUCUCUCAAUCUCACUAACUUUUUCUUGAAGGUCAUCGGCUUAGGCUCUUUCACGUAUACUUUAUAGAAUUGCGCAUUUUCAACAUGAAGCAAAGCAACGUACUCCUCAAUAGUCGGAGUCAUAUCUUCUAGAUUGAAGGUAAAACAUUGGUAAGCUGGAUCCCAAAAUCUGACCAUGGCUUGGAUCAAUCGUUCGUCUACAUUGACAGUGAUCAAAUUGGCUAUGUCUCCAUAUCUCUCGAUGAAGAUACCCCUAGUGUCCAAAUCCCACUGAUUCCAAACCCGAACCAAAUCUUCAAGGUUAUUCUGGCGAACAUUCACAGUUACGUGCUCGGGCAGAUUAACAAUACAUCCCUCCACUAAACUAUCCCCUUUUUCUUUUUGAGUUUUUAGAGACCAGUCCCGAACCACGGUAUUCUUCUCGGUUGUUUGUAUAAUUGACUCUUCCAUUAGAAACCCGUUUUUGGCAACCAAUCUCUAGUCAACACCUUCCUAAUAUGAUGCCUAUAAUGUAUGAUGCAAAAUAAGAAUAAAAACAAACUUGGCUAGUAACUACAACAAUUAUAAAUUGAGAAACAAAUUAAGCUACCCGAUUCAGUUCUUUUGCAUAACAGCGUAAUGUAAAGAAAAUGAAAGACAAGAGGUGUUUCUCCCGUGUACUUAUUUGGUGACCAUUAGCGGACAGGAGUUCGGCACGGCUCUAAUUAGGUGGCUCAUAUGGUUCACUAUAUGCAGUUUCGGUUCUAGAUAGGUACUCGAAUCGUCCGUACUAUCAUCUACUAAGAUUAGUACGAAGCCUCGAUCGUAGCCCAUCACAGGCUCACGAGUUCAAUUCGAGAGAUUACAUUUACCUAUGCCUAUGCGGAGGGACAAGUUAACUCACGAAAGCAUAAGUCAUAUGUAACCCGAAAGUAUUCACUAGCCUGUGCGGAAGGAUAGCGUUUACUUUCACUUAAACGGACGGAGCCCGGGUAUAGAGCUCAUGUUAUGCAAGAAUACACGUGCACGGUGUGUGGGGAGAAACUCACAAACCUUUACGUUUUAAAAACUAAACCAAAACUAAAAUCAUAAGAAUUUAAAGUUUUAAAACAACCGGACAACACAAGUUAGAAGAAUAUAUACAACACGAUGCAAAUGCAUGAUUUUUUUCGAAAACAUAAUUUUAGGAUCACGACUAAAUAUUAAUUUGAACAAGGAAUUUUGAAAAUUUUGACAACACACAUUUAAUUCGACUCGACUCUCAAAAAUGCGGGACGCCAAUGGAGUCGCCAGCUGUAGCGACGUAAAAAAAUUUUGCUUAGCUCAGUCGCUAAUAGUGGCGAUUUAUUGAAAAAAGUUUGAAAUUUGACGUUUGAUUUUUGAAAUAAACAGGGAGUCGCCACCGAUCCUUUUUCCUAGGUGUGAUCGGACACCUAUUAGAUCUCUUAUUAAAACAAAUAAAGGCUGAGUUUAGGUCUACGUUAAAAUCCAGAGAAAAAUUUGAGUUUGGGAGUCUGUUACGCGCGAGGAAGGUAUUAGCACCCUCGCGACGCCCAAAAUUGGUAUCUUAUAAACACGUGUUGUCUUGAUUUUCAAAAAAUACGAGUUCAAUAUAACAUUUAGUCGUGAUUCAAUUGAAAAGACUGAGGAAUUUUAGUUUUUUUUCUGUUUUUUUGAGAAGGAUAUACCGUUUAAACACGAGCCUAAAAAUUCCAUCCAACAUAGCGAUGAAACUUACGACCUAAUGUUAAAUCGAUACAUUGCCUCACUUAUUAAAAAACAAGAAUAAAAUUUUCGAAAUAAUGCUAAGCAAAUUGAUGUGAAAUAAAAAUAAAUAAAGGAACCUGAAAUACAUUGAAGCAAAUAACGAGUAUGACAGCAAUAUAAGAAAACAAUAACAAUACAUGCAAGAUUAAAUAUAAUAAUAGUAUCAAAUACGAGAAAACAAUGAAUAUACAUAUAUAUAAAAAAUGAUAUUAAGAGUAUGUACGAAAUAUAUUUUUGUACACACCUAUAUAUAAGUAGUAAUAAUGUUAGAAAUAUACUAUAUAUAUCAUUUGAACUAUAUAUGAAAUGAUAAAAAUAUAUAACUAGUAAUAUUAAAGUAUAUACAUAAUAAUAAAUGUUGAAAGAUGUAUGUACAUAGCGUAUAUAAGAAAUAUAUAUAUACAUAAUAUAUUUAAAAUGAACAUAUACAAUAUACAUAUAUAAUAAGAUACAUGAAUACUAUGAUAUUUUAAAAGAACAUAUAUAAAUAAUAAGAAAAAUAUUAUAAUAAGUACUAAAAAAUAUCUAUAUAUAUAUACAUGUAUAAUAAUGAAUAAUACGAUAUACAAAAAUAAUACUAAUAAAAAGUAUAUAUAUACGUGUAAUGAAAUAUAUGUACUAAUAUUAAUAAUAAAUAUAAAUAAUAUAUACAUAGUAUGGUAUGAAAAAACAUAGAUAUAUAAAGCAUAGUACUAAAAUAUACAUAUAAUAUAUAAGAAUAUAUAUGUAAUAAAGUAUUAAAAAUUUGUACAUGAUAUAUAUAAUAAUAUGAUGUUAAGAAUAUACAUAUGGAAUAUAAUAUUAAAAGUAUGUAUAAAAAAAUGUAUAUAUAUAAUAUAGUAUUAAAAUAUAUGCAUAAUAUAUUAAAGAAUAAUAAUGUUAUAAACAACUAGUAAUAAUACUUCAUAAAUAUAUAUAUAUGUACUAAAAGUAUACAUAAUAAUAAUAUAUACAUACAAAGUACAUAAUAAUAAUAUAUACAUACAAAGUACACUAAUAUUUAAAGAUAAUAAUAGUAAACAUAAUAUUAAUAUUAAAUAAAAUUAAUAUUACAAAUUUAAUUUGAGAGCAAAAAUGACAAAAAGGACUAAAUUCGAAUUAAAAACAAAGUUUUGGGCGAAUUUUAAAAUAAAAGAUAAAUCAGAGGAUCUAUUUGAAUGCGCUUGCAAACAGUGGGGGCCAAAAAAGCAAUUUUCCCAAGCCUUUAAAACGCUGCGCUUGGCCAGGGACUAAAUUGAGAAGCGUGACAAAGUUCAGGGCCAAUUCAUAAAUACAUAUAAGCUUGAUUUAAAACAUCAAAAAUGCGGAAGGACCUAUUUUGAAAAUAACCCCUAAGAGCAAAAACGCGCGGAUCUUUGUCCGGAGCGGGUCGGGUACGGCCUAAACGACGUCGUUUUGGGGCUUAAGUGUAGCCCCCAAAACGACGUCAUUUUGGAGAGCUAUAAAUAGGCCCAUUUUCAGAAGAAAAAAAUCAUUUGAAGGGAGAAAAGGAAAAAAAAAAGAAGAAAGGAGAGGAAGAGAGAAGAGGGAGAUGGGAAAGGAGAGAGGGGGGCUGCCGGCCAGAGGGGGCCAGUCACCGGUCGACCGUCGGACCGUCGCCGGCGCCGGCCACCGCCACGAGGAGGCCGGAAAAGGUAAAACUCAAAUUUUAUUUUUUGCUUUUUUUUUAUAUUUUACUUGUUUAUUUUAUUAUUUAUUAUAUUUUUAUAUGUAUGAGUAAUAAGAUAGAUAUUAAGACAAAAUAGAAAAAAAAAAAGAAAUAACCUUAGUUUUUUUUAGCUUCAUAUUCUUCGAUCUUUGAUAUUUUCUUUUGCUUUGAACCUUGUUAUUGAAUCUAAAUGCUCAUUAGACUACUACUUUGAUUCUGGAUUUGAAAUGAUUUUCUUAUUUCUUUGUAUUUUCAAAACUGCCGAACUUAGGAAAAAAAAAAAGGAACCCCUUUACAUUUCAUUUCAUGGCUUUAAUAGCCUUUACCAUUUUAUAUCCUAUUAUUUCUGUCCUUUCUCUCUACUGUGUGCAGGAGAUGGCCGAUGGAGCAGGUGGCAGAGUUGGUGGCUGGUGGUGUCAGUGGUUGCGGCGCAAGUGGGAAGGCAAGUGGGAUAGGGUUUCUGUUUUGUCUGACUUGGGCUUAGGGUUGGGUUAUUUGUUUAGUGGGCUGGUUUAUUUAAAUGGGUUAAUGGUAAUUGGGGUUAGUUAGUUGGGUUUGGAUAGUAAAUGGGCCUUUGGGUUUUGGGUAUUUAGGUUAUUUGGGGGCUAGGUUUAAUGGGUUGUUGUGGGUAAGGGUUUGAAGUAAUGGGUAGGUUUAAUUUGGGUGGUGAUUUGUUGGGUUUUAGGGGUUGGAUUGUAAAUGUAUUUGGGUUAAGGGAUAAUUGGGUUUUGCAAUGUAUUGGUUUGGGUUUGAAAAUGUGAGUGGGCCAAAUUCGCCUAUAACAAUAUCGAUCGUUAAAGUGUCGCUUAGAGCCCGUUUGCUGAACUUUUUAAAAAAAUAUUAGCAACCCAAUGACUUAAAUGAAAAUUUUUUAAUAGUUCGGUGACUUAAAUAAAAACUUUCAAAUAAUUUAAUGACAAAAAUAAAAACUUAUGCAUAAUUUAAGGGUUAAUAAUGAAAUUUACCCUAUUCUGAUAAAUGAGUUACUUAUUGUUACUAUAUUUAUUUUUUAUUUUAAAUUUUUAUUUAAUACCUAAACUUUUUUUAAUCUAAUUGAUAUUUAAAUUUAAAAGCCGUAAAUUAACUUUCCUCAUUUUUUAAAAAGGCAUGUUUAUAAUUAAAAUUCUUUUAAAGCGUUAAUAAAAAAAAUUAACAAUCUCUUAUUAUCACGACUUUAGUCUCUUUGAUACACAUUUUUAAUUGAUUAUUUUUUGUGGUUUUUUAUUCAAAAUUUUAUACAGUGACGUAUUAAAAUUAAAGAAAAUAAAAUUUCCAUAAUUUAAAAAUAUUUAAAAAAUAAUAACCAUAUUAUAUGUCAAUAAUAUGAGACCCGAACCGUAAAAAAGAUUCGAGCUUCCGACCCAUGACCUGACCACGAGAGGACAACAAGGUGAAUCAGAUUACAAGGCAAUGCUACAGACCUACCUCGCAGGAACCUUGCGCGAGCUUAUAGGGUAGGAUCAUAGGUACAACUCACAAAAUCAGUUCACAAGAUAAGGUUACAAACCCAACUUGUGGGGACCUAUGGAAGGCCGCAGUAUCACCUCGCAUGCACCCAAGGAACUCACAGGAAGUGUCACAUGCUCCACAGGCCACCUAGACACGCGUCUAGCAGGUAUGAGCUCACCCUGAAUGCCAGUCUCAGGAGCAAAAAGGACCACGUGUUUCGUAGACACGUGCCCAACAAGCCUGGAGCUCACAAAGAAUGUCAGUAUCGGAAACAGUAGAGUCAAGAACAAAUAGUGGGGUCCUAUCAUGAGCUGUAAUAGUACCAGUAACAACAUGUACAAAUACCCUGAUACUCAUAUCAAUAAAACUGAAGCAAAAUAUUAUUGAACAAAACCUUAAAUAAAAUUUUAAAAAAAUAGUAUAAUUAGAAGAAAACAAAUUAAUUAAAUGAGAAUUUAGAUAAAAAUAAAUUAAAUAUAUUAAAAAAUACAUACCAUUUAAAAUUUCUUAGACCAUUAUUGACUAAUAUCCUAUAUACCAAUUUUGCAAAGAAAACAUAAAUGCAAAGUAUGCACAUAAUAUAACAAAUAAUGGAAUGUGUUUUCGAAGCAAUUUAAAUAUUUUUUUUGUUACUUUUCAUCAAUUAAAAUGGUAACAUCAUUCAAAAAAGUAAAGGUUAAACUGCUAAAAUAGUCACUUUUAUUCUCUCAGGUUACAUUUUAGUCACUUAUGUUUGAAAUGUUACGUUUUGGUCACUUACGUUAACAUGUUGUAACAUUUUAGUUAUUGAGCCGUUAAUUGCCGUUAAUGGUGUAACGGUAAAUUGACAUGGCACAUUAAAUUAUCAUUUUAAACAAAAAAUUUAGGUUAAAUCAUACAAUUGGUCCUCAUAUUUUUUUCGUAUUGAGCAAUUUAAUUUUUUUCUUUUACGUUCUUUUAACUUUCCUCUUUUUUUUUCUACUCUCUUCUUCUUCUCCCUUCAUUUCCUCACUUCUCCAUCUCUUUUAAUGUAAAAGAAAAAAAAAUCAAAUUGCUCGAAAUAAAAAAAAAAUAUAGGGGCCAAUUGUAUAAUUUAACCUAAAAUUUUCAUUUGAAAUUAUGAUUUAACGUGCCACGUCAGCUUACCGUUACACCUUUAAUGAAAUUAACGCUCAGUGACUAAAAUAUUACAACAAGAUAACGUAAGUGACUAAAAAGUAACAUUUCAAACAUAAAUAACUAAAAUGUAAUUUUAGACAAACAAAAGAGACUAUUUUAAUAGUUUACCCAAAAGUAAAACAUAGACGUAAUCAUCUUAAAACCAAAACACUAAUUUUAUUUUUUUAGCAUAUGAAAAAAGAGGAAGAAUUUUUUUCGUUUAAUCUAAAGAGGUUUUUCUUUCUAAUUUAAAUUUAAAUUUUGUUUUUUAUCUAAUUAUCUUAAUAAUUAUAUAAAAAAUAACAUUUUUUUUGUAUUAUUACAUGUGUAACCAAACAGUUAUUAAUUGCAAAAAUGUAAUUCAAAUAUACCAAAAAUAAAAAUGCAGUUCAAACUAUAGUUAGAUGUAAAACAUAUGAUUAUGAACGGUCAAGUUUUGACCACGUCCACCCAUACUUUUAAAUAUAAUUAUUUUUAGGGUAAAUUGUCAAAAUAAUCACUUUUGCUUGGCUCAAGUUACAUUUUAGUCACCUAUGUUUGAAAUGUUAUGUUUUAGUCACUUACGUUAUCGUGUCGUAACAUUUUAGUCACUGAGUCAUUAAUUAUUAUUAACGGUGCAACGGUAAGUUGACUUGGCACGUUAAAUCAUCAUUUUAAAUGAAAAUUUUAGGUUACAUUCUACAAUUGAUCCAUAUAUUUUAUUCAUUUUGAGCAAUUUAAAUUUUUUUCUUUUAUGUUCUUUUAACUUUCUUUUUUUUUUUCAUUCUCUUCUACUUCCCGUCUCCAUUUGUUUUCCUUCUUUUUUCAUUUCUUUUAACGUAGUUUUUCUAUAUUUUUCAUUUGUUAAAACUAGUCUACAAGCUUGCCUCACUCGAAAAAAUUAAAUUGUUCAAAAAAAUAAAAGUAUAAAGACUAAUUUUAACUAAUGGAAAACAUAUAAAAACUACGCUAAAAGAAAAUGGAGGAAGGAGGAAAACAAAUGGAGAAGCAGAAGAGAAUGGAAAAUAAAGAAAAAAAAAACAUAAAAGAAAAAAAAAGUAAAUUGCUCAAAACAAAAAUGUAUAGGGAUCGAUUGUAUAAAUUAACCUAAACUUUUUUGUUUGAAAUAAUGAUUUAACGUGUCAUACUAGCUUACCGUUACACCGUUAACGGCAAUUAACGACUCAGUAAAUAAAAUGUUACAACGCGAUAAUGUAAGGGACUAAAACAUAACAUUUCAAACAUAAGUGACUAAUAUAUAAUUUAAAGUAAACAAAAAUGACUAUUUUAAUAGUUUACCCUUAUUUUUUUUAAAUAUUUAGUAAUUAUAUGUGUAUAUCUUUUAUAUGUAUAUAUAUAUCUUUUAUUAAAUUCCUGAAACACACACAAAAAAAAACUUAAACAUAUUUUAGAUAUUUACAUCAUAUAUAAGAUAUUUAGUUUUCAGAUAAUAAAAAUUAUAUAUAUAUAAGAAAAAUAUUAUAUUAUAAAUUUGAAAUUGGGUUGGGCUCACAUCUUUAUUGAUGUAACCAAGUCUUCUAUGGGCUGGUUCAAAUAACCUUAUAGCCUAAAUUUCAUCAAACUUCUCAGUUUGACCUCCAAACUUCUUUAAGAUAGCUUUGGCGUCAUUUAACUCCUUCUUAGUUGCUUUGAACGCAUCAUUCUUUUCUUAGAUCAUGAUUUCGAGGUUUUUUUCUCUUUUGAGAAAUAUAGUUUCAUCUUUCAAGGAAACAUUAAAUUGACACAAUAUUUCCACUUACAUCAAUGUAAAACUUAGAUUGCUUCAAAAUAUAAUCUUAUAAAAAAUUACAAAGUGUAUGAAAUUACUUUAGUUUUACAUUGAUAUAAGUGGAUCUCUCCGAAACAAAAAUUCUGAAGUCAUAUUUAGUCAAGAAAUUACUCUAAAUUUUCCCAAGCAUACCAAAUGCAUACUCUGCUCAUCGUACUUAGUUCUACCCAUUUGGGCCAACAACGUAAAAGAGUAGUGGCUAAGCUCUUAUUGCCACUCAAGAGACUAGGGUUCAAACAGUGCUAUUGUCAUCUCUUUCCUCUAUGGUAAUAUAUUAUCUAUAAUUACUAUAAAAUUCUCGAUUAAGUUAGUGUCACGGGUUAAUCAGGUAUCAAAUAAAUUAAAAAAAAAAGACUAAUGCACAUUUUUAUUAAAUGAUAACUAAUAUUAUUAUUAUAAUACUUGUAUCUUCUCGUACUUUUUAUGUAAUAUUUAAAUAAAAUAAAUAAAAACUUAACAUCUUAGAUUCAAAUCACUUAUAAUAUUAUUAAAUAACUUUUUAAUAGGAAAAGUUUUCAUGAGUAUGACUUCAUCUACUACGUACUAAAAAGAAACCUGCCCCCUGGAAAAUUUUGCAAAUAAUACACUAUUUUCUUAUGCACUUAAAAAGAAUAAAUCAAUAAACAAUGACCUUGGAAAGUUGACACUAACAGAACCAAUGGUAUGGUGAAGGGUCUACUCUUCCAAAAUAAGUUUUUAAAUUAUCGUUUGAAAAGCAAUACAUCAGUCUCUCAAUAAUUGAAAGUAUUAUUUUCAGUAGAAUUUUGUCAUUCGUAAUUUGUCGAGAGCGAUUGGCCAGUUAACCUGAUUGGUAGAAUUGAAAGUGCCUCGAUUGGUAAACCUACAAAACUCAAGAGAAAAGUGUUAAUAUAAAAUAUGUAAUAAUAUGAAAUUUACUUGCAUGCAAGGAAAACUCAAACCACCAGCGUCAAACAUAUAAACCACUUACAUGCAAUUGUCACACCAUUAUUAUUAUUUUGUUAAAUUCAAACUCAUUAUAAUGUCAAUUUUAAAAUAAGAUUUGUUUUUAAUUUUAAAAUGUCAAACUAAUAAAUUUAACAAAAAAAUAUUGACGAGGUUAACAAUUAGAUAUAAAUUUUGAAAAAAAAAAAAAGGAAAACUAAAUUUCAAAUUAUAAAAAAUUUAGGGACUUCUCAAUCCAUGUGCUUAAGUUGACUAAUCUCUCGUGUAAACAUAAAAGUAGAGUGGAAUAUUCAAGGAAUCCAAUUGCCAUGCCCAUUUCCACCACAUAUAUUUUAAGCACAAAAUAGUAAUAUCCGCAAAUCCCACCCAACACAACUUAGGGAGGUAAUAUGUGGCCAGCCAUUAAGUAAACCCCUUUUCUUAAAUUUAAAAUUUAGUCCAUAUAUUUUUAUUUUUAGAAGUCUAGUCUCUCUACUUUCUAAAUUUUAAAAUUUAAGUCUAAUUAUUAACAUUAUUUUUUGUUAGAUUUAUUGGCAUGACAUUUUGAAAUAAAUAAAAAAAUAUUUACUUAGUAGCAAUGUAACUAAAAAAAUAGUGUUAUAAUGAACAUGAAUUUAAUAAAAUAAUAUUAAUAGUGUUAAUAGUUGGACCUAAAAUUUGAAAUCUAAAAAAUAGAGAGACUAAAUUUCUUGAAAGAAAAUAAAAAGGAUUAAAUUCCAAAUUUGAAAAUAAUAUAAGGACCUAUGGCAUAUUUUAACCUUUUAAAAACAUUAGGUCUAAUUAAUCGAGUGUUUGCAAUAUUGGGAAAAUGCAUAAUGAUUUUUUUAGCCCUCCAAUUUACGAAAAAAGUUAUUUUAUCUCUCCAUUUAAUUUUUUGCCUCUUUUAGCCCUUAAAAUUGUAUAUUUUUAUCUAAUCACCUCAAAAUGAAUGGAAAAGUUAACAUUUGUUAAUUUUGUUGGUGUGGCAUACAUGUGGAUUGCCACCUAGAUGAAACAUUAAUAUUUGAUGGAAAAAUUAAUGUUUAUUAAUUUUUUCGGUUAUGGAAAUGUUAAUUUUUUUUAUAAUUUUUAAUAAUUUUAAUUAUUUUUAGUUUUUAAAAAUAGUUUUAUAAUUUUUUUGAAAAUUUAAAUUAAAAAAAUUAAAUAUUGACAUGGCAUUCACGUGUUUGCAAUGUCAAUAAAAUUAAAAAAAAACGAUAACUUUUCCAUUAAAAAAACAUAAAUUUAAGGGCUAAAAAAAUUGAAAUGACUUUUUUUAAUAAAAUUGGUGGGUUAAAUAAAUCAUUAUACUUUAUAAAAAAAAAAAGGAAAACAUAAGACUUCUUUUCAUAUUUGAAUAGCUUCAUACACAAAAGUUAAAGUUUUGGUUUUAGAAAAAAUUUGCCAAAAUUUUUCCAAAAUUUAUUUAAGACAAAAUUUCCUAAAAUUUGAUUUGGAUAUGGCUUGUGAUUUGGUUGACAUAAUUAAGAGAAAGUAAAGCUUUUGAAAAAAACUGAAGAAAAUUAAUAUCAAACUUAUGCCAUUAAUGUUUAAUGUGAAGGAAAUUUGAUUUCAAAUAUUUUUUUUUAAGAAUUGACUUUAGUAUUUGUUUUUAAGUGAAGAUGAUGAUGUUUUUAUUUAUGUAAAUUCAGUAUUUAUUUUUUUAAUUAAUCAAAUAUUGUUGAGGUCUAAUUAUUUAUUUUUAAAUUUAAUUUAAUUUAAUUUUUGUUUAUUUAAUUUUUCACAUAAUCUUAUAUUAUACAUGUGAAAUAGGUUAUUUGGAAAAAAGAUUCACAUGUCGAAUUUUCAUUAGCUAUCUUAGCAUUCACUAACAGUAUAAACUUUAGAUAUCAUAAUAAUAUAUGACUGAUAGUUCAUGUACCACAUUGAACAUUUUUAAAAUAUAAAUACCAUAUUAAACAUUUCAUAAAAAUAUAAAUACCAAAUAUGACAUUAUUCCUAUUUUUUUACCAAACUAAGGGCACAUAAUUAAAAAUUGAAAUUAAUUGGCUCUUUUAACCUGUCCGCUAACCUAUGAAACAUAUAAUCCAUAUGUGACUUCUGUCCCUCCAAGAAACAACAAAGAUAUUAAUUAAUAAAUAUUUUAUUUACAAAAUAUUUCUCGCACAAAUAGAUUUAUUUUAAAAUUAUAAUUAUAAUAUUUAUGUAUUUUUAUAUUCAUAAUUGUGUGGUUUGUUCUUUUUAACAUAAUGUCUAGAAUUAGGCAUAACUCUUCUCAACCCGUAAAUAGUAAGAUAAUACAUUUCAAUGCACUUGAAUCUACGUUCUCUUGUAUUAACAACAAUGUUCAAGCCAAUCGAGCUAAGACUUAAUUGGCAAAAAAUACACAAUUUUAAACUAACAUAAACCUCUCUUUUAUUUUUUAUUUUCUUGCCAUUCUAAUUUGGAAAGAUUGAUUUUUAUGCAUUAGAUGAAAAAUGAUCAUCUCUUAUAUUUUCUUUUCUCUCAUUUUUCUUCCCAGCCAAACACACUUAAAAAUUUAUUUUACUUCCACUUAUGAUUCCCUCCGCCAUCCUUCUAUUUUUUACACCCAAACAAGUACACCAUGAAGGUUUAACCAAACAAAAUAAUAAAAUUAUGAUUUAGUUUUUCAAAUAAAUUACAAAUUAAUAUCGUAAAACUAUGUCUUAUAUAAAAUAAAAUAAUAAUUUGAUUUAAGUUAUCUGAACAAAAAUUUUGAGUUCAUCCCUAUUCAAGACAUUACUCUAAUUUUCACACGAUACCAAAUGCAUACACGAUUCAUUGCCAACAACAUAAAACAAUAGCUUUUUAAGUUUUUGUCACCCGAAAAACCUAAGGUCUUGUUAUUAUCAUCUUCCCUCUCAAUUUGUAUAAUCUAUACUUGAUCAAGUGUGAUGAAUUAAUCAAGUACCAAUUCAAUUGAGGAAAAAGAUAAUAUACCAUUUCUUUUAAAUAAUUAUUAAUAUUAUUGCCAUCAUUCUACUAUAUAAAUUUUAAAUAAAAUAAUUAAAAUUAAUAUCCAAAAAUUGAACAUAUAUUUGCAAACUAAGUGAUUAGCUUAAUGAUAAAAUUACUUGGGAUUCAAGUUAAUCGGCAUGAAAUCUAGAAUUCAAUUCCCAUAAUUGGUAGUAAAAAAACCUGCCGUGGAAAAUUUUGCAAAUAAUAGAAUGUUUUUUAAUAAAUCAAUAAACAAAGACGUUGGAAAGUUGACACUAACAGAACGAAUGCUGUGGACCAAAUAAAAAUCCCAAGUUCUUUUAUAAUUGCUCAAAAUCUUAUAAAAAGAAGUCCGAUUUCCCAUUUCCGGUGUUUUUGUUGUGGUGAGUGUUUUGAUGGGGAAGAAACAUAGCUUAGAUGAGACUUCAAACUCCAUUUCUAGUUCUGGAAGUGAAAGAGCACCUCUUUUGAACAAGGAGGUUGGUUUUCUUCUUUCUUUUUAUAAUUUAAUUUGAUUAAAUUUUCUGGGAUUCUUUUAUUGGUGAUUCUCCUUCACAAUAAAAGAAUGUUUGUUUCUGUUUUUAUGGGUAUCUGUAGCCUGCAACCUGCAAAGGGUAGUACUUGAAUUUAUAUGAUCGUUUUUGUGUCUUUUUGUUUUCUCCAUCAAGUAGGUUUAUUUGAUUUUUGAGAUAUGUUAGCCCAAUUUUUCAUUUAAAUAUAUAUAUAUAUCUAUAGAUAUAGCUAUGAAAAUAUUAUGCUCCAAAUAUAUGAAAAAAAAACUUAAAAGGAAUCAAGCAUAUCAUGUCGAGCCUGACUCCGAUUAGUUUUAUUUUUUUAAUGGUCUAUGACAUCAAAUUCUUUAGUUAGAUUAGGCUUAAGUAAGUGAUUAUUUGGUUUUAUUCUUCACUCAGCUCUGUAGAUUUUAGUUAUCUUAUGCAGAUUUAAAAAGAAUUUUUGAUAGAAUUUAGAGGACCAGCUUUUCUUAUCUUAGUGUUCAUUUUAGUUAAUGAAAGUGAAACAUUGAGAGGAAAAAGAAUGAAUAGCAUAAAAAUGGAAAAUAGAAAUUGAGAUUAUUUCACUGAACCAAGAAAGAUACCUAACAUAAGGUACAAUCUGUUCUCUUUUUCUAAUUUAAUUUUUGAGGUGCUUAAAAGAAAAAGAAAUGCUGAAACAACAUUAGAAGAAGACUAUUUAAAGCAUAUUUUUAUUUUGCAAUUUAAUAUAAGAAAUUCACACAAACACUGGUUUAGUGGAAACAAUUCACUUUAUUUUGUGCAGGCAAAUAAGCAAACAAAUGGGCAACAAGCAGCUGAAAGUCCUCUGUCAGACCUUGAGCAAGGCAAUGCAGAAGAGGUGAUAUUUGAAGCUAUUUUCCUACAUUUUUAUUUCCCAAUUAGCAAAUUUUUUGGGGGGACUUAAGGAUUUUUGGUCUUCCUUUUGAAAUUUUCAGGCAGUCAAUGUUGGAUUUUGGAGAGUAUUUGCACUGGUUAGUGAUGGAUUGUUUCCCAUCAUUUCUAAGCAUGGAGUUCUAACAUCAAUGUGCAUUGAAAUGCUUUUUUUCCCUUCAAUUUUCAGGCAAAGCCAGAUGCUGGGAAGAUAUUUGUUGCCACCUUUGCAUUAUUGAUAGCAUCCACUACAAAUCUCUUGAUUGUAUGUUGUUUCUAAUCAAACUUUAGUCUCAUAAUGCCCCAAAUCUUCUUUGUUGUUCUUAAAAUUCCUUUAUUUACCUUUUACUUUGAUCAUGAUCCAUGAUUAUUUGAGAUGAAAAAUGAGUACAAACUCAUUGCUGUUAACCACAAAGCACAUUUUAGGAAUAGGAUUGGCUCAUCAUUGACUGUUUAUGCUUAAAAAAAGGUCAUUUGAUCAUUGACUGUUUAUGCUUAAAAAAAGGUCAUUUGUCCAGUUCCCUUUGUUUUGAGUGUUGUGUUUCCAUGGCCCUUCAUUUGUAUUUCCAUCAUCCAGAAUAGCUCUAAUUCUACUGUAGAAAUAAACCCAAAUUAGAAUUAAAACUACAAAAUGCAAAAAUUCAUCAUGAUGUAUGUAUGUAAGCUCUUAACAGUUUCCCCCUUAAAACAGCUCACCUUUGAUGGUAACCCAUUUUUUGGAGAUUGUCACAUCUUUAUGUUCAGUGUCUUCUUUUACAUGGCAUAGAAUACUGUGAAAUAUUGUUGCCUUCUAAAGAGUGAAAGAAAUGUAACAUCGUGCAAGAUUAUGAAUUGCUCCUUCAAACAUACUGUAUUUUUUAAUUUUUUUCUCUGUUUGGCACAAUAGUAUGCAAGCAAAAAUUGUAACAUCAAAGGAAUUCUUUCACUUCAAACUCUAUUUUCCAGUAAGCUGGAAACGUUCAUAUGAAACCAUUUAGAAAUCAAGAGCAGAAGUUAACUGUGAAAUAAGGUUUUAUCCUGCCCUUACUCUUGUUUCCUCAUUUUUGCAUUAUGUCAAAUUGCUUUUAUUGCAGCCUAAAUAUGGUGGAAUGAUCAUAGACAUUGUUUCAAGAGAUAUAAGGACACCUGAACAGCAAUCAGAGGCCCUGGAAGCUGUCAAGAAUACUGUAACAUACAUUGUGCUGAUCGUUGUAAUAGGGUAUUCCUUUUCCUUUUGUGAUUUUCAGGUUCUAGUGUUCUACUAGUUAUGGUUUUAUUCAUAGUUGUCUAUUUUAACAAUUGGGCAUCCAUUGAUAUAUGAGAUAGUUAAGGUUUAUCUGGCUUUCGACUUUUCUUAAGUUGGAAAGAAACAAUCCUUUUUCUUGUAGCAUUUCAUAUGCUCCUUCAUUUUUGAGAGAGAUAGAUAAUGAGUGUUCCCUUACAUCAUUGUGAGAUUUUGAUGUUUCCAUGAGACCAGCUUAUCCGUUGAAAUGCUUCAAGAAAAAAAUACAUCUCAGGUUCUAGUCAUAGAUUAUCUUAAAAACAGCAUUAUCUUGGCUUGUCUUCAUGUUUUUCGCUUAAUAUCUUGUAUAUAUUGAUCUUAUAGCAGAGUUUCUGCUAAAAUGUCAAUUAGUUUUUGUAUUUCAAGAAGGUUUGAAGAUUUGCAAAAACAUAUACUGAACCUGAAAAUAUUGUCUUAAGAAUCAGAUUCUAUAAUAAACUUCUAUGAUGAUGUAAUUUAGUUGAAGACUAGUUCCUUUUUAGGAAUUUUCAUAUCUCUAUUUCCUGAGUCUAUUGCAUCCAUAUUCAUGCAUCAACUUUAUAAACUAUAUUACUUGAUCUUUUGACUUCAAAAGUUUGACACUAUAGUUAUUUUUCUCUCAUCCAUUUAGGUCUGUGUCCACAGCACUUCGGUCAUGGCUCUUUUCUUCUGCCAGUGAAAGGGUUGUAGCUCGCCUUAGGCGAGACUUAUUCAGUCAUCUUAUUCAUCAGGUCAGGCCAAUUAGAGCAGCUACUAGUUAUAUGAUAUUGCCAGUUAAUGAUUACCCAGCUUUAAGAAUUAAGAUUGAUAGUUAUUCUGCUCAUAGCUUGAAUCAGCCUUCUCUUGAAGCUUGAUUUUCAGCAAAACUGAUCCUAAAAUAGUUCCAACAGGAAAUAGCCUUCUUUGAUGUUACUCGAACAGGGGAACUCCUCAGCAGGCUAUCUGAGGACACCCAGAUUAUAAAAAAUGCAGCAACAACUAAUCUUUCAGAGGCACUCCGGAAUCUAACAACCGCCUCUAUUGGUGUUGCCUUCAUGUUUUCUUCAUCUUGGAAAUUAACGU
RNAcentral lists this long non-coding RNA (95988 nucleotides) under Gossypium barbadense (sea-island cotton). RNAcentral describes it as "long non-coding RNA (GBAR_LNC004738)". The record is from RNAcentral. Lineage: Eukaryota; Viridiplantae; Streptophyta; Magnoliopsida; Malvales; Malvaceae.